CGACGCAGAUCCACCCGAGCGAUACAACCCGUGUCUCACCGUGGAAGGCAAAGAGGGUGAGGAGGAAGAUUAGCCCGAAGCCGGCGACGUUGAGGAGGAGGACGAUCUUGGCUGUGAAAAUCUUGGCCUUCCUGGGGGCGUAGACGAGGUACAUGAUGAUGUAGACGGUCUCGAUGACGCAGCCGGCAGCGUUGAUGGUGAUGAGGAGGCCCUCGCCGGUCUUGACCAGCGCGUAGAAGAUCCACAGCAUCGCGCUGAACAGGGCCACGACGUAGGGCACCGACUGGAACCCCUCAGUGGAUUUGCUCUUGAAGAUCCGGUAGAAUGUUGGUCUAAUAUUUAUUGUUGUGUGUACAUUAGUUAUGAGAGAACUUAUUAAGAUGGUCUAUCAAAUGAAAACUAGAAAUGACAGAGGCACUUUGCUUACAUCGGGGCGAGGAGGCUCGUAAAAGAGAUGAUGUUGCCUGCACGGCACAAAGUUAGAGAAGUUAGCAACCAGUUGUGAUAUUUGCAGGACACAUUUACAUCUUUCUUUUAUGCGCUUUAUCGUAUGCAAAAUAACAUAGGCAGUUCAUUUGUUGUUGCUUCUUGAUGGGUUGUUGGUGCACCGAACUAGAUGUCACUAGUGCUAGUACUAGACUACAUCAAUUAAUCAAUCUGUGGCAAAGAUAAGAUAUAUAGAUAGAUGCUGCAAAAGGAUGAUCUUAAACGACACAAAGUAGUCUACUAAUACUGCACUAGCAAAUAACAGCUGUAAUAAGAGACUAUCAUAAUACAAGGGGUAAUUCUUGGACAUCUUUUUCUCGUGGUGAGAAUAAUAUACCCAGUAGGCCGAAGGCGAAUGCCCAAGGGUGCUCCAUGGAUAGGCCAGCCAUUGUGAUACGAAGAUAUUGAAGGGAAAUAAGACAGAUAUGAAGUUGACAACAAGCCUGCUGGCAAAUUAAUCAACAGUGGGGCUAGAGGUUGUUUUUUGCUCUUCUCUCACUCUCUGCCUCUCUCUAACCCUAGACUCCUGGAGGGGAGAAGGGAGAGGUCUGAAGAGGAGAGCUCACUGUGUUGGUUGGAACUCUUGGCCUGAAUUGUAAGGUUGUUAAUGGGGUGCUUUAUAUAGGCAGGAAGAUUACAUGACUGCCUUGGUGUAUGCAAGCUAUCCUAUCACACAUAUGCCACACAAAAUUAAUGAUUGGCUUUCUAGAAAGAAAAAAGUUUCCAGCAAUGCAUAAUUGAGCUUAUCUAAUGUGCUAUGCUUUUUUCCCCGAAAAAUCUGAUGUGCUAUGCUUGAUAGAGAUAAUGAUAGAAUUUUUCAAAAGUUGUCGCUUUGGUGUACACUUUAGCUUUACUGUGCAUAAUACAUCCGCUCCUGAAUAUUUAUACACCCGGAGUUGUGUUAUACUACGUCAUUCUUCCGGUCUUCCCAACCUUAGAUCUUUGGGGUGUGGUAAUAGCCGCCACGCAACUGUAAACGAAAUGAGACAUUCCAACUGGGAGGACUCUUCACACUAUUAGUUGAUUAUUGAUUUUACGGAAUGAAAUGUCUUACAAGGAACAAAUAAUUAACUUUUGUAUAUAGACAUAGUGUCCAGUAGCUGAAUUAACUUAGCAGCCUUUUCGCAUUAAAAAUCUACAAGCAAAGAGUCAUUAAAUUAAUAUGCUGACAUUCUCAUACUUUUCGGUGAUCCGCGUGUAUGUUUUUCAUGAUUUGAGACUAACUAUCACGACAUGCAGUGGUCAAUUCAUUGCAUGUAAUGAUAUUAAUUAGCAAACUAACAUUAAUUUCUCUUAUUUUCCUCUCCGUCUAGGUCGCGGUGCACAACCUAAUAUGACUUAUAAACCGAGACGGAGGGAGUACAUGGCCUUGCAAAUACAUUCAAAUAGUGUUACUCAUCUUAAACUCAUCCAAACACAGGUACCACAGUCCUGAAAAGAUUAGUUUCAAGGGAAUACAAUCCAAAUGAAUUUACUUUCACCCUCUGCCUGAAUAAGAUAUACACAGUCAAUAGAACCACACACACUAGCAAAUACAAAGUCAUCCCAGACCAAUACAACACAGACCUCCGCGUCGCUCCUAGGAGAGGCGACUUGGGUGGAACCCUAGUGCAGCCUCCACCCCUUCCCCCUACGAUCAAUCUUGCUUAUCCCGCCAUCGUCAAAGAACGCCUCCGGACAAAGUCCAUGAGGCUGAUGCUGGCGGCGGGUCCUCAUCCUCCUCGCAUGAAUGAUGGCGGCAGGGGGCCCAUCGUUUCUCGUGUUGCGGGAUCUCCGGCCGAAGAUCAUGGCAGCCCUGGAUGGCGUGGUUCGUACAGCAGAGAUGGACAUCGAGGCGGUGGCCCCGGAUUUCUACGGUGACCUCGAAUACCAUUGUGGCCGCGAAGGCGACACAGCAACCGGUUCGGGGGGGGGGGGCUCGGUGCAUCUCAACUACUUAUCUCUGCAUGGUGCGGGUGGUGACGGCGGUGCCCGUUCAGAUCUUCGGCCUACCGUAGGAAACCGGUGGAUGGUGUGGUGAUACGAUCUCUAACAUAUCUAUUUUUCGAUUGCUCCAUGCUAUUAUAUUUUUCUAGGGUGCUUUUUAGGCAUUUAUUUGCUGAUUAAUAUUAUUUUAAGCACUAAUCUAUUAAUCCAGUGCCAAAGUUCUAGUUGUUGUUUUCCGCAUGUUCUAGUUGUUGUUUUCCGCAUGUUUUUAGCUUGUCAGAAAUAUUGUACCAAAAGAAGUCCAAAUACCCAGAACUUUUUGAUUGUUUUUUUCUGGACAAAAUAAGGACCUGAAAGCUUUGAAGGAGACCGGAGGCCCCAUGAGGUGGUGCCAAGCCAACAGGGUGCACCCAAGGGGGGUGGUCGCGCACUGAUGGCCUGGGGCCACCUGCCUUGGCCUCUAGCCCUCCUCCGUGUCCUAUAAAUUCACAUUAAUCCCAAAAACUCUAAGUAGCCUCUGGAAACACUUUUUCUGCCAUCACAAGUCUCUGUUCCGCCAUGUGUUCGUCUGGAGCCCUGUCCCGGUGCCUUGUCGUAGGGGGAUCAAUCACAGUGGGCCUUUACAUCAACCUUGAUGCUCCCAUGCUGGUGUGUGUUUAGUUCACCACACACCCGUGGGUCAAUAGUUAGUACCUAGAUGGUUAUCUAUCUCUCUAUGUUCUUCAUUGCCAUGAUCAUCACGACUCAUGUGGUGAUCCAUCUUAUGUAAUCAUUGUUGUGCGGUGCAUUUGUUGGGAUCCGAUGAAUUAUGGGUUUAUGUUUAGAUUAUUCAUGAAUAAUAUUUGAGUCUUUCUUGAAUUCUUAUAUGCAUGAUUGUGAUAGCUUCGCAAUUCUCUCUGAUCUAUUGAUUUGGUUUGGUCAAGUAGAUUGAUCUAUCUUUAGUGGGAGAGGCGCGUUGUAGUGGGUUCAAUCUUGCGGUGCUCAAUCCUAGUGACAGAAAGAGAUAUGACACGUAUUAUAUUCCUUCCACUAAGGGUAAAAACGAUGGGGUUGAUUCAUAUUAAUUGGAUUUACUUUCUCUACAUCAUGUGAUUAUUCUCCAAGCAUUACUCUGUUUUCACUUAAUACUCUAGAUGCAUGUUAGAUAGAGGUGUGAUAAUAGUAGAUACAUGUAGAAGUCGGUCUCCUUUCUUAGAGAUGUGAUGCAUAUAUGUAAUGCUAAUUGCAAUGAAUGAAUACUACAUAACUAUUCGCUUUUCUAUCAGUUGACCAACAAUAAUUUGUUUACCCACCAUAUGUUUUCUACAAGAGAGAAGCCUCUGAAGAAAUCUAUGGCCCCCGGGUCUAUUCACAAAUAUAUUUAUCAAAACACUAAAUACCUUGCUGCCUUUUAUUGUUUGUAUUUAAUUUUUAUAUUUCAUAUAUUUAAACUAUCUAUCUAUCACUACUUAUUACUUGCAAGUAACGAGUCCAAGGGGAUUCACAACCCUCUUGCCCGCGUUGGGUGCAAGUGUGUGCUCUUUUGUGUGUAGACGCUAAAGACAAAAAAUUGCGUGGUCCUCCUGUUGGUUCGAUAACCUUGGUUCUCAUUGAGGGAAAUACUUAUUUAUAUUGUGAUGCAUCAUCCUUUCCUCUUCGGGGAAAACCCCAAUGCAGAUCACAAGUAUGACAUGGUCAUUGGGUCCUUUUUGCUCUAAGAUGAUGGUGUUCUGCCGGUUGCCAACUCUCAUGGAUCUGCCAUUGACGUGUUCCGAAAUGCUCCGCCAAAGAUCUUCAUUCGGUGCUUCACGCAUGUAUAUUGUUGGAUCGAAUGGAAUUCGGUCAUGUGCGCCCUUGUUUCAGCCCGAGUGGCUUCACGAGGGUCUGACGCGAAAGUUCGGUCUAUGUUGACAUUAUGGGAGAUGACGGUUUUUGGAUAUUCAUGUUGAAGCCAUUAGCAUAGAACGUCAUGGCGGAUGAGCUCUGAGGCCUCGUAAUGUAGAUCGAGUCUUCGUGGAGAUGAGUACUUUCCUUGGUGAUUUGUGACUCAUAGCCUUGACAUCCGCAAGUACGGGCGGUAGCACAUGCGGAGUACAAAGUCUUAGCUUUCAGGGUGAAAACUCAAGGCCUGACCUUAAUUGGUUCUGUAUGGCAGAUACCUUGUCGAAGGCAUUGAUUUGAUAUCACGGAUCUUCUCUAGGGUGAAGACCUUAGAUCUAGGAUAGGCUGAUGGGGGUACUUGCACUAGUAGAGAAAUGGCUAGCCAGAAGUUUUGUUGGUGGGGCGCCAUCUCACACCAAUGCAGAACAAGCACCUCAAUACAACGCGUCGAGUUGCCUUUUCGACCCCUCCGUCGCCCAUCAUGCAGGAGACCAAGGGGACACAACCCCUCGUCGUCGGUCCCCCUCCUCCUAUCCCCUCACCCCUACGCCCCCGCCGGUGGUCGGCGCCGGACUAAGCCUGCGCGUGGGCGGCGGCGGAGGAGGAGUCGCCCUCUCACUCAGGGAUUAGGAUGCACGGGAUCCCAGAUCUCGAGGAUGAGGCCCCGAUCGAUCACGACGAUGUUGUUCUAGCCAUGACAGCCUCCAUUUGGAGUGACCCGACCGACCGAUGACCGAGUGGCGUUCGUGGCGACAGACUGGCUCUGCUCUGCCUAGUCUGCGACGAAGGGUCGUGGAUCCGGGGUGGUGGCCCCUAGGUUGGCCUCCUUGUCCGGCAUGAUGGGGCAGGUGGGUUGCCGGGGAUUGGAUCGGGCAGCGGUGAUCCUGCGACGGCUUGGCGCGACGGCGUGAGAUCUGGAGGUUGCCCCUUUCUCCUGUUGCCUCUCUCGUCGUCCCGGUGGUUUGCGGCUGCAGGCUCCGGUGAUGGUGAGCCCUAGUGGUGUACCUUGGGUCCUGGGGAAACCUUGACCGGUCUGGCCAGCCCGGCAGUGGCGUCGCCCAUGGGUGUCACUUUCCUUCAUGAAGUUCAUUCUGCAUCCGAUAUAUCUAAUUUGAAGAAGGGGGUCAAUACAUAUAUAUGAAUAAAUGAAACUGAACACAAAUGAUGGUAAUAAAAUAAAAUUGUGAAUAUUAUUAUUUGCGCACGUCAUAUUGUUUGUCAGAGUAGCCCCGCUCACAGGUCACGUGGCAGAUGGACUCGCAAAUGUAGUAUCCACAGUAAUCAUUCCCUGGUUACUGCCACAACCACUUUACAAGAAAUAGAGGUCAAUCAAACUGAUAGUUAGCAAGCAUGCUAAAUGGUAUUGAUGAAACUAGCGCUUGAAUCACUAGGAGAUGCGUGGAACAUGCUACUAUAGUACUUACUUUCGGGUGUCUAAAUUGCAGCUUCUUCGGCAGUCCCGGAGUUUUUGCGGUGAAUUUUUUCCAAACCCUGUCAGACAAGAAAACAAUUACUUGAUAUCAGGAAAUGAACAAAGUUGCCGAUAUGGUGCGAUAAUGAUCGAUUUAACUUACUUCUCUAGAAUUCCAGUCAUGUCCGCAUACUCGUUGGGAUCCUUUCGUCUUGAGUCUAAGACGGUUACUAGUCCGUGCUCAAUCUUAAUCUCUAGGAGAAUAUAGUGGAAGCUGCGCACGCAUGCAUAACUCAUCAAUUACAUUACUAUAACCUUGACUAAUAAGGGAAACCGAAUAUGCACAAGACAGUAACACUCACUGGAAUUUGUAAGGAAAGAGUAUUAUAGCUUUGUUUUGAUUCAAUACAAACGAUUGUAGCAGGUUGGCCUCGGUAUCUUUGGCCUGAGAUUUAAUCAUAAAUGCAUCUACGAGAUUUGUGUUAAUGAACCCAAUAUCACCGAUUUGUCUUUUCUUCAAUUCGACGAUCUUCAAUCUGCAUAUAAUAUAGUGAGGAUAAUUAAAAAUACAUGCAACGAAAAAGCUGACCUAUAUAUAGAGACUUAAUGACAGAAGUAGUACUACUUACAGGCAGUAGCAAGUGAUCAUUAAUUUAUCGAGGGCCUUUAGAUUGAAAAACGGAAAGAACUCCUCAAAUGGAACCAUCAACAGUUCAAGUCCAACGAGGUCAUGCUCCUUUCUAACUCCGAGCAGCAAAAUAUUACUCCACCCGGACUCUUUGCAAGUUUUCAUGUACCAAUCAUGGAAUCUUCGCAUCAUCGUUGUUAGAGAUCUUUCAUCUUUGACGAGAGGCUUCCCGUACACGUAUUUGUGUCCGUCCACCUCCAAUCAAUCAAAAUGUGCAUCAUCGGGCAUGUAAUCUGCGGGAUUGGUACCGGGAAACAAGAUCCUCGGAUGAUUAGCGACGAUAUCGCUAGACACCUUGAGCGGGGGGAACGAUUGGUUCGCUUGUUCGCCGAGCUGGGCAACUUUUUUCCCAGCUCCUCGUUCUGCUAACCUUUGAUCACUGACAGUACUUCCUGACCGCAGCGCUUCGAUAAAUGACUUUGUAAUAAUGCGCUCAUAGUUGCCUUUCGUCGGAGACUUUGGUGGUUUCUUCAGGGCAGCCAGAGUACGCUUUGCUUUUACCAGAUCUAUCUUCUCCUCCGGAGGUGGAUGUUUUUUUGCUUUCACCCCUUCAAAGAAGUUCUUCACUUCGGCUUCCACGAUCUUCGUGAUUUCCUCCUGGCUCCUCUCGUAUGGUAACUUCUCUGGAGUCUUCAGAGAAGGACCGUAUCUGUAUUGCCUGCCUUUGGCUGUAGUGCUAGACGCCGGAGCAGACGGAGCGGCUGCGGCUGUCUUUCCUUUCUUACGAGGCGAAGCAGAAGGACGACGCGCCGGAGGAGCCGGUGCGGCGGCGGGUCUCUUCCGCCCUUGUUGACGAGGCGGAGAAUGGGGAGGCAGCUGGCUGCUCGGGCGCGCCAGCGCAGGCGAAGAAGGAGGCGAAGUGUCGCCACGCGCUGGAGAAGGAGGCUGAGUGCCCUGAUCACUCGCCGGAGGAGGCGGAGUGCCCUAGCUCGCCGGAGGAGGAGGAGGAGGCGGAGGCGUCCAGUUCGGAAGGUUGAUGAGUUCCUUCCGCCAUAGGCAUGGAGUCUUCAGAGAAGAACCCAGCCGAAUCUCCCCUUCACCCGUAGGAUGGUCAAGCUCAAGGUCCUCAAAUCCGUCUGUUAUUUGAUCCACCAUCACCCUAGCAUAUCCUUCUGGAAUGGGCUGGCCGUGGUAGGUUGAGUCAGGUUCAUUAGGUAAAACAGAGCCAACAGCCGCCUUGACUUUAAAUGUCAUCCAUCGCGUCAUAAGGUGGCAAUGUUGAGACUCUAUGAUAGCAUCCACGGGGUAGCCCGUGAAGACAGGCUCCAACUGCUGAGUUUUCUCGGUGGAAGCCAGGCUUCUUCUCCGCUGAGAUGGCGGGGUAGCUUCAGGGGAAGCUUCGGCAUGUCGUUUGCUGCGAUCUGCUUCUCGUUCCUCUAGCCCUUGUACCCUUUCGUGCAGCACCUGCAGUUGGCUAUGCUCCACUUUCUUCCUCCUCUCCUGGGUUUUGUAACCCCCUGCGUCCGGAAACCCAGCGUUCCAUGGAAGGGAGCCUGGCGUGCCUCCUGUCCAUCCAGGGUGCUCAGGAUUCCCAAGGGCCAUUGUGAGCUCGUCCUUCUCUCUGUCUGGAACGAACGUCCCUUCCUGUGCUGCGGCGAUAUAGUGUCGAAGCUUCGUGACGGGUAUUCACAGUUGCUCUUCCGUCCAAACGCACUUCCCUGAUACAGGGUCCAAGGUUCCGCCAACCCCGAAGAACCAAGUCCGGCAACGUUCUGGCCAUCUCAAUGUCUCUGGUUCGACCCCUUUAGCAAUCAGGUCAUUCUCAGCCUUCUCCCACAAAGGUCGGGCUCUGAGGUAACCACCUGACCCCGUGCGAUGGUGAUGCUUCUUCUUCGUAGCAUUUUUCUUGUUUGUCGCUGACAUCUUCUUACUCUUUUCCGAUGUCUUGUGGGCCACAAAUGCAGGCCAUUGAUCUCUGAUCUUCUCAAACCGGCCGGUGAAUUCUGGUGUCUCUUCUUUGUCGACAAACGUUUUCAGCUCAUUCUUCCACCUCCUGAAUAGUUCUGCCAUCUUCUUAAGAGCACGAGACUUGAUCAAUUGCUCUAUAACUGGCUUCUCCGGAUCCUCCUCUGGCGGUAGGGUGAAAUUUGCCUUAAGCGUUGUCCAAAGAUCUUCUUUCUGCAUAUCGGAGACAUAAGACGUCGGCACCUCAGGGUCUUCCUUCUUUGGCUUUAACCAUUGCUGGAUACUGAUCGGUAUCUUGUCCCUAACAAGAACCCCGCACUGAGCACGAAAUGCAACCCUUGUCCGGAUGGGUUCAAUCGGCUUGCCAUCGGGCGCGAUUGCUGUGAUCUCAAACCUUUCAUCCGAGCGCAAAUUUUUCUUUGGGCCUCGUUUCUUUACCGAAGUUGAGCUCGAUCCGAAGGGCUAGAGAAAUAAGAAGAAAGACGAGAGUUAAUUAAUAUGUGUACAUAUGAAAACAAUGAAUGCAUCAGUUAACUAGUCAGCACGGGCUUAACUAAUAUAUAUAUACCUGGCCGAACUCGGUUCGGUCACCGGAGCCGUCAUCACGGUCUCCUUCUUGUACCUCGAUUGGGUCACCAGAGCCAUCAUGAACAUAGCCCUCUUCUUGUAUCGGCACUAAUGGGUCACCGGAGCCAUCAUUAACAUAGCCCUCUUCUUCACUCGGUCCUUCCUGACCAUCGGUGUCGUAGAGAAACGACACAAUGACAUCAGUUCCUUGUGCGAUUAUCUCCCCCAACAUCGCUUUUGAUGCUUUGUCUCGGGAGGGAUCCAUAGUUUCUGCAAAUAUUUACAACAUGUCAAUUAUUAUUCAAACAUGGUACAGAUGGAUAUAUAUUAUUGGCAAACGUAGAACUAGCUAGCUAAUCACAAUAAGGAAUCAUGUUAGUGGCCUCGACGUUGCUUCUCUAGGGUUUGGGGUGGCCUAGACAACGCUUCAAGGGUUUGGGGUGGCCUCGACACAACGCUUCAAGGGUUUGGGGUGGCCUCGACGACAACGCUCUUUUAACUUGGUAAAUUUGGGUGGCCUCGAGAGAGUUUGUCGGGUAGGGGCGAGGCGGGAGGGGGUAGGAGACCAACAUCGUUUUUUCUCUAGGGUUUGGGUGUCCUCGAGAGUUUUGGUCGAGCGAGAGAGCCGAGGGGGGUGCUCCCGUGGUAUAAGUUAUCACGGUCGAGAGUGGGUAUAUAUAUCGAUCGCCCCUUAUGUCGAAGUUAUCCGGGAGGGGGUUAUAUCGACAACGACGCGACAUACAUAUACAUGGGAAAAUAAUGUUAUCGGGGAAGGGGUAUAUCGGUACCCCCCCCCUCGAGUUGAAGUUCGAUCGGGAGGGGGUAUAUCGACAACGACAUACCAGAUAAAAAAUAAGAAGACAAAAGAAGAAAUAAAAAGAGGAGAAGAAGAAAGGAAUAGAAGAGAAGCAAUCGAAGAAAAAAAGAAGAAAAAAAAGAGAAGAAGAAAGGAAUAGAGGAGUAAGAAGAAAAAAAAAUAGAAAAUUAAUUUUCUAUUUUUUUUCUUCUUACUCCUCUAUUCCUUUCUUCUUCUCCUCUUCUUUUUCUUCUUUUUUCCUCUUCUUAUUUAUUUCUCCUCUUCUUCCUCUCCUCUUCUUCUCCUUUCUUCCUCUUCUUAUUUUCCUUUUUCUCCUCUCAUUCUUUUUCUUCUUCUUCGUUAUCUUCCUAGCUAUAUAUAAUACUUUUCUAAAAAUGUAACUUUUGCAUAUAUAAAUCUUUUUCUUCUUCUUACUUCUUCCUUCUUUUCCUAAAUAUAUAAAACUUUUCUAAAAAUGAAACUAACCUAAAAUGUAGUAAAUUAGAGAACAUAUAUAGAUAAAACUAACCUAAAAUGUACCCAAAUGUGCUAAAAAUCUAACUUUCAUAUGCACAGAAAACAUACAUACAUAUAUACAUUUUUAUAAAAAUGCAAAAACAAAUCAUCAUUUAUAUGAACAAAGGAGAGGACAGGGUGGGCGGCGCCGGCCUGACCAAGGAGAGGCACGGCGCCGGCGUCGGUGUAGAGGGCGGCGACGGCCGCAUGGUCGGGGCAGGGGCGAUGGCGAUCGACGGGGCAAAGGGAGGUGACGGCGUCGACGGGGCGGGUAGGGGCGCGGUAGAGGCACGGCGAGGGCGCGCGGCGUGGUCGGGGGGCAGGGGCGACGACGGCGUGGUCGGGCCGGGCAACGGCGGCGUGGUCGGGGCAGGGGCGACGACGGCGAGCUCGGGCAGCCUGGCGGCGUCGUCGGAGGAAUCGAAGAAACCGACGAAAUUUUCACAAAUGCUGGCUUAUAUAGCAAAGCCAUUGGUACCGGUUCGUGGCACCAACCGGUACCAAUGCCUCCUUUAGUCCUGGUUCGUGCCACAAACCGGGACCAAAGUCCGCCGCUUCCCGCCCGUUGGGCUGGUGAAAAGUGACCUUUGGUCCCGGUUGGUGGCACCAACCGGGACUAAAGGUCACUUUUCAGCAACCCAAAGGGCGGGAAGCGGUGGCCUUUGGUCCCGGUUGGUGCCACGAACCAGUACCAAUGCACCCCCUUUAGUCCCGGUUGGUUCCACAAACCGGGACCAAAUUCUGCCCGCGUCACGGCCAAAGUUUAGUCACACCUCGCUAGUUGAGAGGGGCGCGCAGUGGUUUAUAAGCCCCACUGCCGCACCCCUCUCGAGCUCCUCUCCACUGCAGGCUUACGGGCCUACUUGCUACUUCUUUGCCUGAUGGGCCUUCUGGGCCUACUAUGGGCCUGAAUCCUGGCCCAUGGAUGGGUUUAUAGUCGUAUUCACGCCGUGGUGGCCCAGUUGGUGGCAAAUGUUUUAUUUUUUCCCAGUUUUUUUUGUUUUCUUUUUUUUUAUUUUUUUUUUUUUNNNNNNNNNNNNNNNNNNNNNNNNNNNNNNNNNNNNNNNNNNNNNNNNNNNNNNNNNNNNNNNNNNNNNNNNNNNNNNNNNNNNNNNNNNNNNNNNNNNNNNNNNNNNNNNNNNNNNNNNNNNNNNNNNNNNNNNNNNNNNNNNNNNNNNNNNNNNNNNNNNNNNNNNNNNNNNNNNNNNNNNNNNNNNNNNNNNNNNNNNNNNNNNNNNNNNNNNNNNNNNNNNNNNNNNNNNNNNNNNNNNNNNNNNNNNNNNNNNNNNNNNNNNNNNNNNNNNNNNNNNNNNNNNNNNNNNNNNNNNNNNNNNNNNNNNNNNNNNNNNNNNNNNNNNNNNNNNNNNNNNNNNNNNNNNNNNNNNNNNNNNNNNNNNNNNNNNNNNNNNNNNNNNNNNNNNNNNNNNNNNNNNNNNNNNNNNNNNNNNNNNNNNNNNNNNNNNNNNNNNNNNNNNNNNNNNNNNNNNNNNNNNNNNNNNNNNNNNNNNNNNNNNNNNNNNNNNNNNNNNNNNNNNNNNNNNNNNNNNNNNNNNNNNNNNNNNNNNNNNNNNNNNNNNNNNNNNNNNNNNNNNNNNNNNNNNNNNNNNNNNNNNNNNNNNNNNNNNNNNNNNNNNNNNNNNNNNNNNNNNNNNNNNNNNNNNNNNNNNNNNNNNNNNNNNNNNNNNNNNNNNNNNNNNNNNNNNNNNNNNNNNNNNNNNNNNNNNNNNNNNNNNNNNNNNNNNNNNNNNNNNNNNNNNNNNNNNNNNNNNNNNNNNNNNNNNNNNNNNNNNNNNNNNNNNNNNNNNNNNNNNNNNNNNNNNNNNNNNNNNNNNNNNNNNNNNNNNNNNNNNNNNNNNNNNNNNNNNNNNNNNNNNNNNNNNNNNNNNNNNNNNNNNNNNNNNNNNNNNNNNNNNNNNNNNNNNNNNNNNNNNNNNNNNNNNNNNNNNNNNNNNNNNNNNNNNNNNNNNNNNNNNNNNNNNNNNNNNNNNNNNNNNNNNNNNNNNNNNNNNNNNNNNNNNNNNNNNNNNNNNNNNNNNNNNNNNNNNNNNNNNNNNNNNNNNNNNNNNNNNNNNNNNNNNNNNNNNNNNNNNNNNNNNNNNNNNNNNNNNNNNNNNNNNNNNNNNNNNNNNNNNNNNNNNNNNNNNNNNNNNNNNNNNNNNNNNNNNNNNNNNNNNNNNNNNNNNNNNNNNNNNNNNNNNNNNNNNNNNNNNNNNNNNNNNNNNNNNNNNNNNNNNNNNNNNNNNNNNNNNNNNNNNNNNNNNNNNNNNNNNNNNNNNNNNNNNNNNNNNNNNNNNNNNNNNNNNNNNNNNNNNNNNNNNNNNNNNNNNNNNNNNNNNNNNNNNNNNNNNNNNNNNNNNNNNNNNNNNNNNNNNNNNNNNNNNNNNNNNNNNNNNNNNNNNNNNNNNNNNNNNNNNNNNNNNNNNNNNNNNNNNNNNNNNNNNNNNNNNNNNNNNNNNNNNNNNNNNNNNNNNNNNNNNNNNNNNNNNNNNNNNNNNNNNNNNNNNNNNNNNNNNNNNNNNNNNNNNNNNNNNNNNNNNNNNNNNNNNNNNNNNNNNNNNNNNNNNNNNNNNNNNNNNNNNNNNNNNNNNNNNNNNNNNNNNNNNNNNNNNNNNNNNNNNNNNNNNNNNNNNNNNNNNNNNNNNNNNNNNNNNNNNNNNNNNNNNNNNNNNNNNNNNNNNNNNNNNNNNNNNNNNNNNNNNNNNNNNNNNNNNNNNNNNNNNNNNNNNNNNNNNNNNNNNNNNNNNNNNNNNNAACUAGAUGCACUUCGUAUACAAAACGGACAAUCUCCUUCGAAGUAUAAGGGUUUCAUACGGAAACUCGUGUGUUACAAAGGGAUUUCAAUUUUUUUAACUUAUUUGAACCCCCUUGUUUUUCUGUGUUCAAAAUGUACCAUUCAAAGCCACAUCAUCAAUUUACAACCCUUUCUGACUUCAUUUGUUAUUUUUCAUGCAUUUACUGAUUAUUUUCACCUAUAAGACCAUGAAAUUGAAAAGCAUUUGAAAUGAACUCUCGAAAGGUUCCAAGUUGGCAUGGUAUCAUCAUUUCACCCACAUAGCAUGUGCAAGAAAGUAGAGAGGCUUGCAUCAAAAACUGGAUGCACUUCGUGUACAAAACGGACAAUCUCCUUCGAAGUAUCAGGGUUUAAUACAGAAACUCGUCUGUUACAAAGGGAUUUCAAUUUUUUUUAACUUAUUUGAACCCCCUUGUUUUUCUGUGUUCAAAAUGCAUAAUUAAAAGCCACAUCAUCAAUUUACAACCCUUUCUGACUUCAUUUGUUAUUUUUCAUGCAUUUACUGAUUAUUUCCAGCUAUAAGACCAUGAAAUUGAAAAGCAUUGAAAUGAACUCUGAAAAGGUUCCAAGUUGGCAUGGUAUCAUCAUUUCACCCACAUAGCAUGUGCAAGAAAGUAGAGAGGCUUACGGCAAAAACUAGAUGCACUUCGUAUACAAAACGGACAAUCUCCUUCGAAGUAUAAGGGUUUCAUACGGAAACUCGUGUGUUACAAAGGGAUUUCAAUUUUUUUAACUUAUUUGAACCCCCUUGUUUUUCUGUGUUCAAAAUGUACCAUUCAAAGCCACAUCAUCAAUUUACAACCCUUUCUGACUUCAUUUGUUAUUUUUCAUGCAUUUACUGAUUAUUUUCACCUAUAAGACCAUGAAAUUGAAAAGCAUUUGAAAUGAACUCUCGAAAGGUUCCAAGUUGGCAUGGUAUCAUCAUUUCACCCACAUAGCAUGUGCAAGAAAGUAGAGAGGCUUGCAUCAAAAACUGGAUGCACUUCGUGUACAAAACGGACAAUCUCCUUCGAAGUAUCAGGGUUUAAUACAGAAACUCGUCUGUUACAAAGGGAUUUCAAUUUUUUUUAACUUAUUUGAACCCCCUUGUUUUUCUGUGUUCAAAAUGCAUAAUUAAAAGCCACAUCAUCAAUUUACAACCCUUUCUGACUUCAUUUGUUAUUUUUCAUGCAUUUACUGNNNNNNGUAUCACGGUUUCAUACGGAAACUCGUCUUUUACAAAGGGAUUUCAUUUUUUUGAACUUAUUUUAACCCCCUUGAUUUUCUGUGUUCAAAAUGCACCAUUCAAAGCCACAUCAUCAAUUUACAACUCUUUCUGACUUCAUUUGUUAUUUUUAUGCAUUUAUUGAUUAUUUUCAGCUAUAAGACCAUGAAUUUGUAAAGCAUUUGAAAUGAACUCUGAAAAGGUUCCAAGUUGGCAUGGUAUCAUCAUUUCACCCANUAGAUGCACUUCGUGUACAAAACGGACAAUCUCCUUCGAAGUAUCACAGUUUCAUACGGAAACUCGUCUGUUACAAAGGGAUUCCAAUUUUUUUGAACUUAUUUGAACCCCCUUGUUUUUUUGUGUUCAAAAUGCACCAUUCAAAGCCACAUCAUCAAUUUACAACCCUUUCUGACUUCAUUUGUUAUUUUUCAUGCAUUUACUGAUUAUUUUCAGCUAUAAGACCAUGAAAUUGUAANNNNNNNNNNNNNNNNNNNNNNNNNNNNNNNNNNNNNNNNNNNNNNNNNNNNNNNNNNNNNNNNNNNNNNNNNNNNNNNNNNNNNNNNNNNNNNNNNNNNNNNNNNNNNNNNNNNNNNNNNNNNNNNNNNNNNNNNNNNNNNNNNNNNNNNNNNNNNNNNNNNNNNNNNNNNNNNNNNNNNNNNNNNNNNNNNNNNNNNNNNNNNNNNNNUCAUUUCACCCACAUAGCAUGUGCAAGAAAGUAGAGAGGCUUACGGCAAAAACUGGAUGCAUGUCGUGUACAAAACGGACAAUCUCCUUCGAAGUAUCACGGUUUCAUACGGAAACUCAUCUGUUACAAAGUGAUUUCAAUUUUUUGAACUUAUUUGAACCCCCUUGUUUUUCUGUGUUCAAAAUGCACCAUUCAAAGCCACAUCAUCAAUUUACAACCCUUUUUGACUUCAUUUGUUAUUUUUCAUGCAUUUACUGAUUAUUUUCAGCUAUAAGACCAUGAAAUUGUAAAGCAUUUGAAAUAAACUGUGAAAAGGUUCCAAGUUGGCAUCGUAUUAUCAUUUCACCCACAUAGCAUGUGCAAGAAAGUAGAGAGGCUUACGACAAAAAAUAGAUGCACUUCGUGUACAAAAUGGACAAUCUCCUUCGAAGUAUCAGUGUUUCAUACGGAAACUCGUCUGUUACAAAGGGAUUUCAAUUUUUUUGAACUUAUUUGAACCCCCUUGUUUUUCUGUGUUCAAAAUGCACCAUUCAUAGUUGUAAGACCAUGAAGUUGAAAAGCAUUUGAAAUGAACUCUGAAACCAAAGUACAUACAUAGUUCUCGAGAGCAUUAAAACCAAAGUACAUACAUAGUUCUCAUUGAACAACAUAUAGCUCUCUAGAGCAUCUAAUUAAACCAUACAUUGAGAUUAUGUAAAAAAUUUCAAUGCAAAAACAAAUGCGAUCAUAACCGCUACCAAGGUAACAACUGAUCCAACUGCAUAAUGAUACCAAGCCUCGGUAGGAAUGGCAUAUUUUCUAAUCUUUUUAAUCUUCAACCGCAUUGCAUCCAUCUUGAUCUUGUGAUCAUCGACGACAUCCGCAACAUGCAAGUCCAAUAUCAUCUUCUCCUCCUCAAUUUUUCUUACUUUUUCCUACAAGUAAUUGUUUUCUUCUUCAACUAAAUUUAACCUCUCGACAGUAGGGUCGGUUGGAAUUUCCGGUUCAACAACCUCCUAGAUAAAUAAAAUCUAUGUCACAUUGGUCGGCAUAAUUGUCAUAAACAAUAAAUGAACCAAAUAGUUAUGAAAAGAUAAUAUAUACCACAUGUGAAUCAUAGACAGGACGAGGGCCGACGGGGGCGGAUACCAAAACCAUCGCACUAUAUAAUAACAAGGAAUAAUAAAAGUAAGAAAAUUAGACAAGUAUCUAUCUGAAGUCAGAAUUUUUUUCUUUCAGAAAGAAGAUAAGAACAAGAGGCUCACCAUGGUGGUGCUGGCGACGAGAUCGGCGCGGGCAAUCGACGGCGAUGAAGACGGGGCGUGACGGACCGCUAAAUCUAGACAAAUCUCGUUGAAAAUGGAGCUCGGAGGUCGAGUUUCGAGAGGAGAAAGCUUAACUAGUGUGGCUCGGGCAUUUCAUCGAACACCUCAUGUGCAUAGGAGGUGAACUAGAGCACCCAAAUGCCCUCCCCUCGCCGGCUUGACAAAAACAGAGCACUGUGGAGUGCUCUGCCGUGGCGGUGGGUAUAUGUAGGCAAGUUAUUUGUCCCGGUUCAAGCCACGAACCGGGACCAAUGGUUGUGGGCCAGCAGCGAGGACCAUUGGCCCCGGUUCGUGGCUCGAACCGGGACAAAUGGUUACACAUGAACCGGGACCAAUGCCCACGAGGCCCCCGCCGGCCCCCUGGGCUCACGAACCGGGUCUAAUACCCCCCAUUGGUCCCAGUUCUUGAAGAACCGGGACUAAUGGGCUGGCCAGGGCUGAAACGAUAGCCCUGUUUUCUACUAGUGGAAGAACCUAAUGAUAUUUCUGCGUCUGAUGCAGAAACACAAUCUGGUGAUGAACAUGAACCUGGUGACAAUAUGGAUAGUGAUGUUCAUAAUAAUGCUCAACCUAGCAAUGAUGAGGAUGUGGAGAUUGAACCGGCGGUUAAUCCUGAUAACCCACAACCUAAGAAGUACCAUAAGAAUGACUUCACUGCUAGGAAGCAUGGUAAUGAAAGGGAGCCAUGGGUUCAGAGACCUAUGCCCUUUCCUGCUAAGCCAUCCAAGAAAAAGGAUGAUGAGGAUUUUGAGCGCUUCGUUGAGAUGAUAAGACCCGUCUUUCUGCAGAUGCGGUUAACUGAUAUGCUCAAGAUGUCUCCGUAUGCCAAGUACAUGAAAGAUAUUGUGACUAAUAAACGGAAGAUACCAGAUCUUGAGAUCUCCACCAUGCUUGCCAAUUACACUUUCAAAGGUGGAACUCCUAAGAAACUUGGUGAUCUCAGAGUGCCCACUAUACCUUGCUCCAUUAAAGGGAACUACGUAAGAACUGCCUUAUGUGACCUUGUAGCCGGUGUUAGUGUUAUGCCGCUCUCUCUUUAUCGUAGACUUGAAUUGGAUAAGUUGACACCCACUGAAAUUUCUCUGCAAAUGGCUGACAAAUCAACUACUUUCCCUAUCGGCAUUUGCGAGGAUGUGCCUGUUGUGGUUGCUAACACCACUAUCUUAACAGACUUUGUUAUCUUGGAUAUUCCCAAGGACGAUGCCAUGGUUGUCAUCCUCGGAAGACCCUUUUUAAACACCGCAGGGGCUGUUAUAGAUUGAAACAAAGGCAAUGUCACUUUCCAUGUCAACGGUAACGAGCACACAGUGCACUUUCCGAAGAAACGAUAUCCAGUACAUUGCAUCAAUGCUAUCGAAAAGACUUCAUCGAUUCUCAUUGGGAGCUUUGAAUGCCCUAUUCCUCGUGUCAAGAUGAAGUAUGAUUUGCUUGUUGGGGAGUUACAUAUCCCCAUUGAGGUGACUUAGUGGCUAUCAGAAAAUUCUCCGUUCUCUCUUGCGAUUCGAGAAGGUUUUGUCAUAAGGACUUGAUCAAUCCCAUUGACGGAUUUCUUUCGAUGACCAUGAAACGGAUGAAUCAAAGAGUCACAUACCUCUGUUUUGAGCUUUCAUUUUAUUUUGCUUAGAAUAAAAAUGAUAGAAUUAGUUUAGUUUUUCCUGUUUUCUGUUUUAGCGUCCGGGAGAAAAAUACCUCGAAAAUAAAAGUUCUUCGAUGGUCCUGAAAAUUUGUAUGAUUUUUUCUGGAAUUUUUGAAAAAUUAUGGGCCUGAGAGCUUGCCUUGGGGCCUGACCAGUGGGCCACAAGCCCUCCCACUGCCACCUACCCCCCUGGUGGUGGGGUGCAAGCUUGUGGGGCCCACAGGCACCCCCUCCACUCAUUCCAGCUCUCAGCCUCUUCUUCCACCUCCAGAAAAAAUUGUUUCGCAGCUCAAACCCAUCUUCUUGAUCAUUUGGCUGUGAUUUUCGAUCUCCUUGCUCAAGCACCAUUCUCCGAACCGUUUGGGAAAAUUACUCCUUGGUAAGUGACUCCUCAUUGGUCCAAUUAGUUUUUGCUCUAGUGCUUUAUCCUUCGCGUAUUCUUGCUACCUUGGUGACCAUGUUCUUGAGCUUGAAAAGUUGAUUUUAGCUGGUCCCAAGUAGUUUUAGCGCGUGAUACGGUCUCUAGGCACUAGUAGGAGUAGUUGCUACAAGUUGGGUUAAUCUUUAUUCGCUUUUCUUUCGAACUCUCUAAAAAUUUCAGAAAUAAAGGAAAAGACGAGGAGGUUCUUGAGAGGCUCUUCAAGCUGUAACCCCAAGGAGGAUGAGAAGAACCACCCCAAGUACGUAGUCCCUCGAGUCACAGAAGUUCGAGCGUGCGAGUGGCCAAGUGAUGAAUUUUUGCGCGCCGCCGGAUUUUAUGAAGACUUUUAUUACUUGGUGGAGAACGCAGGUCUUACUGCGUUCGUUGAAGAUAAGUUCCCACAAUACCUCCUCCUCACCAAUAUUUUCGUUCAAAGCUUCAACUUUUAUCCGAGGAAGAAUCCUCCCAUGGUUGAGUUCAUGAUAUACGAUGUUCCCCAGUGCAUGACACUACAGGAUUUUUGCAAUGUAUGCAAAUUACCUUAUGUUGGGGAUAUCCGUGAUCCUCGUCCACGGGACUUGGAGGAUUUCAUUAGUUCUAUUGCUGUUGGAGAGGAGAGAGGAGUGUCUUGUGCUAGAAUUGCUAGCAUACAUUUUCCUGUGCUCCGGUACUUCUCACUAUUUGUAGGAAAAUGUUUGAUUGGCUGUGGGGAGGCUGGAUCACUUAGUUCUCCAGACCAUGCAGUUUUGCGCGAAGGCCUUUAUAACGAUAAGACUUACAACCUAGGUGUUAUAGUGGCUCAGCGGUUGAACAUCAACCGUUCCAAGGGUGUCGUCUAUGGAGGUAUCUAUGCUACCCGUCUUGCCAGACACUUUGAGAUACCCAUUAGACUGGGAGAGGAAGGAGAGAUGCUUCUCCCUGAGAAAUAUCUGGAUUAUGACAGCAUGGUUUGCCAUGAUUUUCUGGAUAGAGAUGCUAGUAGACGGAUGAUUUAUAACCUGGUAUUUAGUCAGGGUACUCGAGAGACUAUUACUUUGCCUGCUCCUUCUUUGUUUGAUCUUCAUGCAGGAAGGUACACUAUUAUGCCCGUGGACAUCUACGCAUAUUGGGGCUUGGCCCAACCAUAGGCGCCCGUGCCCGAGCCGCCAGUCGAGUACCAGACGCCGGUUUAUCAGUGGGAGCCAGAGGAGCUCACACAGCAGUGGCAUCAACAGUCUGCUCCGGAGUAUCCUGGAGCUGGUUAUUUCCCACCUUGGGAGUAGACCAAGCUAGGCCAAAAGCCUAAGCUUGGGGGAGUGCGUGUUCUCACCGACUUUACGUUCAUGCUUAUGCUUUCACUCUGAUAGCCGGUGUUUACACUUUGCCACUUUAUUAUCUAUGCUAGUUUAUUUUCGUUUUCUUGUUUUCUUGUUUUGUGUCCUUUUGAGAAAACCCAAAAAGAUUUUUCUUUCUUCUUUUGCUUGUUGGGAGCUUUCCCGUGUAAAUAGUUUUCUUUUUAUUUGUGUCAAGGUAGAAGAUGUUGGUUAUAAUGUUUAUUGGUUCUUGCAUGCUUACCUGUUCAGCUUUCAAAGAGCCAUAUUACUUUGUCUUCUCCUUUGUGUUUGUCUGCAGAUUCGGCUUAGUCCAAUGUUCUUAUUAUCGUUCACAUCGUUCGAUCGUGCAAAUGAAAGGAAAUAAUGAUGAUAUAUGAUGAAGUGACUGAGACUGAAAAGCUGGUAUGAACUCUAGAUAUUUUGUUUUUGUAAAUAUGACUAGCUUGUCGACCCACAUUUAGCUUUGUUGUGAGAGAACCAUGUUUGCAAUGACAACUUAGAGAUCACAGUUUCUGAUGCCAUGCUUAUUUAGCUGAGAGUUUAUAAUGGUUUGUCUUGAAUGCCAACAUAGAUUUUGAGAUGACUAUGAUGUAGUAUGAUAGGAUGGUAUUCUCCUUUGAAUGUUUCAAUUGGCUUGACUUGGCGCAUGUUCAUGCAUGUAGUUGAAACAAAAUCAACAUAGCCUCUAUGAUGUUCGUAUUCAUGGUGAUUUAUAUCAUGUUCAUGCUUGCAUUCAAUGUUAGUCAAACUCAUUGCAUCUUGAUGACUGUUGUCGCUCUCUAGUUGGUCGCUUCCCAGUCUUUUGCUAGCCUUCACUUGUACUAAGCGGAAUACUGCUUGUGCAUCCACUUCCAUAAACCCAAAAGUUUUUCCAUGAGAGUCCACCAUACCUACCUAUUUGCGGUAUCUACCUGCCGUUCCAAGUAAAUUUGCAUGUGCCAUUCUCUAAACCUUCAAGAAAUAAUCUGUUUUGCAUGCCCGAACCGCUCAUGUGGUGACAGGGGGCUAUUGGUAUCUUCCAUGCUAGGAGUGUUAUCCUCGACAUGUGUUUAUUCACUGUCAUUCACGAGAAAGGGGCCGGUAAUUGGAAUGCCCAGUUCCACGCUUAAAUCGAAAACAUAACUGUAAAACAAGACUCCCCCCGGAUUGAUGUUAGUAUGGACGGUACCCGAGGAUUCGGCUAGCCGUGGAGUGUGAUUGAUUGGUGGUGGGGGAGUUAAAACUUCACUUUUCUGUUUGGGAACUGCCUAUAGCAUGAGUAGCAUGGAAGAUAUUGAGAACUCUUGGUCAUUGCGUUGACAAUGAAAGCAUGCCACCCAAAAUUAUUAUCUCUGUUUUCAAAGCUUGAGCUCUGGCACCUCCGCAAAUCAAUGCUUCCCUCUGCGAAGGGUCUGUCUAUUUAUUUUCCUGUUGAGUCAUCCUCCUCUUAUAUAAGCACCAAUUAGAGAGCACCUCUGUCAUUUUUAUGCUUUGCUUUUGAUUGAUAUUGAGUAUGACUAUGACUGGAUCUUCGUUGCUAUGAAUUACAAUGUUUAGUCAGCCUUUUGAUCUUUGAAAGUGCUCUGCAUUUAUGUUUUGCAGUCUCAGAAAGAGCUAGCGAGAUACCACCUAUUCAUAUUGCUUCAUGCUUGUUUUGAUUGAAGUGUUGGUAUUUGAAACUCAUUAUUAUUUGCUCGUUAGGUGAUUAUGCCAUUGAUAUUAGUUACUGUGAGACCUUUGUGUCAUUUGCUUAUGUGGUUAACUUGUGAUCUUGCUGAAAUUCUGGUUAUGAGUUAGACAUAGUUGCAACAACAAGAUCAAACAGAGUUUGUCAAAGUUUUUCUUUCUCUCUCAGUUUGUCAACUGAGUUGCUUGAGGACAAGCAAGGUUUUAAGCUUGGGGGAGUUGAUACGUCUCCAUCGUAUCUACUUUUCCACACUCUUUUGCCCUUGUUUUGGACUCUAAUUUCUAUGAUUUGAAUGGAACUAACCUGGACUGACGCUUUUUUCAGCAGAAUUGCCUUGGUGUUAUUUUUGUGCAGAAAUCAAAGUUCUCCAAACGUCCUGAAAAUUUACGGGGAGCAGUUUUGGAAAAUAUAAGAAAUAUCUGCGCCAAGUUCCACCUGAGGGAGUGGGCCAGUGGGCCACAAGCCCUGGCUCCGCCACCACCCCCCUGGUGGCGGUGGACAGGCUUGUGGGGCCCACACGGCUCUGCCGCCCCCAAUCUCAGGUCUAUAAGUCUCCUUUCGUCCCAGAAAAAAUAAAAAGAGAAGUUUUCGUCGCGUUUACGAUACGGAGGCGCCGCCACCACGUGUUCUUCAUCUGGAGGGCAGAUCUGGAGUCCAUCUUGGGCUCCGGAGAGGGGAAAUCCUCGCCAUCGUCAUCAUCAACCUUCUUCCCUCUCCAAUUCCAUGAAGCUCUUCAUCGUUCGUGAGUAAUAUAUUCGUAGGCUCGCUGGCCGGUGAUGAGUAGGAUGAGAUCUAUCAUGUAAUCGAGUUAGUUUUGAUGGGGAUUGAUCCUUAGUAUCCACUAUGUUCUGAGAUUGACGUUGGUACUACUUUGUCAUGCUUAAUGCUUGUCACUAGGGCCCGAGUGCCAUGAUUUCAGAUCUGAAAUUAUUAUGUUGUCACCAAUAUAUGGGUGUUUUAGAUCCGAUCUUGCAAGUUGUAGUUAUCUACUAUGUGUUAUGAUCCGGCAACCCCGAAGUGACAAUAACCGGAACCACUCACGGUGAUGACCAUAGUUUGAGGAGUUCAUGUGUUCACCAAGUGCUAAUGCGUUGGUCCGGUUCUUUAUUAAAAGGAGAACCUUAAUAUCCCGUAGUUUUCUUUUGGACCCCGUUGCCACGGGAGGAAUGGACAAUAGAUGUCAUGCAAGUUCUUUUCCCUAAGCACGUAUGACGACACACGGAAUGCAUGCCUACAUCACAUUCACGAACGGGAGCUAGCCACAUAUCUCUCCGUGUUAUAGCUGUUGCAUGAUGAAUAUCAUCCAAACAAAUCACCGACCCAUUGCCUACGAGUUUGUCCUACUGCUGUUGUUACUACUGUUGCUACUGCUGUUACUUGUCUUGCUCUGUUGUUGUUACUACUGUUGCUACUGCUGUUACUUGUCUUGCUCUGCUGCUGCUACUACUGUUGCUACUUGCUACUGCUGUCACUACUGUUGUUCCUUGUUGCUGCUAUUGCUAGUUACACUGUUGCUACCUGCUACAAUUUUGGUUCGUUGAACGUUGACGGGAACUGACAACUUCCGUCAACACGGCAACUUGGCGCCAUUGAUACAAUCGUUAGGAAUAGUCUGUCGUCAACAGAUCGUCUGUGACAUCGUUGUUAUCAUACUACUUUGCUACUGAUACUUUGCUUGCAAAUACUAAUCUUUCAGGUGUGGUUGAAUUUGACAUAUUCAGCUGCUAAUACUUGAGAGUAUACUCUCACCUCCCAUCGUGCAAAUCAACAAAUUUGGGUCGAAUACUUUACCCUCGAAAACUGCUACGAUCCCACGCGUUGGUGGGCCGUCAACAACAUUCUUCUAGUUUCGGUUGCCGGGGAUUGCAAUCAGCAUUCUUCUGGUGCCAUUGCAGGGGAAGGUCUGUUGUCAUCAGCACUCGUCUAGCUAUUGCCAGAGAGUGCCAGUCAAAACCCUAGAAGCUAGAUGGGCCAAGAUGCAGGCCUGCAGAAGGCCUAGUAGGACCACACGGCAGAGAGUGUGUGUUUAGGCCCGUAGGCCUGCGUUUGAGAGGAGCUCGAGAGAGUUGGCGCAGCGGGGCUUAUAAACAACUCUCAGCUCCUCUCAACUAGCGAGGUGGGACUAAACAUUUAGCCGCAGCAUCACCCCCCUUUAGUCCCGGCUUGGAGCUCUAACCGGGACUAAAGGCCCCCCUUUAGUCCCGGUUGGAGCCCCAAACCGGGACAAAAGGUCCACCUAUAUAAGCUGGUCGAUGGAAUUUUUCCAAUCCAAAUCGCCAGUUCCUUCUUCCUCCUCUUGCCUGACUGCACCGACGACCACCUCGACACUGCCAGGCUGCCCGACUACGCCGUCGUCGACGCCCUGCCGUCCCCGAGCCCGAUGACCAUCGCCAGCGUCGGACCUCCUCGCGCGCCCUCCUCCCUGUCGUCGAGCCCGCUCCUCGUUGUCACCGGCCUCCACAGCUCUCCAUCCCCGGGCACCAGUGAGCUCCUCUUGUCGCCACCGUCGCGCCCACACCGUCGUCGACCUCGUGCCCCCGCCAUUGUUGCGCGACCCGCGCCAUCGUCGCCGUGCCCUCCCCCGAGCCUCCUCAUCGUCGCCGCACCCUCCCCCUCCGGUGAGAAGUAUGGCAUUUUUAUAUGUGCUCUGUUUUUUUAAAUGAGAUGUAUGAGAUGUUUUGUGAAGAUGAGAUGAGAUGAGAUGUUUUGUUUAAAUGUGAGAGAGAUGAGAGAAUUUCUUUUAGGUUUUUUUAGAUAGAGAAACAAAUGUUAAAAUUUGCAUGUACUCUGGCUUUUUUGUUGCAUAAUGAGAUUAGAUGAGAUGAGUCCCCGACGAUCGUCAGAGGAGUCCUCGACGAUCGCCGGUGAGGAGUCCCUGGCGAUCGUCGGAGGAGUCCCCGACGAUCGCCGGUGAGGAGUCCCUCACGAUCGUCAAAGGAGUCCCCGAUGGUCGUUAGAGGAGUCUUAGACGAUCGUCGGUGAAGAUUCCCCGACGAUCGCCUGUGUGGAGUCCCCAACGGUUGUCAGAGGAGUCCCCGAUGAUCGUCGGUGAAGAGUUCUCGACAAUCGUCGAUGAGGAGUCCCCGCCGAUCGUCGGAGGAGUCCACGACGAUCGCCGAUGAGGAGACCCCGACGGUUUGUGGCACGAACCGGCCGGGACUAAAGGUCCUAAAAAGAACUGGAACUGAUAUCCGCCGAGGCCCGACCGGCGUCCUGACCGUUCGAACCGGGACUGAUGCACGGUUCAUAAGUCGAUCUAGGCUAAUGUUCUUAUCAAGCCAUGAUCAAAGCCUGUUUUCUACAAGUGUGAGGUAGUCGCUGUUUUAGGGUUUGGCAUAGGGCCUUUGAUUUUGACGCCCCGUCCCUGAUUCGUGGCAUGUUCUUUCUAGAUCUCUCUAUUUUUUAACGUACAGAGAAAUAAAAAAGUACAAAGAGAAAACGGCACGACAAAAAAAAGAAGCAGAAUUAGGCUAGGUGUAGAAGUGGGAGAUUCCAUCCAAAUAUCUCCUUUGAAACAGUAGAGCCUAGAGGGUGUUUGUUUCCAGGGACUUAUUGGUUUAGGGACUUAAAAAAGUCCCUAUAAGUCCCACCUAAACCAAACACAAGGGACUUAUUGGGACUUGUUCUCGUGAUUAGGGACUUAUCAAAUAAGACUCUCAGGCAGGAGCUUAUUGGGACUUAUCCCGGGCCGGACCUACCCCGCGUCGCUCCAGGCUCGUUCCCCGCACGCCGCCCCGCCUCUCGGUCCAAUCGCCGCCGCCGCCCCGCCUCUCGCCCCGUCGCCGCCCCAUCGCCGCCCCGCCCCUCGCUCCGGUCGCCGCCCCGUCGCCGCCCCGCCUCUCGCUCCGGUCGCCGCCCCGCCUCUCGCUCCGGUUGCCGCACCGUCGCCGCCCCGCCUCGGUUCGUUCUGCCUCGGUUCGCCGCCCCGCCUCGGUUUGUUCUGCCUCGGUUCGUUGCAACGGUGCCUCCAAUCGCCGGACAAGCCCUUUCCUGAGCCUCGUUGCAGCGGUGCUUAUCCUGUGUGUCGUACGCGUUGGCUGAUGACGAUCCAUGUGAACAAGUGUAUUAUUAGGUGCAACAUGGACUUAUAAGUCCCUAUAAACAAACAGUGGGGACUCGGGACUUAUAAGUCCAUGUAAACAAACAGGGCCUUAGGCCCUGUUUGUUUCAUAAGUCCUAGGACUUUUUUAAGUCCCAACUUAUAAGUCAUAAGGCCCUACCUGUUUGUUUACAUGGACUUAUAAGUCCCGAGUCCCUACCUGUUUGUUUACAGGGGCUUAUAAGUCCAUGUUGCACCUAAUAAAAUACACUUGUUCACAUAACCCUUGUUCAUACAAAUGAAUUGCAGAAUAGUGACAACCGAAAUAAUAAUUGUUCAUAACACUUGUUCAUACAAACGAAUUAACACUUGUUCAUAAGAACCAAAAUAAGACAGAGUACAUAACAACCGAGAUAACAGAAAUUACAGAAGCGAAGAACACUUCUUCAUAUCAUUGUUGUUUCAAGGACCACAACCCAUCAGCGACCCAAGCUCUGAAUUGAUUCAUAGCAGCACUGUCCAUCUCAUUUGUUGAAUCAUUUGUUGUAGUCGUUGGCAUAGACAAUGGUACAUAAUUUUCAUCUUGAUCACACAAGUCGAAAUCUAUAUCGGCGAGUUGGCUUUGUCUAAUAAAAUUGUGCAGUGCAAUGCAAGCCACAAUUAUUUUGCUUUGUUUCUGUUGUGGAUAACUAGGCAAGUGAAACAAAAUCCUCCACUUGUUCUUCAGCACUCCAAAACACCUCUCGAUGACAUUUCUAAGUGAAGAAUGGGUGAAAUUGAAGUGUUCCUUUUUUCCUCUAGGCAUUGUGCCAUCACGGUACUCCUGGAAAUGAUAAGUUAAACCCUUGUAUGGUGAAAGAUAACCCGGUCUAUUUGGGUACCCUGAGUCGACAAGAUAGAACUUAUUAGGUGGAGGUUUUGGAAACUUGUCACCAAAUCUGGAUCGGGCAUCAUUGAAGACCCUCAUGUCAUGCACUGAUCCUGGCCAACCAGCUAGGACAAAUGUAAAUCUCAUAUCAAAGUCACACACACACAUCACAUUCUGACUCUUCUCCUUAUGUCUAUUCCUAUGCUGGGCAGCAGUGGCAACUGGUACCACAACUUGUAUGUGUGUACCAUCUAUUGCACCAAUGCAAUUAUCCAUAAACGGUGCAUACUUUCUAGAUCUUAAUUUUAAAUGCACAGUCCUAAAUUGACGAUCUAUUGGCCUGAUGAUGUCUUUUGCAAGCUUGAUCAGACAUGCCAAAACCUUAUCAAACUUCCUUACAAUUGUCUCCAAUGACCUAACAAAUCUGUUUUUUGCUUGUCUUACAGAUUGAGGGGAACCUACUAUCCAUAGAAACAGGCCUAGAGACUCAACUGAUGACAUUCUUUUAGUGGACUUCAAACCAUAGGAAUCAACAAGCACACUAUGCAAUUUCUCAAACACUGGUCUGUGCAUUCUAAACAUGUUGUAACAGGCCGUUUCGUUGUGUAGUGUUGUCAAAACCCAAUGCCCAGACUCUAUUGGUACUCUUCUAGGUCCUUUGUUACAGUAUGAGUCCAAGUGGUACAUACCAAUCAUGCAGGCCAUCUGCAUCAUUCUUCUCUUUCUUUUUUGGUGCAUGAACAACAUCAGUGCUUCGUCAUCACUGCUGCUCCCAUCAUCACUGCUUAUUCCAUCAACAUUGUUGUCAUCAUCCUGAAACAUGCAAACAUUAGUACAACUUAUUCAUCAUGCACCACCUCUGGAACUUGAAAACAUUAGUACGUGCAAAUUAAACACUUGAACAUGGAAUGGUCAUUUAACAAGGUCACACAACACAGGUCCAUUACAUAGUUCUAUUAAAAAGGACAAUCAAGAUAACUAGUACACUAGUACAACUUCUUCAUCAUGCACCACCUCUUCAACCAAGUCAGCCUAGCCUCAUUAGUUGAAAUGUUCUCAAAUAUGACUCUGUUUGCCUCAUCUGCAAAAAGUUGAGUCGCCAUGAAGUACUCAACACUUGUUUCUUCUGCACCACAUUUAACUGCCAACAAUUGACAAUGAGUAAUGGAUUCCUUAGUGUUGUUUGAUUUCUUCUCUCUUGCCUUGUCCUUUGCUUCCUGCCUUUUGUUUGCAUAUUCAGUGAUCAUGUCAGAAGUGUUAUCACUGUUAAUAGUAUUGAUGAGCCCUGUCAUUAGUUUCACCAUUGGGCUCUUGUGUUUCUUUCCUGGGCUUGAAGCUGACUGUUCACCGCCGCUGCUCCCCUUCUUCUUGCUCGUGGUGCUCAUUGGACUCUCCUCAUGUCCAUCAUCGGCAACAUCAUAUUCCUCUUCAUCAUCUUCAUCUAAGGGCACAUAAGCUGAUGAUCCAUCAACUGCCACACCUUGAAAUAGCUCUAUUAGCAUAUCCAAAUACUCAGGAUUGCCACCCUUGAAUUUUCUGACAUCUGGUCUCUCCUGCAUCAUUAGUUAGAUAAUUAGUACAAGGCUGAAUAAUGUAAACAAGUGUGAGCAAUUCAGAUGUAAUUUGAAAAAUAAUGUAUGUACCUUAAUUAUUUUUUUCCACCACUCAUUUGAUGCGGUUAUAGCUCCAUCUCCAGUUCGGCCACAACCAGUUUGCUGCCCCAACCACAUCCAAGCAGUAUAGUAGCUCUUCAGUCUAGCAAUGCAAUUUUUGAAUUGCUUGGUACUAUGCAGGAGGCCCACACGCUGAUAAAUUUUUUUUCUUCAUGUUAUUGUAUGCUCUACUUGUCCAAACAUCAUUCACACAGUGCCCAUCCCUAGCUUCCUCACAGGCGAUGUUACAAAAUAAAGUAAUAUGCGCGUCUGUCCAAUCGGCCUUUGCAAUGGUUUUCUAAACAAAAAUAACAAGUACACAAUUCAAACAUAAAUAACAAGUAGACAUUUCAAACCAAAAAUAACAAGUUCACACAAUUAGCUAGCACAAAAAAAAGAUGAAUUUUAACGCUGAUACAAAAAAAGACCUAUAUACACAAUUUAAAAAGUUACCUCUCCAAAACCAUUGUUGUCAUCUUCAUCUUCAAAGCCUUCAUUCUCGUCGACAUCUUCUGAAGACGCAGCAGUUGACGACACACGUUGCUUCCCCGCAGUUUUUCCUCUAGUGCCGACAGAUGAGGACGCAUUGGCUCGACCUACACCGCGCCCGGUGACCUGCGACACGGUCCUCCCACGGCCUAUGACGCCCCCCUCAACGGCAGCUACGGCCGGGGCGACGAACGGACGCAGGUGAGAGCCGGCUCGACCUCCGAUGUUCAGAGACCGGCUGCGACCUCCUCCGCCCUGGGGCAUGGGCCUACCACGACCAGGUCCGAUCGGAGGAAGGCCAUGACUAGCCGACUGGUCGAAGAGGAGUUGCUGGUACGAGCCCAAUUUCGGGAAAUCGUCGACGUUGCUGUUGAGAUCCAAGGAACGCCCGAAACCCAUUCCCCUCCCGAGAUUUCCACCGGCGGAUGAGAACUGAGAGAAAAAAGGCAUCUGCUCGUCCUCCUCAUCAGCCAUGGUACGGUCACCUCGGACGCGGGGAUCCUCAUCAGCCAUGGCGCGGUAACCUGCAGUCAAUAUGAAUCAUCAUCAGCCUAAUUGUCAACAGCAAACUAGAAAUAUUAUCAUGUGCAAGAAUUGAUUAUUAACUUGCAAUGGAUGUAUGAGUGAGUGCACCGAUCACAGUUUGCUACAUGUGUUAGCAAAAAUUCAACAGCCCUAAUGCAGUACUCGAUCAAGCUGAGACGUAGGUAGCAUACCAGGAUAUAUAUGGGACAAUGAAUAAUUAGAUGUGCCAAUCAAUAUAACCAGCCAGCAGAAAAUAUGAACCUGCAGAUGAACUAGCGAACCUGCAGAUGAACUAGGGAGACGAGGCGGCGGCCGGGCGGCGUCGGGGCGAGCGGGCGGCGGCCCUCGACUCAGUUGGUCACAUACAAUGGCAAUAACACACUAUCAAAAUUAACUGGUCAAUUCUUCGUUUUUAUAUAAAAAGGCAGAACUCCUGCUGGUUCCUCAAAAACAAAAUUAACGUACUACCAAAAUAUGCUGGGUCUUUUCUGUGAUUCGAUCACGGCUGGCGAUCGGUUUGGAGAACCUUUCAACGUCACGGAAACCGGAGAAGGGAACAUGCAUGCAUGCAUGCACGCACGGCACGUGACGAAAUAUACAAAGGCUGGCGCAUACAAGGAGUAGUGGCUGGGGCGCAUGCGCCGAAUUCGUUUGCAUAUAAAAACAGCACGUGGAAAAUAGUUUACGAUCGAGCGCGCGCGCGUGCGUUGAAGAAAACGACGGGGCGGUCAAACCGCGCCGACAUGCGGGCCCCGGUCGCGUGCCGCCGGAAGCUGCCGUGAGUGAUGGCGAUGAUGGUGAGUGCUCCAGAUGAUUGGUGGCGCCACCAUCCAUGCAUGCAUGCAUGCAAGCAAGGCCCUGUCGGUCAGCGGUAGCUUCCACUUGAACCUUGAAUGCUCCGAUUGCGGCUGCGGCGCGGAAGAGUAGUAGGAGUAGCUUUCUUUUUCUUACCUCUGUCCAAGAUAAAUGUAUCUAGUACAAAGUUAUAUUAAACUUGGAACAGUUACUUUGGAACGAAAUAAGUAUGAAAAUGAUUAUCUUCUAUCGACCGAUUACGCGCGGCCGUUUGUCUUUUAGGACAGACAUUUCUCAUACUGGAUAUAAGUAGAGGUGUUUCGGGACACGCUUAAUUGUGAGGGCAAGCGAUUAGAUUUGGAUUUUUUCAUGCAACAUCUUUAUUGUUGUAAGAAAAAAUAUAUAACAUUAGUUAUAUUGCAGAACACUUUUCGAAACAACAAUAUGAAGUUAAAAGAAAAUCUGCAAUGUUAGCUUUGUUGCACAAAAAUCCAUGCAACAACAUCGUUGCAAAAGUUUCGCAACAUGAUCCCUGUUGCAAUCAUCCGAAUGCAACAAUAUACUUGUUGCAAACGUUGUCAGCUUAAUCUGUUGGUCAUUCCGUAUUAAAUCUUUGUAGCAAAAAAAAUCAAUGUCCGUCUGCAGCUCUAUCAGAGUCCGAAACAAAGCGAUUGUUUCCGCAAAUGAUUUGUUGUUUUAAGAAUUAAUGUGUUAAGGAAGGCGAUCGAGUCACGUGCCAGCCUUUAGAUCGGUUGACUGCGCGCUCGGAUCGGAUGGCUGCCGAUGUUUGCGCACCCGGAGAUCCAACGGUUAUUGUGUUGAUCGAUGUUUAAUAGACAUCUGUUGGUGGAUGCGUGGUGCUCUCAGUAUAAUAUAUGCAGAAAAAAUGUUUUAACACACGUAUACGCCAUCGAUCCGGCACUUCGUUGUCGGCUGCGGCAUGAACAGCACGACUGGUCCACCGCCGUGGCAUCGUCAUCUUCGUCGGGCGCCCACAGGUAAGCCCAUGGUAUACAAUGACAUGUGGUUUUGGUUAAGUUACUCACUUGAUUUUGGGCCACACAAAUGGAGGCGUCUUUCUCUUAACAGAAAACACAUUCCUAUGUACGUAACACGUUGACAUAAACUCUACGCACUGGUUUUUUCUUUUUUGACAUUGCUCUACGCACUAGUUUAAUUUGGAUCUUUCUUUUUUUAACUGGAACACCUUGCAUUCCGAAUUACAACGGACCAACCGAAUUGGUGGUUACAAAAUGAAUUACAAUCAAUUUAUGGUUGAAUGGUUAGAGAGACUGUAUUAUCCUCAGUCCAUCAGGGUUCAAGUCCUGUUGUUCGUACUUAUUUCUGAAUUUAUUUUAAAAUUUUCGAUGAUGCUCAUUCAAUGGAAAGAGACGUUUCCGUCGUCGAUUAGGUGUCUACGACAAUUUCGUAAAUCUCAAGAUAUAUGCUGGUUCAGUCUUUCGAUGGUGCUCAUAAAAAUAGGGUGUGCAUGUGUGUGUCUAUAGGGAUGAGUGUACGCCGCGUGUAUAUAAACGUUUGCAUGUGUAUUAUGUUAACAAAAGUUUCUGCUACCAAACAUGAUGGCACUAUGGCACAUUAUAAAUGAUGACUGUGGGCGGCGUACCCGACCUGGAGAGGACCAUCCGGAGCAGGAGCAGCCGGAGCUACGCGCCUCAUGGGAAGGGUUUGCGACGUCGUUGACGCUUCAUCGGUGUGUGAUGGGCCCGGGGGAUGGAGAUCCACCGCUGUUGAGGCCGCCUUGGUCCUACAACGACCGACGCAACACGAUGCGGAGGGCCACCUCCUCCACAUUGACGUUCGAUCAGUCGGAGCUGCUUCCGUCGCCGGCCAUCGGUUCAGAGUGCCGGGAUUGGAAAUGGAGUGGACGGAGACUGAACUGUCGGAUGUCUAGGGUUUUUGGAUUGGGAUAUUUCGUGGGGUCCGUCGUGGCCCGAGAGGGUCUAGGAGCGCCGAACUUUCUAUAUCCGCUCCAUAUUUAAGAUAGAUAUGAUGGGUGUCGGUUAAUCCGGACAUUUGAGGCCCAUUUAGAGCAAGUACAAUAGAGCUGAGUCAGCUAGCUAUGAGGAAUAAACUAAUAUAUUUUUAUCAAAAAUGCUACACUUACGGGCAAGAUACGGAUGAAACUUACGGAUUGCUGCCGCUUAGCCAAUCCCUCUGCCCCGCUGAUUUCAAGGGUGGGCCCUGGUGCCCCAAGUUUCCAGUAAAACAUGGACAGCUGAGUCCGUAAGUUACUUUCCGUAGCUUCCGUCCGUAAAUCUAGCACUUCUCUAUUUUUAUUUAGUUAGAGGAAAGAGAAGAGGAGAGAGAAGGUAAGCGGCCUCUUAGCUAAGAGCCAGCUCUAGCACGUGCUCCUAGGCAUUUUGUUAAUAUGAAAGGUGGACCAUAUAAUGUAGAAGUAGUAUACUUUUACAAUGAAGUAUUGUACAUGUUAGCUAUAAGAUGGGCUAUAGAUGACAUGGCAGUGGCUUAUAGCCAGCAGCUUGCUCUUAGUGCAUUCCAUUUGGGUAGAUUUUCUCUGGCCGUACGCUGAUUGAUCGGCUGUCCAACGUUCGAAACGAAUAUAAGGGUCUGGUUGUAGAUACUCUAAAACCACGGAGGUGGCGAAAAUUACCCUUCAACCAAUCUACGCAGCGGCUAAACUUCAACGGUGUUUCAUACCCACAGAAACGGAAUCUUUCAAGAGCAACGGAGUCGAACAGCAGAAAGGACCGAGCAAGAUGAAUUCACAAAGUCAAAACAUGGAGCCAGCUCAACACCGACCCCGCAAGUCAAUCCGACCCAACCCAACCCACGCAAUUAAUCUCCUCUAAUCUCUUGCUAACACGCGUGGACUUCUUCGCGUGAUCCACUUCCUAUAAAACGCGCGCGCACCCACUCCCCCUCCCAUUCGAUUUGUGUUCAACUCCAUCCACCAACUCGGUCAGCGUCUUCUUCAUUCGCUCUGCUCUCCACCAGAUCCAUUUCACGAGCAAUCCUUCGCGACCUACGGCCAUGGAGGGGCCGACGGUGGAGGUGCCGCCGUACUUCCUGUGCCCGAUCUCGCUGGAGAUCAUGCGGGACCCCGUCACGCUCGCCACCGGCAUCACCUACGACCGCACCAGCAUCGAGCGCUGGAUCUCCGACGGCCACGCCACCUGCCCCGUCACGCAGCAGAAGAUUGCGGAGGCCGACCGGGAUGCCACGCCCAACCACACGCUCCGCCGCCUCACCCAGGCCUGGUGCUCCCUCCACGCCGUCGAGCGCUUCCCCACCCCGCGCCCGCCCCUCGACACCAGCCGCGUCGCCGAGAUCGUCCAAGAGGGUCACGGUGCCGGCCGGCAGCAGGAGCUGGCCGCGCUCCGCGAGAUCAAGGCCAUCGUCGCCGAGAGCGAUCGCAACAGGCGCUGCGUCGAGGCCACGCCCGGCGCCGUCGAGUUCCUCGUCUCCGUCGUCACGAACCAUGCCACCACGUCCAAGUCGGCUCAAGAUUUGCUAGAACUUUCGCUGGAUUCCCCGACGUCCACGAGCUCGCCGGAGGAGGACGCGCUCAGCGUCAUCUGCUCGCUCAAGCCGUCCAAGAAGAGCCUGCUCCGGAUCCUCGAGAAAAACGUAGACUUCCUGGACACCCUGGUGUGCAUGCUGCGGCGACCGAGCUACCGGUCCCGCUGUUACGGCAUCAUCCUGCUGAAGGCGAUGGUGUCGGUCAUGGAGCCGGCGAGGCUGAUGACGGUGAGAACCGAGCUGGUGCAGGAGGUGGUACGCGUGGUGUCUGACAGGGUGUCCGCCAAGGCGGUGAAGGCGGCGCUGAACGUGCUGUGCCGGCUAUGUCCGUGGGGCCGCAACCGUGUCAAGGCCGUCGAGGCCGGCGCGGUGACUGUGCUGGUGGAGCUGCUCCUCGACGAAGGCGGCCGGCACCCCACCGAGCUGGCGGUGGUGGCCAUCGACCACCUCUGCGGCUGUGCGGAGGGGCGGUCGGACCUUGUGGCGCACCCGGCAGGGCUGGCCGUCGUGGCCAAGAAGGCUAUGCGGGUGUCACCGACCACCACCGAGAGCGCGGUGCGCGCUCUGCACGCCGUGGCUAGGCACUCGCCGACGCCGGCCGUGCUGCAGGAGAUGCUGGCCGUCGGGGUGGUCGCCAAGCUGCUGCUGGUUCUACAGGUGGAUGCCGGCGAGCGGGCCAGGGCCAAGGCCAAGGAGCUGCUCAAGAUGCACGCUAGGGUUUGGAAGGACUCGCCAUGCUUACAAGUGCACCUCAAGGCGCAUUACCCUUGUUGAUUUCGUCACGCUGAAUAUCGCUAGAAGAGAAGAGCCCAUUGCUCUCUUUUAGUUUCUCGCUGUAAUUAUCUACACAAACUGUCAUCAAACAUUGACACUGUUUAAUUGAUUGUAAAUACUAGUUCCUAUUUACAAAAUAAAAAUAAAAAACAGGCGAGACAGGCUUCUUGGAUAUAUCUCUUGGAUUGCCGUGUUAUCAGAUUUUUUGCGUCCUUUGUUCCUUUUUGUGAUAUGUCACAGAAGUUAACAUGAAUGCAUAACACAAAUACUAUUUCCGUCUCGGUUUAUAAGUUGUCUUACGAAAACUAAAUAAUCUCAAAACACUAAGGGACGAUACAUUAACUUUCACUUCAUUUUUUGUUUUUUGACAUGAAUAAAUCAAUCAAUCAAUAAGAAACGUGGAACGUUUAUAUUUUUAAUGACUUGAGACUAACUAGCACAACAUGCAGUAGUAUUCAUUAGCAAAUCAAUACUAGUAAUAUUUUUUCUUAUUUUCGUCUUCGUCUUAAUCGUGGUGCACAACUUAAAAUAACUUAUAAACCAAGAUGAAAGAAAUAUAACAGAUAGAGAAUCAUAACUUAUAAGGCUGAUGUCGAAAACAUGCAUUUGCAUGUUUUCUAGAUGGUCCAACAUACUUCACACGUGCCAGAUAGUGUUACCUCGCGAUGACUUACUCUGGAAAGAUGAAAGCCAAUUCAUAAAUAGAUUCUCACUUUCACAAGGAAAUUUCUUUAGCUUCGCGGCACAAAUUAUUGACUAUAUUAACAAUUUUUGAUUAAUUUAAUCCAAAAAUAACUCAUAAGUAUGGCGUUUGAUAGUAUUUAGCUUGUACUUGUAUCAACCCAAGCAAGCAGGUACUACGCAAAUACUCUCUCCGUUUCAAAAUAAAUGUCGCUGAUUUACUAUAAAGUUACAUUAAAUCCACGACACUUAUUUUGAAACAGAGGGAGUAGUAUAUUCGGUUACGCGGACAACAAGCAAGGUAAAUUUUAAAAACAAUGACAAACGGGAAAGGAAUAAACGAGUUAUACCCUCCAAUUGAUCAGUUCACAGUCGCGCGGCAGCGGCGACUGGCUUCUUCCCAACAAAGAGCUUUUCGACAACGAGUUUCUCAACUUUGGUGACUUGAUGAUGAUGAAGACGAUGAAGAGGUAGAUGAAGUAGUGAACGUAGACGAACGGUUGUGAAAAGACGCGUAGGAGACACUUACCAAAAACCUAAUCGCCCUUCUCUCGGUGCAUGAUCUCAAAGAGCGGGCUUUCAGUUCCAGAGGCCCGCUUCACCGUAUAAUUGUGCAGGCGGUUGAAGGGAUGAGGUCAUCGGUGGCAGCAACGACGAGCACAACGAUGAUGGAAAGUACGCCCGUGGAGACAGAUCAGAUGUGACCUGAUUUUCGUGGUGGCUACCCAACGAUCAAUACUUUGGAUGCGGAAUUGGCGAAGUGCCCAUCGCAAGUGUGGCAGUCCAUCUUGGAAGGAAGAGAUAAUCUCCUCUUAGUCUUAUUAAGAGAAAUGGAAUGGUUGUUGAUACGACCGUUUGGUAUGGUGAUUGGAUCCAUGGGACUUCAAACUUCGGGCGUUGUGUUCCAAAUCAACGUACCCGUCGGAUUGAUCAUGCCUUGGUAUCUUGGGUUCGGGCCAUACUUGACGAGCAUUUCUGGACAAGCAGGCGAUCUUUAAUACUCCUUACUUCCAGAAUACAGUACGAUUUCUGGUAAUGGCAUUACAAAAAAAAGGCGUGUUUACAAUGCAUUUGGCAUACAUACAUGUAUCAUCCACUAAGCAGCAGCGCAUGAAUAGGCCCGGAGACAAUCAUGACCAUUCAAAUUAUGAGGAUAGUGGAAAAUCCUGGUCCAAGCUAUGUGCGGUGAAGAUACCUUUGAAGAUAAGGGUGUUUGCUUGGCGACUUGCAAAAAAUUCCCUUCCUACUAGGGGUGUGUGGAAUCAUAUCCAGAUGGCGGACACAACUGUCAGGCCCAAGAUACGACCCUAUCCACAAUUUGGCACGAGGGCCUCGUCAGGGAUAGAAGCGCAUCUCGUCGUGUCGCAAGAAUGGAUAUCGUUACAAGUACAUGUACUGAAAAAAAGAGAUAUAUAGAUAAAAUUGGCUUACACUCGCCACAAGCUACAUCAGAGUCACAACAGUACAUUACAUAAACAUCAUGAAGAAGAGCAGGGUCCGGCUACGGACGAAAACAAACGAGAAAAGAAGAACGACGUCCAUCCUUCCUAUCCCAGGCUGCCGGCCUGGAACCCAUCGUAGAUCGAAGAACUAGAAGAAGAAGAAGAAGNNNNNNNAGAAGAAGAAGAAGAAGCAAUUCUUAAAGAACACUCAACGCGCUCGCGUCAAGUAAAUUUACAUGUACCUGCAACUGGUGUUGUAGUAAUCUGUGAGCCACAGGGGACUCAGCAAUCUCAUUUCCAAAGGUAUCAAGACUAGCAAAGCUUAAUGGAUGAGGCAUGGUUAAGUGGUGAGGUUGCAGCAGCGGCUAAGCAUAUAUAUAUGGUGGCUAACUUACGAGUACAAGCAAUAAGAGAGGAAAGAUCUACGCAUAGCGGACGUGAACUACAGUUGAUCAAAUGAAUGAUCCUGAACACCUACCUACGUUAGAUAUAACUCCACCGUGUCCUCGAUCGGAGAAGGAACUCAUGAAAGAGACAGUCAUGGUUACGCACACAGUUGGCAUAUUUUAAUUAAGUUAACUUCAAGUUAUCUAGAACCAGUGUUAAACAAAGUUUCCACGUUGCCACAUAACCGCGGGCACGGCUUUCCGAAAAUAUUUAACCCUCUAGGGGUGCUCCAACUAGUCCAUCACAAAUUACCACAAGCCGCAUAGAAAUCCUCAAUCAUGAAGCUCGCGAUCUCGUCGGAUUCCCUAGUGGAAAACCUCAACUCUGAGAUUAUCCAAAGCAUCACUGGAAUCCCGAUGCACAAGAUAUCUCGUCAAAGGUAAAACUAAUCCAGCAAGGCCACCCGGUGUGUCGACGAUCCCGAUAGGAGUCGCGUAUCUCGUUCUCAGGACACACCGUCUAUGCAUAGUGGACGGGAACCAAACCUCGAGUUGCCCCGAGGUGGCACCGCCGACUGCUAGGUGGGUGGACCAACACUCAUGCGGAGCACUGGCCCGGGGGUUGAUUAAAUUUCCUCGGGUUAAUUACUCCCUAUGCAGUUCAUUAGUUAUUAAGCAAAUGUAGUACCAAAGUUGGGCCUUGCGAGACCAGCUUUAAUCUAAAACAAAUUAUCAAGGGGGUACCAUAACAACCCCGAUCGUGUUAGGAGCGCUCAAAUAUGGAACAUAACACCGGUAGCCGAAACUAAGGGGCAAAGGUGGAACAAAACACCAGGCUAGAAAAGUCCGAGCCUUCCCCCUUUUACCAAGUAUAUAGGUGCAUUAAAUUAAAUAGCAUUUAAAUAUGGUGAUAUGACAAGGAACCCAUGUUAUCACAUGGAAGCAACUGCACCUGCAACUAGCAACGUUAACACAUGGAUAAGCAAGCAGUAACAUAGCCAAUCAGGGGUUUGCUAGGUCGAACAGGUUGAAGGUUAUCAUGGUAUUGUUGAGAGGCUGAUAUUUAACAUGUGGUACGCAACAAGAUAUAAACGAUAGAAGCGAUAAAACUAGCAUGGCAAUGAUAGUAAUGGUAUCUCGGGAAAUGGUCAUCUUGCCUGAGAUCCCGCUUGGAAGAAGAACAACUCCGUGACGUCGGCGAACCAACGUAGUCGAACGGGUCCUCACAUUCUGACACGCUUGCGGAACUCUAUCGAGACGGACCAAACCGGAAACAACCGUCAACACAGAUAUUCACCACGGCAAAUGCAAGACAUGAUGCACACCCUAAUAUGAUGCAUGAUCAGUUCAAUGAUGCCAGGCAUGGCAAUUCUCCUCACACAAACACUACACAUUAAGUGAAACGCGAUAUGCAACGAGUUGCAUAUCGACGAAACUCCACGUUUAAUUAUUUAAUUCACUCCCGAUUAUUUGCACAGCAAUAUUAAAUUGUUGUUAACAUGGCAAGGGUGAAGCGGGUGAUUCUACCAGUCAUCCUAGUCGGUUAACACGCGGGACAUAGAACGGAGCUACCACACAAGAAAACAUGCAACAUAAGAUAUAUAUGCCAUGAAUGGGUCAUGCAUGCAAGCUCAUAAUAACACGGGCAAGAAGGAAAAGAAUCAAGAAUCGCCACGGCGAGCGUAAAGGAACCAUGGCGGCAAGAUGGAAACGAUGCCACGGCAACGUUCCUAUCCCGAUAACUCAACGAGAUAUCGGUGCCAACGAAUCGGAAGCGCGUGCGGGAACGCUAAAUAAAGAUGGGGUGAUCCCGCUACGGGGUUCCCAUGUGUCGAUGGCGCGACGAAAGAGAGACAACGUGCAACGGGCAAACAUACGGCGCAAACAUACGGUACAUCUCAUACAACAUUUGCAUUCGGUACACGACACGUUCCAAUGGUAUACCUUCGAAGCAUGCAUAUCAGAGCGGUUCGGGUCAUAGCGGACGUCGUGGAAGUCGUUGUCGUCGUGGAAGUAGUGGAAGUCGUGGUACUCAGGUCUCGUCGACGGUAGUCGUGCUCUUGGCGUCGGUGCACGGGUCUUCACAUCGGUAGUCGAACAUGUUUCCGGGGGUCGUCGAGGACGACGUGGUGCUCGGCGAGUUUGUCGAUUCCACGGCGACGGGGAUGGUGCACGCGGCGACGGCAGGCGACACAACAGCAACGAUCGUCGGCGACGGCAGCAAGCAAGCAACAUAGCAACGGCAACAACAUGCAGGCCAUCAGCAAGCAACGCUAGCAGCUAACUAGCACAAGCUAAAGCAAACAUCUACAGCAAGCAUCGGCAUCGGCAAACAGCAACUAACCUAGCAGCAAACAACAAACUACACCUAGCAACUAACAGCAGCAACUAACACUACUAGCUAGCAGCAAGGCAAGCAAGCAGCAACAUCAUCUACACCAAGCUAGCAGCCGAGCAAAGCAACUAGCCUAGCAUGCAUCGGCGCAGCAGCUCGCGGCAACAGCAAGCACGACAGCAGCUACGACAUAGCAACAGCAUCUCGGCAGCACUAGCAGCCUAGCAUCUACAGCAGCAUGCAACAUCCAACACGGCGCGCAGGCAGGCCAGCAGAACGACGACAGGGCAAGCACGGGGGCGCGCGGGACCAAGGCGAGCAGCGGCAGGGCAAGCCGCCGGCGGGGCGAGCAUCGGCAGGGGCGGGGAACCUGCAGGCGGCUCGGGCGGCCGGCGGCGCGCAGAGGGCCUCGGGCCGGCCAAGGGCGACGAGGGGAGCCGCGGGCACGGUGGCCAUGGCGAGCUCGUGAGGGCGAGGGGCCCUGGCAAGGGAGGCGGCUAGACGGGGGGACCGGAGGCGGCGAUUGGCGAGAGCGAGGACGCGGGGCACGGGGCUCCUACAGGCAGGCGACGACACCGUGGGCAAGGGCUGGCGAGCUCGAGACCAGCUGAGGCGAGAGGUGGCGAGGCCGAGGGGGCGCAGCGCGACGAGGGUCGCACAGCGAGCACGCGGGGAACGGCGGCGCAGCGCGGGGGAGCUGCUGCAGGCGCCAGCGGCUGCAGGGAGGGAGCGCUGGAUCGAGCAGAGGGGGAGGCUGCGCUAGGGGGGAGGACGAGGGAGGAGACGAGAGGGGCUGGGGGCACUAGGGCAGGGGAGGGAAGCCUGCUGGGCCUUGGGCCGGCUGGGCAGCUCCUCCUCAACCCCUCUCUCUUGUUUUUUUUAAACAGAACACACGCAAAAGAAAAAAGGUUUAAAUAAAAGAAAAUAAAAUAAAUGCUUUUCGGCUCCUUGAAAAAGAAACCCCAACUAUAAAAAUAGGUUGGGCAUUUUUUUUAAAGAAAUAAGAUGCAACAUUUUGAAGAAUAAAAUAAAACCCUUUUAACAAGAGAAUAAAAUAAAACCCCUUUUAAAGGAGAAAAGAAAAUGAGACUUUGUUUUUUGAAAAUAAACAAAAGGGAAAAAAUAAGGAAACCCAAGGGUUGCCUCCACAUUUAAUAAAAAGGUUUUUUUAAAAGAAGACGAAUCUUUAUAAAGGGGUUAAAACCGAAAUUUGAACGCAACCACAAAACAAAGUAAGAGGGGAGAGAAGGGGAGUUUCUAUCGCUCUAAAGACUCCAAGAGCACUCACAACUCAGAUGACACCACGCAUCAGAUGAUGCAAGAUGCCAUGAUGCAAACUACAUGAUGAUGCCACAAAAUAAAAUAACCACACGACGGAAACGAAAAUAAAGGGAAUCUUCUAGAACGUCGGCGUCGGGCUGUCACAACAACCAAGUGUUUGAUAUGUCAUGUGGCGAUGGACUAGCGCGGCAUUCCCUCUUCUAUUGUCGGAUGUCAAGGUGUGUUUGGGACAUAGUUGAUGAGGAGCUGACCAAUGCUAUCAUAUCAAACCACACAAAUGAUGUUAGGCUGGCCAUUGUGGGGGUAUCAUAGCUAGUAACAUAGUCUUGGGACUAGCAAACAUGGUGAUGUGACAAGUAAUUAAAGAAGAGAGAGAGGGUUAUAGUAACAUAGAUAGAUACCGUAUCACACUAGUGGGGACGGGGCCUUUAGCCCCGGCCCGUAAGGGGCUUUAGUCCCGGUUCACCAACCGGAACUAAAGGGGCGGGACUAAAGGCCUAACCUUUAGUCCCGGCCCUGUUUCAAGCCGGGACUAAAGGUGCUCCACGUGGGCGCCUCGUAGCGCCCCAGGGGAGGCCCUUUAGUCCCGGUUCAUUACACGGACCGGGACUAAAGAGUUUCAGAUUUUGUUUAUUUUUGGGGUUUUUUUUAAUGAAAUUAUUUUUUGGGUUUUAGGGUUUUAGGGUUUAGGUGUUCGGGAGAUUAACGUGAUGCCUCGUUUGGUGUUCGGGAAUUAGUUUUCAUAUAAUUUAAAUAGAAAUAAUUAUGCAUAUAUAUAUAUAAGAUUAACUUAUCUUACAAGCGAGCAUAUAUAUACAAUUAUAUGGAGAUCUGAAUUAUCGGGACUAGAGCCCGUCUAUUCGAUUACAUGGACGAACAUCAGUAAUGGCCCCUAGCUACACUAAAUCGUCCUUUGUCAUCUAUAGCUUCCGUCCUCAGAAAGGUCGCAAGCUCCUCUGCAACAGCAAUCGCGCGUUGCUCUGGUAGUACCUUCGUCCUCAUGGCUGUGUACUAUAUAAGAAGAGGAGAUGAAUAUGAAUAUCAAUCAUGAUAACAAAGAAUGACGGGGAAAAAUAGAGGUGUGAAUGUUCAUUGCUUACGUUGAAUCUGUGAUCCUUGUGCUCAGAGGUAAACGUGCGAAUGGUCUCGCAAACAUAGUAUCCGCAUAGAUGCAUUCCCCGUGGCUGCUGGUCGCACUUUACGAGAAUAGAAUACAUAUAAUCAAAAUAAUAAUCUAGCAUCAUAAAUGUAUUGAAAAUAGAAGUAAAUCAUACUACUACUUACCUGAGCCGUUCUAAAGGUCAGCUUCUCAGGCUCGAUACCGGGAGUCACGCACUUGAACCGCUUCCAAACCCUGCCCCACAAGGAUAAUGAUUUGCUAAGUUUUUCAUUAAUUGAUAUAUCAGAAAAUCAUCGAAAGAGACCGAUAGAGCGCAAGAAUGAUUGAAAUUACCCUUGGAGCAUGUCGUGCAGGCUUUGGAACUAUUCCAAGGGUCUCGAUAAUGGGUCGAAGGCAUCAACUCUUCCCUUAUCAAUUUGAGCAUAGUAUUCAAAGUAGGAGUACUUUUCCAAUUUGAGCAUUCAAUAAGCAAAACCAAAUCGUAAAAUAAAGUAGUAUUCAAAUUAGCAUGGAUUCAAUAAUAAGCAAAUACAUCAUCUCUUUUGUCCGUACAUCGUCGAAUAUUAUCACUAAUACUCCUCGAAUACUAUCAUACAUAUAACAUCAUUGAUACAUCUAGAACCGUAGCGCCCGACGGGUAUCGGCGCGGGCGGUGGACACCCAAAGAGAAGGAACCAUCACAGGAUCAUAGCUCCAGUGAGAUCCCCGAAGAACCUGCCAGGUAUGCUCGAACCUGCCCUCCAACGCAACCAUGUAGCGACGGACGUGCUCAUCCUCCUCGCUGACACGGUGACGUACCACCUCCGCGGUGUCCGGAAGCCUCGGCACCCUCACUGGCCCAUGCGACCGCCACCAAACAAGGAUCGGGUCAACGACGGGCUGGCUCCUCACCAACCUACGCCCCCCGGAAGGUAGCACCUCCCAAUACCAGCCGGGCAGAGCCCAGUCCCGGACAGGGCCACUCUGAUCAAGCAGGUGUCCUCCGCCGAGUCGACGACGAGGAUGCGGGAUAGGCAUCGUAAAAUGAACUAAAAAAUAAACUAGUUCUAUUAAUUUUCUUGCUAAAAAUAAACUAUUAACACUUAAGCAUAUACAAUAGGAGAAUUAAACUAUUAACACUUAAGCAUAUACAAUAGCAAAAUUAAGCAAUAAUCUAAGAAACACUAUUAACACUUAAGCAUAUACACUAUACAAUAGCAAAAUUAAAUGACAAAAAAAAUAUUUCUUCUUGUUGUAACCCUAAACUAAUUUUUCCUCUUCUUCUAUUUCUCCUCUUCUUCUACUUCUUUUUCUACUUCUACUUCUCCUCUUCUUCUACUACUUCUCCUCUUCUCUUCUUCUACUUCUCCUCUCCUCCUCUUCUAAUUUUUUUCCUCUUCUUCUACUUCUCCUCUUCUUCUAUUUUUCCUCUUCUUCUCCUGUCCUCCUCUUCUUAUUCUCCUUUUUCUUGUUUUCUUCUCCUCCUCUUCUUAUUUUCCUUUUUCCUAAUUCUAAAUAUUACUAACCCUAAUAAUCUAGCACAAACCUAAUAACAAUAGGAAUUAAAUGACAAAAAAAAUCUUUUUCUUCUUUUCUUCCCUUUUUCUUCCUUUCUUCUCCUUUUUCUUCCUUUCUUCUCCUUUUUCUUCUCCUUUUUCUUCUUUUCUUCUACUGGCCGGAGUGUUGGGGAGGAGGGGGCGGGGGGCUUACCGGCCGGAGGUGUCGACGGUGCGCGGCGAGGAGGAGGGCGGCGCACGGCGAGGAGGACGAUAGCGACGGCGAGGAGGACGGCACGCGGCGGCAAGCAGGACGGCAGGCAGCCUGACGGCGUCGUCGAGUUCGUCGCUGUGCCGCGCCGGGCAGGAGAACGAGGAAGAAGGAGAGAAGGAAAUGCGAUUUGGGCUGGAAAUUUUCUAACUCCCGCUUAUAUAGGUGGAUCUUUAGUCCCGGUUCGGGGCUCGCUCCUGGACUAAAGNNNNNNNNNNNNNNNNNNNNNNNNNNNNNNNNNNNNNNNNNNNNNNNNNNNNNNNNNNNNNNNNNNNNNNNNNNNNNNNNNNNNNNNNNNNNNNNNNNNNNNNNNNNNNNNNNNNNNNNNNNNNNNNNNNNNNNNNNNNNNNNNNNNNNNNNNNNNNNNNNGGACUAAAGCCCCUCCUCGGUUGCACGAUAAGUUUAGUCCCACCUCGCCCAGCGAGGGGGACUAACACUUGAUUAUAACCCCCGUCGCAGCUUCUCCAUCGACCUCCUCUCUAAAGCAGGCUUACGGGCCUAAACUGACUGAAAAUUGAAACUAUAUUCGAAAUUAUGGAGAAAAUUCAACCUGAAUUCAAAGUGAGUUCAAUUUGAAUUUAGAUUGAAUUUUCUCUAUAAAUUCUCAUAUAGUUUCAAAUUUUUUCUAUUUUCAUAAUUAAUAAUUUUGACUAUCCAAACUAUUAUCUAUUUUGUUAUUUUCAAUUAAAAACUAUGUUUAUUAAAAAUUCUUUUUGCAUANNNNNNNNNNNNNNNNNNNNNNNNNNNNNNNNNNNNNNNNNNNNNNNNNNNNNNNNNNNNNNNNNNNNNNNNNNNNNNNNNNNNNNNNNNNNNNNNNNNNUUUGUUUAUAAUUACUUAUUAAAUUUAUUUUAUGAUAAUUUUUUUUGCUAUUAAAGUUUCUAACAAAAAAAGUUCUUUAUGAAAAUUCUUUUUGCUUUUAAUGAUUUUGAACAGAAAAUACUUUGAUAAUUUUAGUUGCAUAAAUUUUAUAUAAUUUUAGUUUCAAUAAUACUAGAAGUUGCUUAUAAUGUUUUGAAUAGAAAAUACUUUGAUAAUUUUAGUUUCACAAAUUUUAUUUAUGUUAUUAAAGUUUUUUUUGUCUCUACUUAUCUAUUUUAUUAAAGUUUAUAUUAUUUUGUUUCAAAUUACUUAUUUAUUUUAUUUUGUUUUGUUUCUCACUUCAUUUGUUAUUUUUCAUGCAUUUACUGAUUAUUUUCAGCUAUAAGACCAUGAAAUUGAAAGGCAUUUGAAAUGAACUCUGAANAGGUUCCAAGUUGGCAUGGUAUCAUCAUUUCACCCACAUAGCAUGUGCAAGAAAGUAGAGAGGCUUACGGCAAAAACUGGAUGCACUUCGUGUANNNNNNNNNNNNNNNNNNNNNNNNNNNNNNNNNNNNNNNNNNNNNNNNNNNNNNNNNNNNNNNNNNNNNNNNNNNNNNNNNNNNNNNNNNNNNNNNNNNNUUCAUGCAUUUACUGAUUAUUUUCAGCUAUAAGACCAUGAAAUUGUAAUGUAUUUGAAAUGAACUCUGAAAAGGUUCCAAGUUGGCAUGGUAUCAUCAUUUCACCCACAUAGCAUGUGCAAGAAAGUAGAGAGGCUUACGGCAAAAACUAGAUGCACUUCGUAUACAAAACGGACAAUCUCCUUCGAAGUAUAAGGGUUUCAUACGGAAACUCGUGUGUUACAAAGGGAUUUCAAUUUUUUUAACUUAUUUGAACCCCCUUGUUUUUCUGUGUUCAAAAUGUACCAUUCAAAGCCACAUCAUCAAUUUACAACCCUUUCUGACUUCAUUUGUUAUUUUUCAUGCAUUUACUGAUUAUUUUCACCUAUAAGACCAUGAAAUUGAAAAGCAUUUGAAAUGAACUCUCGAAAGGUUCCAAGUUGGCAUGGUAUCAUCAUUUCACCCACAUAGCAUGUNNNNNNNNNNNNNNNNNNNNNNNNNNNNNNNNNNNNNNNNNNNNNNNNNNNNNNNNNNNNNNNNNNNNNNNNNNNNNNNNNNNNNNNNNNNNNNNNNNNNNNNNNNNNNNNNNNNNNNNNNNNNNNNNNNNNNNNNNNNNNNNNNNNNNNNNNNNNNNNNNNNNNNNNNNNNNNNNNNNNNNNNNNNNNNNNNNNNNNNNNNNNNNNNUUUACAAAGGGAUUUCAUUUUUUUGAACUUAUUUUAACCCCCUUGAUUUUCUGUGUUCAAAAUGCACCAUUCAAAGCCACAUCAUCAAUUUACAACCCUUUCUGACUUCAUUUGUUAUUUUUAUGCAUUUAUUGAUUAUUUUCAGCUAUAAGACCAUGAAUUUGUAAAGCAUUUGAAAUGAACUCUGAAAAGGUUCCAAGUUGGCAUGGUAUCAUCAUNNNNNNNNNNNNNNNNNNNNNNNNNNNNNCCAGCUAUAAGACCAUGAAAUUGAAAAGCAUUGAAAUGAACUCUGAAAAGGUUCCAAGUUGGCAUGGUAUCAUCAUUUCACCCACAUAGCAUGUGCAAGAAAGUAGAGAGGCUUACGGCAAAAACUGGAUGCACUUCGUGUACAAAACGGACAAUCUCCUUCGAAGUAUCAGGGUUUAAUACAGAAACUCGUCUGUUACAAAGGGAUUUCAAUUUUUUUUAACUUAUUUGAACCCCCUUGUUUUUCUGUGUUCAAAAUGCAUAAUUAAAAGCCACAUCAUCAAUUUACAACCCUUUCUGACUUCAUUUGUUAUUUNNNNNNNNNNGUACAAAACGGACAAUCUCCUUCGAAGUAUCACAGUUUCAUACGGAAACUCGUCUGUUACAAAGGGAUUCCAAUUUUUUUGAACUUAUUUGAACCCCCUUGUUUUUUUGUGUUAAAAAUGCACCAUUCAAAGCCACAUCAUCAAUUUACAACCCUUUCUGACNNNNNNNNNNNNNNNNNNNNNNNNNNNNNNNNNNNNNNNNNNNNNNNNNNNNNNNNNNNNNNNNNNNNNNNNNNNNNNNNNNNNNNNNNNNNNNNNNNNNACCCCCCUUUAGUCCCGGGUGGAGCCACGACCCGGGACUAAAGGCCCUUUUUCGGCUGACCAGAAGGCGGGAAGCAGGGGCCUUUAGUCCCGGGGCGUGGCUCCACCCGGGACUAAAGCCCCUCCUCGGUUGCACGAUAAGUUUAGUCCCACCUCGCCCAGCGAGGGGGACUAACACUUGAUUAUAACCCCCGUCGCAGCUUCUCCAUCGACCUCCUCUCUAAAGCAGGCUUACGGGCCUAAACUGACUGAAAAUUGAAACUAUAUUCGAAAUUAUGGAGAAAAUUCAACCUGAAUUCAAAGUGAGUUCAAUUUGAAUUUAGAUUGAAUUUUCUCUAUAAAUUCUCAUAUAGUUUCAAAUUUUUUCUAUUUUCAUAAUUAAUAAUUUUGACUAUCCAAACUAUUAUCUAUUUUGUUAUUUUCAAUUAAAAANNNNNNNNNNUUUUAAAAGUAAUUAUUUUGACUAUCCAAACUAUUAACUAUUUUGUUAUUUACAAUUAAAAANNNNNNNNNNGUUCAAAAGUAAUUAUUUUGACUAUCCAAACUAUUAUCUAUUUUGUUAUUUUCAAUUAAAAACUAUGUUUAUUCAAAUUCUUUUUGCAUAUUUGAGAAUUUGACAAAACUAUGAUAAUGAAAAGUGUUUGAAAUUGAAUAAAUAAUGCAAAACUAUUUUNNNNNNNNNNNNNNNNNNNNNNNNNNNNNNNNNNNNNNNNNNNNNNNNNNNNNNNNNNNNNNNNNNNNNNNNNNNNNNNNNNNNNNNNNNNUAUUUUUUUUUAGCUAGUUGACCCUGAAAUUGAAAAGCACUACAAAUGAACUCUGAAAAUGUUGAAAGUUGGCAUGCUAUCAUCAUUUCACCCACAUAGAAUGUGUUAAAAAGUUGAGAGGGCUACGACAAAAACUGGAAGCACUUCGUGUACAAAACGGAAAAUCUCUCUCGAAGUAUCAACGUUUCGAACGAGAACUCAUCUCUUACAACGGGAUUUCAUUUUUUGAACUUAUUUGAACUCCAUACUUUUUGUGUGUUCAAAAUGCANNNNNNNNNNNNNNNNNNNNNNNNNNNNNNNNNNNNNNNNNNNNNNNNNNNNNNNNNNNNNNNNNNNNNNNNNNNNNNNNNNNNNNNNNNNNNNNNNNNNAAUACUUGACACGCAGAAAACAGUAGCAACAAAAUGACACGAUCAACAUGCUACAUCUAUUAGUUUGGGUCUAGUCCAUCACGUGAUUCUCCCAAUGACGUGAUCCAGUUAUCAAGCAACAACACCUUGUUCAUAAUCAGAAGACACUGACUAUCAUCGUUCAACUGGCUAGCCAACUAGAGGCAUGCUAGGGACGGUGUUUUGUCUAUGUAUCCACACAUGUAAAUGAGUCUUCAUUCAAUACAAUUAUAGCAUGGAUAAUAAACUAUUAUCUUGAUACAGGAAUUAUAAUAAUAAUUAUACAUUUAUUAUUGCCUCUAGGGCAUAAUUCCAACAUCUCUCGCCCGGAGGCGCUUUGGGAUUGGCGAGCACGAGCGGCGCUCUCGGCGAGGCUGGGCGCCGGGGCGACGACCCCGGCUUGGACCUGCGGUGGUGACGGCAGCGGUGGCCGCGGGGACCGCGCCUCGGCGCGUAGAGGUGGCUGGGAAGGCUUGACCCCUUGUGGGCAGGACUCGAUCUGGCUCAGCCAUAUCUGGUUUCCGGGACUGCAGGCGGUGCNNNNNNNNNNNNNNNNNNNNNNNNNNNNNNNNNNNNNNNNNNNNNNNNNNNNNNNNNNNNNNNNNNNNNNNNNNNNNNNNNNNNNNNNNNNNNNNNNNNNAAACCCUUAUAAAUAACUGUUUUUUUACAGUUUGCGAAUAAAAAAACGCAUAGACUAGAACCCCUUAACCCUCAAACCCUUAAAAAAAAUUUGAGGAUCCAACCCUCAAACUCCCUCUCAACCUGUAGAAGUGAGGGUUGGAGAGCGAAAACUACCCCAACCCUCAAACCGUUCCAUCGUCGCGCGGGAGGGACUUUUCCCCGUCCCCAACUGCCGCCGCCAUUCCGACCACCGCCGCCGCCCCAUGCUGCCGCCGCGCCCCGCCGCCCCGAGCCGCCGCCGCGCCGUGCCCCACGGCCGCCCGCCGCGAGGCCGGCCCCAGGCCUCCUUGAGCUCUCCUCGCCGCCGCGCCAGAGGCGAGGCGGGCCAGAGGCAGCCGCGCCGCCACGAGCUCUCCUGUUUUUGCCCCUGUUUUUGUUAUAAGGGUUGGGUUUGAGGGUUCUAGUCUUUGCCCCUGUUUUUCAACCCUUAAAAGUGCCAAAAAAUGCAAAUUCUCAACCCUUAAAACUGGUUUGAGGGUUUGAGGGUACUCCUAAAGAUGCUCUCAGAUGAUGCCUCCAACCAUUUCAGGUAAAGACAUCCUUGUCCUUCUGUUCCAUCCACGUACACACGGCUAUAAACAGUUGUUAGUGUUCAGAUCACUGAAGAAUAGACUACAAAGGGACCCAUUGCGUAGACUUCUAGAUAACCUGUAGCAAAGAGAAAUCUGACUUAUAACUAAUUUGUUUUCGAAAAGAAGGAUUACUCCCGGCUAAGCCUGGGCAUACCCCGGGCCGGGCCGGGCCGGGCNNNNNNNNNNNNNNNNNNNNNNNNNNNNNNNNNNNNNNNNNNNNNNNNNNNNNNNNNNNNNNNNNNNNNNNNNNNNNNNNNNNNNNNNNNNNNNNNNNNNCUUCUUUUCUUCUCCUUCCCUUUUUCUUCCUUUCUUCUCCUUUUUCUUCCUUUCUUCUCCUUUUUCUUCUUUUCUUCUCCUUUUUCUUCUUUUCUUCUACUGGCCGGAGUGUUGGGGAGGGGCGGGGGGCUUACCGGCCGGAGGAGGGGGCGGGGGGCUUACUACCCGGAGGUGUCGACGGCGCGCGGCGAGGAGGACGGCGGCGACGGCGAGGAGGACGGCAGGCGGNNNNNNNNNNNNNNNNNNNNNNNNNNNNNNNNNNNNNNNNNNNNNNNNNNNNNNNNNNNNNNNNNNNNNNNNNNNNNNNNNNNNNNNNNNNNNNNNNNNNNNNNNNNNNNNNNNNNNNNNNNNNNNNNNNNNNNNNNNNNNNNNNNNNNNNNNNNNNNNNNNNNNNNNNNNNNNNNNNNNNNNNNNNNNNNNNNNNNNNNNNNNNNNNNNNNNNNNNNNNNNNNNNNNNNNNNNNNNNNNNNNNNNNNNNNNNNNNNNNNNNNNNNNNNNNNNNNNNNNNNNNNNNNNNNNNNNNNNNNNNNNNNNNNNNNNNNNNNNNNNNNNNNNNNNNNNNNNNNNNNNNNNNNNNNNNNNNNNNNNNNNNNNNNNNNNNNNNNNNNNNNNNNNNNNNNNNNNNNNNNNNNNNNNNNNNNNNNNNNNNNNNNNNNNGGGACUAAAGCCCCUCCUCGGCUGCACGAUAAGUUUAGUCCCACCUCGCCGAGCGAGGGGGACAAACACUUGUUUAUAAGCCCCGUCGCAGCUUCUCCAUCGAGCUCCUCUCUAAAGUAGGCUUACGGGCCUAACCUAACUGAAAAUUGAAACUAUAUUCGAAAUUAUGGAGAAAAUUCAACCUGAAUUCAAAGUGAGUUCACUUCGAAUUUAGGUUGAAUUUUCUCUAUAAAUUCUCAUAUAGUUUCAAUUUUUUUCUAUUUUCAAAAUUAAUUAUUUUGACUAUCCAAAUUAUUAUCUAUUUUGUUANNNNNNNNNNNNNNNNNNNNNNNNNNNNNNNNNNNNNNNNNNNNNNNNNNNNNNNNNNNNNNNNNNNNNNNNNNNNNNNNNNNNNNNNNNNNNNNNNNNNNUAAAGACCCCCUUUAGUCCCGGGUCGAGCCACGACUAGGGACUAAAGACCCCUUUUCGUCAGGCGGAGUGGCGGGAAACGAGGUUCUUUAGUCCCGGGUCGUAUCUCGACCCGGGACUAAAGGUGGUAAGUUUUAGUCCCACCUCGCUUGUCAAGAGGCGGUGCAACUAGUUUAUAAGCCCCACCGCCCCGAACCGUCUCGAGCUCUUCUCUAAAGCAGACUUACUGGCCUAAACGCACUCUAAAUUUAAAAAUGAAAAAAUAUAUAUGAAAUUAAAGACAAAAUUCAACCUAAAUUCAAAGUGACUUUGAAUCACUUUGAAUUUGGCUUGAAUUUUCUCUAUAAAUUUUCAUAUAGUUUCAAAUUUUCCAUUAUUUUUGUUUUGUUCUUUGCUUUAUUUAUUUUGUUUUUUUCUACUUACAACUAAAUAUUAAGUUUUCAAAUUUAAAAUUCUUUGAAAUUUGUGAAUACCUUUACUUUCAUUUUUUGCUAUUAAAGAUUAUUUUUUCUCUUCUAUUUUAGUUUACUAUUAAAGAUUUUUACCAGAAAACUUUAUGAAAACUCUUUUGAGCCUAAACGCACUCUGAAUUUAAAAAUUUGAAAUAUAUGUGAAAUUCAAGAUAAAAUUCAACCUAAAUUCAAAGUGAAUCACCUUGAAUUUGGGUUGAGUUUUCUCUAUAAAUUCUCAUAUAGUUUUAAUUUUUUUCCAUUAUUUUUAUUUUGUUCUUUGCUUUAUUUAUUUUGUUUUUUUCUACUUACAGCUAAAUAUUUAGAUUUCAAAUUUUAAUUCUUUUGAGUUGAUCUUUUUAUUGUUUAUUUUUAGUUAAUGUUUUACUUAAAUCUUUUAAACAAAUAAGCACUUUGAUAAUUUUAGUUGAUUAUUUUUAAUUCAUUCAUUUUAUUUAAUGUUUUAGUCGAUUCUUUUUAGUUAACUCUUUUUUUCUAUGAAAUAUUUUAACAAAUUUUUAACAAUUUGUAACUUCAUUUGGUAUUUUUCGUGCAUUUACUUUUUUUUGGCUAGUUGACCCUAAAAUUGAAGAACACUACAAACGAACUCUGAAAAUGUUGAGAGCUCGCAUGCUAUUAUCAUUUCACCCACAUAGCAUGUGCUAAAAAGUUGAGAAGGUUAUGACAAAAACUUGAUGCUCUUCGUGUACGAAAUGGAUAAUCUCUCUCGAAGUAUCAGGGUUUCGAAUGAGAACUCAUCUGUUACAAAGGAAUUUCAUUUUUUGAACUUAUUUGAACNNNNNNNNNNNNNNNNNNNNNNNNNNNNNNNNNNNNNNNNNNNNNNNNNNNNNNNNNNNNNNNNNNNNNNNNNNNNNNNNNNNNNNNNNNNNNNNNNNNNCCAUACUUUUUGUGUGUUCAAAAUGCAUCAUUCAAAGGCACAUCACAAAUUUUCAACAAUUUCUGACUUCAUUUGGUUUUUUUCAUGUAUUUACUUAUUAUUUUUGAGCUAGUUGACCCUGAAAUUGAAUAGCAGUACAAAUAAACUCUGAAAAUGUUGAAAGUUGGCAUGGUAUCAUCAUUUCACCCACAUAGCAUGUGCUAAAAAGUUGAGAGGGUUACGAUAAAAACUGGAUGCACUUCGUGUACAAAACGGACAAUCUCUCUCGAAGUAUGAGAGUUUUGAACGAGAACUAAUCUGUUACAAAGAGAUUUCAUUUUUUGAACUUAUUUAAACUCCAUACUUUUUGUGUGUUCAAAAUGCACCAUUCAAAGGCACAUCACAAAUUUUCAACAAUUUCUGACUUCAUUUGGUAUUUUUCGUGCAUUUACUUAUUUGUUUUUGAGCUAGUUGACCGUGAAAUUAAAAAGCACUACAAAUGAACUCUAAAAAUGUUGAAAGUUGGCAUGGUAUCAUAAUUUCACCCACAUAGCAUGUGCUAAAAAGUUGAGAGGGUUACGACAAAAACUGGAUGCACUUCGUGUACAAAACGGAUAAUCUCUCUCGAAAUAUGAGGGUUUCGAAACUCAUCUCUUACAAAGGGAUGCAUUUUUUUAAACUUAUUUGAACUCCANNNNNNNNNNNNNNNNNNNNNNNNNNNNNNNNNNNNNNNNNNNNNNNNNNNNNNNNNNNNNNNNNNNNNNNNNNNNNNNNNNNNNNNNNNNNNNNNNNNNGGGACGUGAGGACGUUCCACUACAUCAACCGCGUUCACUAACGCUUCUGCUGUACGAUCUACAAGGGUACGUAGAUCACUCAUCCCCUCUCGUAGAUGGACAUCACCAUGAUAGGUCUUCGUGCGCGUAGGAAAAUUUUUGUUUCCCAUGCGACGUUCCCCAAGAGUGGCAUCAUGAGCUAGGUUCAUGCGUAGAUGUCUUCUCGAGUAGAACACAAAAGGUUUUGUGGGCGGUGAUGUGCGUUUUGCUGCCCUCCUUAGUCUUUUCUUGAUUCCGCGAUAUUGUUGGAUUGAAGCGGCUUGGACCGACAUUACUCGUACGCUUACGAGAGACUGGUUUCAUCGUUAGGAGUACCCCCCUUGCUCAAAGAUGACUGGCAAGUGACGGUUUCUCCAACUUUACUUGAAUCGGAUUUGACCGAGGAGGUCCUUGGAUGAGGUUAAAUAGCAACUCAUAGAUCUCCGUUGUGGUGUUUGCGUAAGUAAGAUGCAAUCCUACAAGAUACCUUUGGUCACCACGUAAAACAUGCAACAACAAAAUUAGAGGACGUCUAACUUGUUUUUGCAGGGUAUGAUUGUGAUGUGAUAUGGCCAAUGAUGUGAUGUGAUAUAUUGGAUGUAUGAGAUGAUCAUGUUGUAAUAGAAAUAUCGACUUGCACGUUGAUGGUACGGCAACCGGCAGGAGCCAUAGGGUUGUCUUUAUACUAACGUUUGUGCUUGCAGAUGCGUUUACCAUUUUGCUAGGAUGUAGCUUUAGUAGUAAUAGCAUAACUAGCACGACAAACCCGAUGGCAACACGUUGAUGGAUGAUCAUGGUGUGGCGCUGGUGACAAGAAGAUCGUGCCGGUGCUUAGGUGAUGGAGAUCAAGAAGCACGUGAUGAUGGCCAUAUCAUGUCACUUAUGAAUUGCAUGUGAUGUUAAUCCUUUUAUGCACCUUAUUUUUCUUAGAACGACGGUAGCAUUAUGAGGUGAUCUCUCACUAAAAUUUCAAGACGAAAUUGUGUUCUCCCCGACUGUGCACCGUUGCUACAGUUCGUCAUUUCGAGACACCACGUGAUGAUCGGGUGUGAUAGACUCAACGUUCACAUACAACGGGUGCAAAACAGUUGCGCACGCGGAACACUCGGGUUAAGCUUGACGAGCCUAGCAUGUGUAGACAUGGCCUCGGAACACAUGAGACCGAAAGGUCGAUCAUGAAUCAUAUAGUUGAUAUGAUUAGCAUAGGGAUGCUUACCACUGAAACUACUCUCGACUCACGUGAUGAUCGGACUUGGGAUAGUGUAAGUGGAUCAUGAACCACUCAAAUGACUAGAGAGAUGUACUUUUUGAGUGGGAGUUUAGCAUAUAAUUUGAUUAAGUUGAACUCUAAUUAUCUUGAACAUAGUCUAAGUCCAAUUUGAAUAUAUUUGUGUUGUAGAUCAUGGCUCACCCAAGUGUCAUCCUGAAUUUUAAUACGUUCCUAGAGAAAGCUAAGUUGAAAGAUGAUGGAAGCAACUUUGUAGACUGGGCUCGUAAUCUUAAGCUAAUCUUACAAGCUGGAAAGAAGGAUUAUGUCCUUAAUGCUGCGCUAGGAGAUGAACCACCCGCUACGGCUGAUCAGGAUGUUAAGAACGCUUGGUUAGCGCGUAAGGAGGACUACUCAAUAGUUCAAUGUGCAGUCUUGUAUGGCUUAGAACCGGGACUUCAACGUCGCUUUGAGCGUCAUGGAGCAUUUGAGAUGUUCCAGGAGUUUAAAUUUAUCUUUCAGAAGAACGCCCGGAUCGAGAGGUAUGAGACCUCCGAUAAAUUCUAUGCUUGCAAGAUGGAGGAAAACUCGUCUGUCAGUGAACAUGUGCUCAAAAUGUCUGGGUACUCAAACCGUCUAGCUGAACUGGGGAUUGAACUCCCGCAAGAAGCUAUCACUGACAGAAUCCUUCAAUCACUGCCGCCAAGCUAUAAAGGCUUUGUGUUGAACUACAACAUGCAAGGGAUGAACAAGUCUCCCGGCGAGUUGUUUGCGAUGCUGAAAGUCGCAGAGUCUGAACUCCGUAAAGAGCAUCAAGUGUUGAUGGUGAGCAAGACCACUAGUUUCAAGAGAAACGGCAAAGGCAAUAAGGGCAAUUCGAAGAAGAGCGGCAAGCCUGUUGCCAAUCCGCCAAAGAAACCCAAGGCUGGACCUAAGCCUGAAACAGAGUGCUUCUAUUGCAAGGGUAUGGGUCACUGGAAGCGCAAUUGCCCCAAGUAUCUGGCAGAUAAGAAGGCGGGCAAAGAAAAAUCAGGUAUAUUUGAUAUACAUGUUAUUGAUGUGUACUUAACCGGCUCUCGUAGUAGUGCCUGGGUAUUCGAUACCGGUUCUGUUGCUCACAUUUGCAACUCGAAGCAGGAACUGCGGAAUAGACGAAGGCUGGCGAAAGACGAAGUGACGAUGCGCGUAGGAAAUGGUUCCAAGGUUGAUGCAAUCGCCGUCGGCACAGUGUCACUUCAACUACCAUCGGGAUUAGUGAUGAACUUAAAUCAUUGUUAUUUAGUGCCUGCGUUGAGCAUGAACAUUAUAUCUGGAUCUUGUUUAUUGCGAGACGGUUACUCUUUUAAGUCUGAGAAUAAUGGUUGUUCUAUUUCUAUGAGUAACAUCUUUUAUGGUCAUGCACCGAAUGUGAGAGGAUUGUUCAUAUUGAAUCUCGAUAGCGAUACGCAUAUACAUAACAUUGAGACCAAAAGACUUAGAGUAAACAAUGAUAGCGCCAUAUUUUUGUGGCACUGCCGCUUGGGUCAUAUUGGUGUAAAGCGCAUGAAGAAACUCCAUGCUGAUGGACUUUUGGAGUCACUUGACUUUGAUUCACUUGACACGUGCGAACCAUGCCUCAUGGGCAAGAUGACUAAGACUCCGUUCUCCGGAACAAUGGAGCGUGCAAGUGACUUGUUGGAAAUCAUACAUACCGAUGUGUGUGGUCCGAUGAGCGUGGAGGCACGCGGCGGAUAUCGUUAUUUUCUCACCUUCACUGACGAUUUAAGUAGAUAUGGUUAUGUCUACUUGAUGAAGCACAAGUCUGAAACAUUUGAAAAGUUCAAGCAAUUUCAGAGUGAAGUGGAAAAUCAUCGUAACAAGAAGAUCAAGUUCCUACGGUCUGAUCGUGGGGGUGAAUAUCUGAGUUUCGAGUUUGGUACUCACUUAAGACAAUGUGGAAUUGUUUCGCAGUUAACACCGCCUGGAACACCACAGCGUAAUGGUGUGUCCGAACGUCGUAAUCGUACUUUGUUAGAGAUGGUGCGAUCUAUGAUGUCUCUUACUGAUUUGCCGUUAUCAUUUUGGGGUUAUGCAUUAGAAACAGCUGCAUUCACUUUAAAUAGGGCACCAUCAAAAUCCGUUGAGACGACACCAUACGAACUGUGGUAUGGCAAAAGACCAAAGUUGUCGUUUCUUAAAGUUUGGGGAUGUGAUGCUUAUGUCAAAAAGCUUCAGCCUGAAAAGCUGGAACCCAAAGCAGAAAAGUGCGUCUUCAUAGGUUACCCAAAAGAGACAGUUGGGUACACCUUCUAUCUCAAAUCCGAGGGCAAAGUGUUUGUUGCUAAGAACGGAACUUUUCUCGAGAAGGAGUUUCUCUCGAGAGAAUUGAGUGGGAGGAAGAUAGAACUUGACGAGGUUGUCGAACCUCUCAUCCCUCUGGAUGGUGGCACAGGGCAAGGGGAAACCUCUGUCGUUGCGUCGCCGGUUGAGGAGGAAGUUAAUGAUGAUGAUCAUGAAACUCUAGUUCAAGUUUCUGUUGAACCACACAGGUCGACGAGAUCACGCGCUGCUCUAGAGUGGUACGGUAAUCCCGUCUUAUCAAUCAUGUUGUUAGACAACAAUGAACCUGCAAAUUAUGAAGAAGCAAUGGUGGGCCUAGAUUCCAACAAAUGGCUAGAAGCCAUGAAAUCCGAGAUAGGAUCCAUGUAUGAGAACAAAGUGUGGACUUUGGAGAUACUACCUGAGGGCCGCAAGGCUAUUCAGAACAAAUGGAUUUUUAAGAAGAAGACGGACGCUGACAGUAAUGUGACCAUUUAUAAAGCUCGACUUGUGGCAAAGGGUUUUUCACAAGUUCCAGGAGUUGACUACGAUGAGACCUUCUCACCCGUAGCGAUGCUUAAAUCUGUCAGAAUCAUGUUAGCAAUAGCUGCAUUUUUCGAUUAUGAAAUCUGGCAGAUGGAUGUCAAAACGGCGUUCCUUAACGGUUUCCUUAAGGAAGAGUUGUAUAUGAUGCAACCCGAAGGUUUUGUCGAUCCUAAAAAUGCUGACAAGGUGUGCAAGCUCCAGCGAUCCAUUUAUGGACUGGUGCAAGCAUCUCGGAGUUGGAACAAACGCUUUGAUGAGGUGAUCAAAGCAUUUGGGUUUAUACAAGUGGUUGGAGAAUCUUGUAUUUACAAGAAAGUGAGUGGGAGCUCUGUGGCGUUUCUAAUAUUAUAUGUGGAUGACAUAUUACUGAUUGGAAACAACGUAGAGCUUUUGGAGAGCAUAAAAGGUUACUUAAAUAAAAGUUUCUCUAUGAAGGACCUAGGAGAAGCUGCUUACAUUCUAGGCAUUAAGAUCUAUAGGGAUAGAUCAAAACGCCUGAUACGACUUUCACAAAGCACAUACCUUGAUAAAGUUUUGAAGAGGUUCAAAAUGGAACAGUCCAAGAAAGGGUUCUUGCCAGUGUUACAAGGUACGAGAUUGAGUAAGACUCAGUGCCCAGCAACUGAUGAAGAUAGAGAGCAUAUGCGCUCCGUCCCCUAUGCUUCAGCCAUAGGUUCUAUCAUGUAUGCGAUGUUGUGCACUAGACCGGAUGUUAGCCUGGCCAUAAGUAUGGCAGGCAGGUUCCAGAGUAAUCCAGGAGUGGAUCACUGGACAUCGGUCAAGAAUAUCCUGAAGUACCUGAAAAGGACUAAGGAGAUGUUUCUCGUGUAUGGAGGUGAUGAAGAGCUCGCCGUAAAAGGUUACGUCGAUGCAAGCUUUGACACAGAUCCGGAUGACUCUAAGUCGCAAACCGGAUACGUAUUUAUUCUUAAUGGGGGUGCAGUAAGCUGGUGCAGUUCCAAGCAAAGCGUCGUAGCAGAUUCUACAUGUGAAGCGGAGUACAUGGCUGCCUCGGAGGCGGCUAAGGAGGGUGUCUGGAUGAAGCAGUUCAUGACGGAUCUUGGAGUGGUGCCAAGUGCACUGGAUCCAAUAACCUUGUUCUGUGACAACACUGGUGCCAUUGCCUUAGCAAAGGAACCAAGGUUUCACAAGAAGACCAGACACAUCAAACGACGCUUCAACCUCAUUCGCGACUACGUCGAGGAGGAGGACGUAAAUAUAUGCAAAGUGCACACGGAUCUGAAUGUAGCAGACCCGCUGACUAAACCUCCUCCACGGCCAAAACAUAAUCGACACCAGAACUGUAUUGGUGUUAGAUUUAUUACAAUGUAAUUCACAUGAUAAUGUGAGGGCUAGAUUAUUGACUCUAAUGCAAGUGGGAGACUGUUGGAAUUAAGCCCUAGAGGCAAUAAUAAAUGUAUAAUUAUUAUUAUAAUUCCUGUAUCAAGAUAAUAGUUUAUUAUCCAUGCUAUAAUUGUAUUGAAUGAAGACUCAUUUACAUGUGUGGAUACAUAGACAAAACACCGUCCCUAGCAUGCCUCUAGUUGGCUAGCCAGUUGAUCGAUGAUAGUCAGUGUCUUCUGAUUAUGAACAAGGUGUUGUUGCUUGAUAACUGGAUCACGUCAUUGGGGGAAUCACGUGAUGGACUAGACCCAAACUAAUAGACGUAGCAUGUUGAUCGUGUCAUUUUGUUGCUACUGUUUUCAGCGUGUCAAGUAUUUAUNNNNNNNNNNNNNNNNNNNNNNNNNNNNNNNNNNNNNNNNNNNNNNNNNNNNNNNNNNNNNNNNNNNNNNNNNNNNNNNNNNNNNNNNNNNNNNNNNNNNCCUCACGUCCCUCGAUCCGCCCCGCGAACAAUCCCGCGAUCAGUCCCACGAUCUAGUACCGAACGGACGGCACCUCCGCGUUCAGCACACGUACAGCUCGACGAUGAUCUCGACCUUCUUGAUCCAGCAAGAGAGACGGAGAGGUAGAAGAGUUCUCUGGCAGCGUGACGGUGCUCCGGAGGUUGGUGAUGAUCUCGUCUCAGCAGGGCUCCGCCCGAGCUCCGCAGAAACGCGAUCUAGAGGAAAAACUAUGGAGGUAUGUGGUCGGGCAGCCGUGAGAAAGUCGUCUCAAAUCUGCCCUAAAAGCCCCAUAUAUAUAGGAGGAGGGAGGGGAACCUUGCCUUGGGGUCCAAGGGACCCUCAAGGGGUCGGCCGAGCCAAGGGGGGGAGGACUCCCCCCCCAAACCGAGUUGGACUUGGUUUGGUGGGAGGAGUCCCCCUCCCUUCCCACUUCUUCCCUCUUUUUUUCUUUUCCUUUGAUUUCCUUUCCUUGGCGCAUAGGCCCCCUUGGGACUGUCCCACCAGCCCACUAAGGGCUGGUGUGUCUCCCCAAAGCCUAUGGGCUUCCCCGGGGUGGGUUGCCCCCCCCGCUGAACUCCCGGAACCCAUUCGUCAUUCCCGGUACAUUCAUGGUAACUCCGAAAACCUUCCGGUAAUCAAAUGAGGUCAUCCUAUAUAUCAUUCUUCGUUUCCGGACCAUUCCGGAAACCCUCGUGACGUCCGUGAUCUCAUCCGGGACUCCUAACAACAUUCGGUAACCAACCAUAUAACUCAAAUACACAUAAAACAACGUCGAACCUUAAGUGUGCAGACCCUGCGGGUUCGAGAACUAUGUAGACAUGACCCGAGAGACUCCUCGGUCAAUAUCCAAUAGCGGGACCUGGAUGCCCAUAUUGGAUCCUACAUAUUCUACGAAGAUCUUUAUCGUUUGAACCUUAGUGCCAAGGAUUCGUAUAAUCCCGUAUGUCAUUCCCUUUGUCCUUCGGUAUGUUACUUGCCCGAGAUUCGAUCGUCAGUAUCCGUAUACCUAUUUCAAUCUCGUUUACCGGCAAGUCUCUUUACUCGUUCCGUAAUACAAGAUCCCGCAACUUACACUAAGUUACAUUGCUUGCAAGGCUUGUGUGUGAUGUUGUAUUACCGAGUGGGCCCCGAGAUACCUCUCCGUCACACGGAGUGACAAAUCCCAGUCUUGAUCCAUACUAACUCAAUUAACACCUUCGGAGAUACCUGUAGAGCAUCUUUAUAGUCACCCAGUUACGUUGCAACUUUUGAUACACACAAAGCAUUCCUCCGGUGUCAGUGAGUUAUAUGAUCUCAUGGUCAUAGGAAUAAAUACUUGACACGCNNNNNNNNNNNNNNNNNNNNNNNNNNNNNNNNNNNNNNNNNNNNNNNNNNNNNNNNNNNNNNNNNNNNNNNNNNNNNNNNNNNNNNNNNNNNNNNNNNNNUCAUGUAUUUACUUAUUUUUUAGAGCUAGUUGACCCUGAAAUUGAAAAGCACUACAAAUGAACUCUGAAAAAAUGUUGAAAGUUGGCAAGGUAUCAUCAUUUCAUCCACAUAGCAUGUUCUAAAAAGUUGAGAGGGUUACGACAAAAAUUGGAUGCACUUCGUGUACAAAACGGACAAUCUCUCUCGAAGAAUGAGGGUUUCGAACGAAAACUCAUGUGUUACAAAGCGAUUUCAUUUUUGGAACUUCAUAUUUUUUUGUGUUCAAAAUGCACCAUUCAAAGGCACAUCACAAAUUUUCAACAAUUUAUGACUUCAUUUGGCAUUUUACAUGCAUUUACUUUUUUUGAGCUAGUUGACCCAGAAAUUGAAAAGCAGUACAAAUGAGCUAUGAAAAUGUUGAAAGUUGGCAUGGUAUAUUUAUUUCAACCACAUAACAUGUGGUAAAAAGUUGAGAGGGUUACGACAAAAACUGGAUGCACUUCAUGUACAAAACGGACAAUCUCUCUCGAAGUAUGAGGGUUUCGAACGAGAACUCAUCUAUUACAAAAGGAAUUUCAUUUUUUUGAACUUAUUUGAACUCCAUACUUUUUGUGUCUUCAAAAUGCAUCAUUCAAAGGCACAUCACAAAUUUUCAACAAUUUCUGAUUUCAUUUGGUAAUUUUCAUGCAUUUACUUUUUUUUGAGCUAGUUGACCCUGAAAUUGAAAAGAUCAACAAAUGAACUCUGAAAAUGUUGAAAGUUGGCAUGGUAUCAUAAUUUCAUCCACACAACAUGUGCUAAAAAGUUGAGAGGGUUACGAGAAAAACUGGUUGCACUUCGUGUACAAAACGGAUAAUUUCUCUCAAAGUAUGAGGGUUUCGAAAGAGAACUAAUCUGUUACAAAGGGAUUUCAUUUUCUUGAACUUAUUUAAACUCCAUACUUUUUGUGUGUUCAAAAUGCACCAUUCAAAGGCACAUCAUAAAUUUUCGACUAUUUCUGUUUCAUGUAUUUACUUANNNNNNNNNNNNNNNNNNNNNNNNNNNNNNNNNNNNNNNNNNNNNNNNNNNNNNNNNNNNNNNNNNNNNNNNNNNNNNNNNNNNNNNNNNNNNNNNNNNNGGACAAUGACAAGUGCCAGUUGUGCGGGAUGCAAGAUUCAUGGAGACACUCGCUUAUAGCAUGCUCGGUUGCAAGGUGUGUUUGGGCUCUCGAGGAUGAAGAUAUAGCAGAUUACAUUCAGAAAGCUACAGAUCCUAGAACAAAGCAGUGGUUUUUUGCAACAAUAGAGGAUUUGUCUCAUGCUAGGCUGAUCAAGCUAUCCACGAAGAAAUUUUGCAGAGCCCUCAUGCAACUAAUGCUUUUUUAACAAACUAUAUUGUUGAACUUGCAAGCAUCAAAGAAAAGAAGACACGAGGAACUUGUUCUACCAUGGGUGCCCCCAGGAUUAGGCCGACCCGGUGGAUUGCUCCUGCCCAGGGAGUAGUAAAGAUUCAGGUUGAUGGGGGUAUCUCCAGGAAUGGCACCAAGGGUGCAACGGCAACCAUUUGUCGUUAUCAGAAGGGACUUUUCCUGUGUUCUUCAGCACUGGUUUUCACUGGAGUCAUGGAUCCACCAACUCUUGAAGUUCUCUCGUGUUGGGAAGCUAUGGCUUUAGCGUUUGAUCUGUCCUUGAAUCAAGUUGUUAUUGCUUGUGACUAUGAAGUAGUUAUUAAAGACAUCAAGUCUGGCACAGAGGGAAGAUAUACUUCCAUCAGCAAGGAGAUAAAAAAUGCUGCUCUUAAUUUUACCAAGUGUGAGUUUAUUUUCGAAGGCGAGAAAGGAAUGUUGAUGCCCAUAAUGUAGCUAAAUUUGCUUUUACUUUAGAUGAUGGGCGCCACCUGUGGCCGAGUUCAUCCCAUGACCCUUUUGUCAUACCUGUAAACCGUUCCCCUAAUCAAUAAAGGCUGGUUUACCACUCAAAAAAAAGCUGAUUGUUGCCCUUACGGAGGACCUCUCACUUCAGAAUAUUGUGGUGGCAUGCGAUGGCAAAGUAGUAGUUGAUGACAUACACGGAGGAGAGGGUGGAUCUUAUGUGACAGUCAUUAAGGAGAUUUCCAUGCGCAGAUCUUUUUUCAAUAUUCGUAAGUUUAUUUCUGAGGGUAGAGCAUCGAAUAGCGAUGCACACAAUCUUACUAAGCACUCGUUAUUACUUGAUCGGGGUCGUCACUUGUGGCUCAUUCAUGCCACGACCCUUCUUGUAUCCCUCUUUGUGUCCAAACAGAUCAAUUAAGUUUUGGCAUUUCUCAAAAAAAAAAAAAGAACUUGCCAUAUAAUUUUCCUCAGAUUUUGAGUCGAAUAAGCUAGCCAGCCAGCUUAGCAAAGUUCAAUUGCCCUUCUGUUUGAUUGGAUGAGACCCAUGAUGGCAUUAUCUCUCUGCUUGUUCAUGAUGUGACUUUGAUCACCAAUGAAUAAGAGGGGGUGUGAUUUAACAAAAGACACAAAAAAACUCCGUUCUUUUAGAGAAAACGGCAAAACUCAAGAAGGACCUUAUUGUUUGGGACAUUCAUAAGAGGUAAGCAGCAAAGGCAAAUUAAGAUUGUAGUAUUUGGUACCAUACAACGCGAGGACUGGAAAGAAAGACUUCAUUAUAGUAGUUUUGUUCACAAAAACUAUAUGGCCAACGUUCAGAUUUUAACCUUGCUACUCGAGCACUUCGAGAGUAACUCACUGGUGGAGCUAUUGCAAUGCCAAAUGUGUCAUGUGCUGCAUUUUACAAUUUGUACACUGAUUUUUUCACUUCUCGGUCUUGAAACAUCCGCUCACUGACUAUUUUCUUCGAGUGCGAGAGAGAAAACUUCCCACCCUCGCGUCGCCCCGCUUGGGCGACUCGGAGGCGACAACCCUAGGUCGUCGUCGGGCGCCCCUUCCCGAUGCUCCUCGCUGCCGUGGGGAGUCCUGGACCUGAGCGGCGGCUCCUCUGGUGAGGCUUCGUCGGAUCUGCGGCCUCCGGCGGUGCGGCCGACGGAUUCGGGGUCCCUGUCACUUGGGUGGUGGGAUCUUGGUGGAGGAGGUGAGCGGCUGGUUGCUGCUUUGGCGGCCAGCGACACAAGAUCCCUGGCGUUCCCCUCCCUUGAUUGGCGUGCGGGCACCUCUGGCCAGGUGGUGCCUUUUAUGGUCGCCGUUACCUGAAGAGGGGGUGGCUUGUGGGGUUGGGGCGGCCCUGGCGUAAUCCAUGGCCGGCUUGGCCGGCCGCGCCAACGGCGAUGCGUGCGGGCAUCGUGCCCCUUCCUGGAGGCGUUGGUAUGGACUGCCCCCUCCACUUCCCCUUCCUCUAGGUCUCCGGGUCGAAAGCCCUAACUUUGUUGGGCGGCGACGACGCUUGCAGUGUCGUUCCCUUCUUGAAGGCGUCGCCUUUGGAGCCUUGUAGUUGGGGGCGCUUGUGGUUGGUUGGUGGCACCGGCAGUGUGGCCCUCUUCGUCCUGGUAUGAUGCUCCCCCUCUUCCAGUGCUGGAUGUGUGCAGCGGCCUUGUUCUGCGCAAGAAGAGUCUCCGGUGACUCGUGGGGAUGCGUUGACCCUCUCUAUGUGACCAUCUCCGGCGGCGUCCACCACACCUGUCGACGGUGCGGCGCCUUCGAUCCAGGCGAGGAGGUUGUGGCCUCCUUCGAAGUUGGGUGUUGGAUGCGAUGUGUCGGGGUCCGUAGGUGCAUGGCGACGGCAUGCCAUGCUGAUGUCGGUCCCUCUCUCCUUUGUUCCUGCACGAUCUUGCUUCUGGUGCUAUAUUCUCGGUCGAGGACCUCGGCAUCUUCGGCUUCACCCUUCACUGCUUAUCUUCAGUUGCCGUGGUGUAUGAGGCUUAGUUUCAUGUUGUCCGUCGUUUUUGUAUCUUUCGCCAUGUAUUUUCUUCUUUUUGCUUGAGGGCGUGUGCUUGUAAUCCUGCACGAUUGAUGGCUUUGUUAAUUCAAAGUCGGGCUAGGCUCGAGCCUCAUCUCGGUCUCGGUUGAUGUCUUUUUUAAAAAAAAAACAUAUUUUCUUCGGUUAUGCUUCAGUAUUCUUUUGUUUUUUCUUUGUUUUCUUUCUGUUUCUUUCUCGGCUCAUCACUUGGUUUUCCCCUGUACGUUGGUGGGUUAUUUCCCCAUAUUUUCCUUUUUUUUCAUCAUACAUCAACUUAUCAGUUGAUUUUUUUUCUCCCACGAAGAGUUCUCCUGUUGUAUGUGGGUGGUUAGUCCUUACAACAAAUAUAGCUUGGCAAAGUUACCAAGUUAUAGGUUUCUUCACAAGUAAAAAACGCUGAUGUAUAACUACGUACGUGAAACAUAUUAUAUUAUUAUUAUUAUUAUUACUACUUCAAAUAACAAACAAAUGUAACACACACGUGAAGAAGUCAACUACAUGCUACAUCAAUUUAUUCGGUAACAAACAGAGGAUUAUUUUCUUCCAAAACGGAUGAUGGAGAGAGUUGCCGACGGCAGAGGCUCCCUACUUGAACCUGGCCUUGACGGCGUCGAUGUCUUCGUUAUCAACCCGGAAGGCCUUGGCCAGCACGUCGGUCGGCACCGGCGGUGAGGCAGCCAAGAGCGUGGUGGCGAUGGCUUGGGUGCCCUGAAGCUGGCUGUUGAAGGCGGCGAUGACGGAGGCGGGGCCAUGUCCCCUGUUCUGCUGGAAGUGCACGAGCCCGCGCGGGAAGACGAACACCUCACCGACGGUGACGAACCUAGUGAAGAGCUUGUUGGCGGUGGUGAUGAAGCCCACCUCGAGGGUUCCCUGGGUGACGAAGAUGAUCUCGGUGGCGCGUGGGUGGGUGUGCGGCGGGUUCUGCCCUCCGACCGCGUAGUCGAUGCGCGCCAUGGACACGCCGAGCGUGUUCACCCCGGGGAAUGACUGCACGUUCGCCGCCGUGACGACCGACCCCGCCGGGUUGUUGGUGUUGCCGGCCUUCUUGAGACCGGCGAAGAAGAAGUCGUCCGCCGUGAUGUUCGCCUUGCACGGGAAGCCGUUGAUCUUGAUCGCUGCCGCAAACCAUGCAUUUGGACCAACACGCAGCGUCAGCAAAAGUCAGCGCACGGGAUGCAAGAGCGAGGUUGACAAACUACGAUGAACACAUAAUUUUGCAGGAUGACUCACGGGAUGCCAGGUCGGCGACGCAGACGUCCUGGAGCAUGUCGGGGUCGCCGGCGAGGGAGGGAGCGGCGAGCGCGAGGAGGAUGGCGCAGGCCGCUAGGACGGAAAGCUGAAGCCUGGCCAUGGUGAAUUCGUCAAUGCUUGCUUGCUAUCAGCUUGGUGGUAUAGCUUGGGUCUGGAAAUAGCAGAGGUAGGAGGUGGUACUUGUAGGCAAGGUGGUUCGCGUGUGGAACUACGGAUAGUAUCGCCAUUAUUCAAGGAGGGGUGGCUGCGACGAGGCGACAUGGCCGGAUGGGAGGGGCAUCCAAUUCCAUUAAUUUGGAGCCAAUUCAAUGGGGCUAUACUACUACUACUUGUUUAUGCGCUCCUUGCAGGCUACCAUGUGCCUUCUACACAUGCAUUUCUGAUCAGAUCCACGCUUCAUCCAUUACUAACACUAGGCGUAGGUAAAAUUGAUAAAUUUGAUUCAAAAGCCAAAGAAUUCCAUAAACCGUACCUAAAUAUAAGUCUUUUAAGAUAUUUCACUAGGUAUCUACAUACGAAGCAAAAUGAAUGAAUCUAUACUCUAAAAUAUGUUUAUAUACAUACGUAUGUAGUUCACUAGUUGAACCUCUAUAAAGACUUAUAUUUAGGAAGGGAGGGAGUACGUUUGAAAAAAUUUCACCCAGCCGACCCUUUUGUGUGACGUCUUUAUCUUAAACGUCACACUACACUGUGUGACGUCCGACACUACGUUGUGUGACGUCUGAGACCUAGUGUGACGCCUAAGACAUAAACGUCACACUACACUGUAUGACGUCACACGGUGUAGUGUGGCACCUGACUGUCGGACGCCACAUAAAAGGAUCAGCUGAGUGAAAAAAUUUCAAACAUAGUUUAGUUUGUGAAAUCCUUUAGGUCCUAGGUUAAAUUUAUCAAUUUUGCCCUAGGCGUAUGAUGCGUAUCCUCUCGGAAACUACACCCCUGUUUCGUGGGUAUGGAUCGCCAGGAACAAUGCAGGAUAGCACAUGCGACGGGUGGCAUAUCGAGUAGUUGCACAUGCUAGUUCGUACCGUUGGAUCUCAUACUCCUUCCUGAUUGAUGGCGAGUUGAGUUUCUGCUUCUGGGCGGUUGACCAGUGGAUAUAUUACCCCUUCCUGAUUGAUGGCAAGCCAAGCUAUCUCGGCCAGUAACCAAUUCCACUUGCGUCAGAGAGGAGCCAUUCUGGUCAAGGUCGUCAAUAACUCCAUCCUGAUUUUGCUACAGGCAAGGAGGAGGAGGAGGAUAACUUUUCAUGACUACUUCCUCCGUUUGUAAAUACUGGUCGUAGACAUGGAUGUAUCUAUAUGUAUUUCAAUUUUAAAUACACUCAUUUGUAUUUAAUUUUCAUGGUAAGUAAUUCCGAACGAAGGGAGUAUUUUGCUGGCGAGGCUGAGCUGGAACAGCCCUCCUACAGGGUAGAUUUGAUGUAUAGAAGUACGAAUUGGCGCUGGAAAUCAGGGUGCCCAACACCAUGCCCCAUAUGAGACUUUUUGUUUCUUGUGGGAAUAUUUUUAUCCGGGCUAAACCGAGCACUCAGCCACUGUCCAUAUUCAAAUAUAGCGGACGAAGCAGCAAGGGCGAGGGGACACUUAUGCCAAAGAAUCAGAUGCGGUCCCUCGUGGUUAGUCGUCACAGAGUAAAUCCGUAGCUGUCCGGCCGUCUCUACCACCGACGGCUUGCGUAUUUUUUUUCUUCUAUGAAUAGAUAAUAGAGAAAGUACUACUACAAGGUAAGGUACAACACACUACAUGAUGUUUGCUUACCACCAAAAGGAUACUCCUAGAGGCCAAGUGUGAAACUCUAGAAGUUUUCAAUGUGGUGUAUGAUGAUUUUACCGUCGAAUUUGAAGUGAGGUCAAAAGUUGAUGGUUUUCGAUGGGUGCUUGUGGCAGUUUAUGGAGCAGCUCAACAGGAGCUCAAGAAACUGAAUUUCUUUCAGAUCUUGUGAGGAUCAGUGGAAACGAAGGGCUGCCAAUUUUAGUUAGAGGAGAUUUCAAUAUCAUUCGGAGAAGAGAAAAAUAAUGAUGAUUUUCAUGCUAGAUGGUCAUACAUGUUUAACAUGAUUAUUGAGAGUCUUGACUUACGGAAAAAUGAACUCACCGGUAGACAAUUUACAUGCGCGAAUUCACUACCCAUCACGACGUAUGAGAAGCAAGAUCGGUGAGUGUUGAGUGGGAACAGACGUUUCCUCUUGUGACGGUCCAGGCUCUGCAGAGAGCAGUUUCGGAUCACACUUCACUCCUCGUCGACUCAGGGUAGGCGACACAUGUGGGCAAUAAAAGUGUCUUCUCUAUUGAAUUAGGAUGGUUCGAGAGAGAGGUAUUUUUGGACCUAAUAGCUAAUGAAUGGGCUAAAGAGACUGGAGGGACAUCUAGCAUGGAUAGAUGGCAAAAUAAAGUCAGGCAUUUACGCUAGUCCUUGAGGGGCUCGGCCAAAAAUCAAAGUGGGAUUUACAGAGUAUAAAAAGAAAGACUUAUUCAUCUUAUCAAAGAGUUAGAUCUGAAAGCUGAAGCAUCAGUUCUUAAUAGCUAUGAUCGGAGUAUUAAGUACGAGGCUGGGGAGAAGCUUCGUGCUUUAUUCAGAGAGGAAGAGAUUAAAUGGACACUGAGAGCUAAGGUGUCUACGGCCAUCCAAGGGUAUGACAACACACAAUUCUUCCACAUGAUCGCUAAAGGAAAGCGAAGAAAGAAGAAAAUAAUUCAACUCAAACAAGAUGAUGGUACAAUUGUAGAGCAUGAAAACCUGAAAUUGUAUAUCUCUGAAUAUUAUAAAAAACUGUUCAGAGCUCCCGAAGCUAACUCUAUAUCCCUAGAUGAAAGUGUAACAGAGGACAUUCCUCAACUCAAUAUAAAGAGAAUGGGAUGCUUUCGUCUCUGUUUACCGAGAAAGAGGUGUUUGACGCAAUCAUCCAACUGAAAACAGAACAAGGCUCCAGGACCGGAUGGGUUUCCAGCGGAGUUUUAUAAGAUGUGUUGGCAUGUCAUCAAACAUGAUGUUAUGCCCAUGUUCCAUUAUUUAUUCAAUGGGCAAUUAAAAUUAUUCCACCUAAACUUUGGGGCAAUUACAUUGUUACCAAAGGAGGGGGUUGUAUGCAUUAAGCAGUUCAGGCCGACUUGUUUGCUUAAUGUGUGUUUCAAUUGUUUUUACCAAGGUGGUAACAAAUAUGUUGACGCAGAUAGCCCAUUCGGUUGUACAACAGUCUCAUACAAGUUUCAUGCUAGAUAGGCACAUCCUAGAAGGGGUUGUGGUACUACAUGAAAAACUUCAUCAAAUUCACACCAAGAAACUCGAUGGAGUCAUCUUUAAGGUGGAUUUUGAGAAAGCCUAUGACAAAGUCAAAUGGCCUUUUCUCCAACAAGCUUACGUAUGAAGGGAUUCAAUGAAGCAUGUAGGAAACAGGUUGAUUCAUUUGUUCAGAAAGGUAGUGUUGGGAUAAAGAUGAAUGAUGACAUGGGUCAUUACUUUCAAACUCAUAAAGGUUUAACCCAGGGAGAUUCGAUGUCCCCCAUCUUAUUCAACAUAGUGGCUGAUAUAUUAACAUUUCUCAUAGGACGAGCUAAAGAGAACGAUAUAAUAGGAGGACUAGUACCACAUAUUGUGGAUGGAGUGGUUUCCAUCUUACAAUAUGCGGACGGUACGAUUAUUUUCAUGGAGCAUGACUUCGCAAAAGCUAGAAACAUGAAGUUGGUUCACUGUCAGUUUGAACAAUUAUCGGGACUCAGGAUAAGUUUUCAAAAGAGCGAAUUGUUCUGUUUUGGCCGAGCCAAGGAAGAACAAGAUGCUUACAGAAAACUAUUCGAUUGUGAGAUGGACUCCAUGCCGUUUAGUUAUUCGGGUAUACCUAUUCAUCACCGUAAGCUUACCAACAAGGAAUGAAAGUGCAUAGAAGACCGGUUUGAAAAACGACUAAGCUGCUGGAAAGGAAAGCUUAUGUCUUAUGAAGGUCGGCUAGUGUUAAUAAAUUAUGCGUUGACAAGUUUGUCGAUGUUUCUAUUACCAUUCUUCGAAGUACUAGUAGGGGUAGCGAAAAGACUUGACUUCUAUAGAUCUAGAUUAUUUUUGGCAAAAUGAUGAAAGUAAGACGAAAUAUAGACUGGCUAAAUGACACAUGAUGUGUAGACGCAAAGAUCAGGGUGGAUUAGGAAUUGAAAAUUUACAAACUAAAAAUAGAUGUCUUUUCAGCAAAUGGGUGUACAGACUCUCUGUGGAGGCAAAAGGUACGUGAAUACAAAUUUUGCGUAAUAAGUACCUACAAACAAAGUCCCUGGCUCAAGUUACAGUGAAACAUUCGGACUCACAAUUCUGGAAAGGCUUAAUGAGGACAAAAGAAGCUUUUUUCAUAGAGUCAAGUUUCACAUUGAGAAUGGUAACAAAAGCAGGUUUUGGAAAGAUGCGUGGUUAGGGGAGAUGCCCCUGGCUACACAAUAUCCAUUUUUAUAUAACAUCGUGGAACGCAAAGAGGCCUAUGUGGCUACAAUUUUGCAGACUGUCCGUAUGAAUAUUCAAUAUAGGAGAUCUCUGGUAGGGGAACGAUAGAGUGCGUGGCUCCACUUGGUACAUAGAUUGAUGGAAGUUCAACUUCCGGACCAACCAGACACAAUUCAUUGGAAAUUAACUACAAGCAGUAGUUCCUUCGACAAAUCAAUGUAUCUAGACCUUAUUAAUAACGGGCCAAUACCUACUUCUCCAUACAUUUGUAAAAUAAAAAUACCGCUUAAGAUUAAGAUCUUUAUGUGGUUUGUUCACAGAGGAGUGAUACUUACAAAAGAUAAUUUGAUUAAGCGAAGAUGGGUGGGUAAUUCUAGAUGUUGUUUUUGUGAUCUGUCGUGGGUAUAAGUCUGACAGUAGAUGUGUAGGGUACGAAAGGAUGGGCAGAGCCUUAGCUACGGCGAGGUUGUAUGAGUUCAGGCCCCUCUACGGUGGAGGUAAUAGCCCUACGUCUCAGUGCUCUGGGAGCNNNNNNNNNNNNNNNNNNNNNNNNNNNNNNNNNNNNNNNNNNNNNNNNNNNNNNNNNNNNNNNNNNNNNNNNNNNNNNNNNNNNNNNNNNNNNNNNNNNNNNNNNNNNNNNNNNNNNNNNNNNNNNNNNNNNNNNNNNNNNNNNNNNNNNNNNNNNNNNNNNNNNNNNNNNNNNNNNNNNNNNNNNNNNNNNNNNNNNNNNNNNNNNNNNNNNNNNNNNNNNNNNNNNNCCCUCCACAACGGUUCGGUGCACAGGGGUGGAGUAGUGGCGAAUAAAUGCCUACGUUACAGGUAACGUAUGUCUUGAAUGCUAAUAAAGGCACAUGGAAACGUACAACCAUUUCCCUCUAGGGGGGUUACGAUGCACAGAGUGGAAUCCAGUCGGUUAAUUUGUUACACUCCGAAUGCUCAUCUCCGACUGGAUGGUGGAGGAUUUGUUACCGACUGGAUGAUGGGAAGUCCAUAAGACAGUCGGAACUGACUAAGGGUCUUAUCCCUUAUGAAGGGUAGUCCUUGGGUAGGACUUAUAGGGCAGGCCUAUGACCCUAUCCUAGGACUAUAACCCCAUCAUUAGUCCCCGAAUGGAUUGGGGUUGGAACGACGAAGCGAUGUUUGAAGUAUGGAUCCGACUGGUACGGAUGCGACUUUGGCGCUGCUUGCCUUGAUCCAUUUUGUCUUCUUUGUCCAACGAUCCGAGUCGAAGUAUUUGUGAAGCGAACUGUCGGGAACCGAGUGCUUCCGUGGUAUCUUCUGACGUGACCAGUCAACUCACAGCGGCGGAUUUUCCGGGAUCCUCAAAUUUCGGUUGCCGCGCGCUCAGUGGGGAUGACGACAUCGCGCUCGAGUAGUACCUGACGCCUCGAUUUCGCCGCGACCGGUCGGGGGAUAAGAUUUCGGGGCCACUUGCGAGUGACCCAGUCGGAACCUUAUUUAAACCUCAGCGGCGAGGGUUUUUUCGUUACACUCGCCGGAUAACUUGCCUUUGCCUGCCCCACUUCUCUCGCCACCUCCUGCGCAUCCCAAGCUCCUUCCUUCUUCUUCUCCCUCGCGGAUCAGCAGCCUUCGCCAUGACAAAGGGGCAGACUAGCAAGCUAGAGGUGAAGAAGAAGAAGGGGAAGACGGCAGCUCCUACCCAGCGGCGGCAGCGCACGCUACCGGCGGGGUGGAUCCAGGGGGAUUUCCUCCCCUCCACGGUGACGGAGGAGAACCUGUUGGAGUUGGUGGAGCAUGGGAUGAUUGCGCACAAGUCGUGGAGGUUGCCGGUGGAAGGCGAGACCGAGUCGGCGCCCCGGGAGGGGGAGCGCGUCUUGCUGCUGAGCCAUGUGUACAGAGGUUUCUCUCUGCCUCCUCACCCCUUCUUCAAAGGUAUCAUGAACCACUUCGGGGCGCAGCUCCACCAUUUUCCUCCCAAUGCCAUAGCUCAUCUCUCUGCCUUCGUUGUGCUGUGCGAGUGUUUCAUCGGCUGUCCUCCCCAUUGGGGGGCUUUUCAAACAUAUCUUCUCUGCUAGAUCCCAGACCAUCAAACGGCUUAGCCAGUCGGAUGACAAAACCCACCUUCUCCAGCUCUGCGGAGGCUUAGGCUUCCAAAAGAAAAGUAAAAGUAGCUAUCCUGCUCUGUAGUUGAGUGAACCUAUUAGGAACUGGCAGUCGACAUGGUUCUACUGCCAGGACGUUGCUUGCCCGAAUGCUACCACCGGACUCCCCCCUUUUAGCUUAGACCGACCGGCUCCUCCUAGGCAGCUCGCGCUCACGAAGGCGGAGAAAACCCAGAUCCAGCCUCUGUUCGAUGCGCUUGUAGAGGUCGUCCGAAGGGGAGUCACUGGCAUAGAUUUAAUGGAGGUUUUCCUGGGUCGGCGUAUCCAGCCUCUGCAAGCUUGAGACCACGCCAUGUGGCAUUACACAGGGCCUGAGGACUCCACUCGGACUAACGUCGAGUGCGUGACCGGGGAGAUGGUGGCGUCGUGGGUCCUCAACAUCACCGGCGCCUGCGAAAACCCUAGAGGAGCUCGGCGAGUGAAGGCCUUCCGGGCGGGCAACCCUCCUCCAAACGCAGUGAGUACAACUUGUCGAGCGUACACAACUGUCUUAGAUUUAUUGCUUCCUUGAAUCACUGUCUGACGUCUAAUGUCGUCGACUGUAUCUUGUGCAGGAGUGGACUAACUGGUUUUCUCCCGUCUCGAAUGGGAAUCCGGCCGAGGAGGAGGAAGGCAGCCAGGAGGGCAGCGUGGAGAGCGGCGAGUACGUCUCCGACAGUGGGGAGACGGAAGAGGAGUCCGCAGAAGAAGAAGAGGCAGAUGAGGAGCAGAACUCACCACCUCCACCGCCAGAGCCUCGGACUAAGCGUCGUCAUGAACCUGUGGUUCCUCCAGCUCCUCCAGCAUCCUCAAGUGUGCCGCCAGCUCCGCCAGCUGCUCCUGUGGUACCGAGUGCUUCGCCAGCUGUUCCCGUGGCUCCGAACGUUCGGAGCACAAAGAGGACCAGGGACUCUGCUGCUGAACCUGUGGGUCAGCCCUCUAAGGUAGCUAAACCGAGUGGAUCUAAGCCUCGGAAGGCUCUGCCGCGGAUGAGGGUCACAGUUCCCGUCACCUCAACGUAAGUGCAUGGUUCUUCUAUCUUCUUCCGGUAUUUGAUUGAACUCCUGCUUAUUGGUCGAAUGAAUUUCACUCGACAGAGUUGCCACCUCUGCCACCUCUCCGGCACGCCAGGGGGACGAUCCCAUGGACAUGGACAACAUUGUCACAUCCCAGCCAGGUGCGUCAUAGCGAUUCCGAGAGUUUACAUUAUUGCAUCACGAAUUCUGUCUUUGGUCUUGCCUUUUUCCCUGUGAUCUCACGUCGUUCGGUCGGGUUUCCCUCAGGGGUGAUUUAUGUGGAGGAGGGCGACCAGGGGAGGUCUGAGCAAGCUGCGGUGCCUGUCCUUGAGGCUAUUCCGCCGGUUGCUACUCUCGCCAUGGACGCGCCGCCGACUGAGGCGAUGCUGUCGACUGAAACGACGUUGGUUGCUGCUGAACCGACUAGAGCAGGUCUUGGGAUGCCCAAGGAGCCUCCUACGAUGCCGGGCCCGUCGACUGUCGAGUACAACGUCCAGCGCCUCCUAGAAGAUCAGGUGGGAGCUGCCAAGGGGGCCGUGGUGCAGGCGGAGCUGAUGGCUGGAGAGGCCAAGAAGGCGUACGACUCCAUCGCGUCCUUGUACAAGCGAAGCUUGGAACUGCGGGACGAUAUCCGAGUAAGUGGGCUAGUAAGUAUUUACUUUCCUCUUGUAACCCACUGGGUGUGCUUGGAUAGCGUAUGAUUUUUUGCAAUGGGUUCACUCGUAGUGAACCCAGUGGGUGUAGUCCCCGAGACUUCUGUCGGGUGCUUGCACCGGCAGUUGUCUUUAUGCAUGUUCUUUAACUUGAUCAGAUCAAAAAUUAAUCUGUUCGAAUGUUAACAGUUGGGGCACUCGGAGUGCACCUACUGGAUGAGUCCCCGAGAGUAAUUUUACUCAGGUCGGGUAGUAGUAGCCUCAUAGGCUUAUUUGUUGUCAUGUAGCUCAAUAGGGCGGACAUGUUUGAGUUUCAUGCCAGUGGGGUCACUCUUAGUGAACCCACUGGGUGUAGUCCCCGAGACCACUGUCGACUGCUUGCGUCGACAGGGGUCUGAAGAACUUAGAAUUUUUAUUGUUGUCCUUGUUGAAUUUGUCUGACCGUCUCUUGGCGCUGACUUGCAGAAAACUUGCGAGAUGGGGACAGCGUAUGAGACUCUGAGGCUGAAAAGGUUCAGUUUGCUGGUGAACUGGAUGCAGCAAUGGUUGCAAUGGCUGGUAUGAAGGAUGUUCUGGUGGAACGAGAAAAGUCCUUGGAGCAGGCCCGUGAGGCAAACAAGGCAUUGACUGCUGAAGUGGAGAAAAUGGGGAAACAAAGGACGGAACUGAUGGGGCAGAUGAAAAUGUUGAACAGGCGGUGCAUAGCACAGGAAAAUUACGUCAGUGACUGGGCCCGGAAGAUGAUAGCGCUUCUCGGUGGUAAGUUCUAUUUUUCCGAGUGCUUGUGGACUGUGCAUUUCAUUCUGCGCUGACUGUUUGCUCGUCCUGUCUUUGCAGAUUUUUGCAUGGACGCGGAGGUUGAAGCGGCUGACGUUGAGCGGUCGAUUCUUGAGAACAUUCCACUCGGCGAGGACGCCAAUCGAGAUCUGCUCCGAGCGCACAUUCGCCUGGGCAAAGUUGGACCUUUCAUCGGUCGACUGAGAGAAGUCGUCGGCCGAAUUGACAAGGAGCUUUGGCCUGAAGACGAGUCUCGGCACGAGAUGGAAGGCUUGAUGACUCGGCUGGAGGAGGUCCCGAACCGAGUGCAGGCGUGGAAAAAGUCUGCGGCUCGCUGUGGUGCGGACGUCGCUCUGUCUUUGGUCCGAGUGCAUUGCAAGGAGGCGCGCAAAGAGAAGCUGAAGGCGUUGUAGGUCGCCAACACGAAAAAGCUUCGAUUCGAAGACUUCAUGGAGACCUUCCUUGAGAGCGCCACCCGCAUCACCGACGGGAUCGACCUCGACACGUUCGUAGAGCCUGCCAGUCCUGACGACGUUUGAGAAAACUUUUACCUCGGUAUGCCGAGUGUUGGUUGUAAGAAACUUUGGCCACUGUUGUUGGCCGCCACAUUCUUGGUUCGGUGUGGAUAAGCUUGAUCUACACCGAGCCAACUAUCCUUAGGUGAACAUUGAAUUUGAAUCGAAUCUUUUUCUCUUCUUUUGCCAAAGAGUUGUUGAUACGAUUUUGGCUCGUGGUGUUUGUUUGGCGUUUCUUGGUGAAGCCAAUGGCAAACAUGCGGAGCAUGUAAUUGUCAGUUGUCUUGACAUCUGCAUGAGCCUCACUGAGGGUCUGCUGAGUGUCCGAGUGGAUCUGUAGGAUACACUCAAAGGCAAUAGAGUACUUAGGCGAUUCGGGAUCGCGGCUAAGUCUUCGAGUGCGACUGUGAGGUCGUACUCGGAGCGAGUUGUUACUCAUGUAAUUGUCAGUGGUCUUGACAUCUACAUGAGCCUCAAUGAGGUUCUGCUACUCAUGUAAUUGUCAGUUGUCUUGACAUCUGCAUGAGCCUCACUGAGGGUCUGCUACUCAUGUAAUUGUCAGUGGUCUUGAGAUCUACAUGAGCCUCAAUGAGGGUCUGCUACUCAUGUAAUUGUCAGUUGUCUUAACAUCUGCAUGAGCCUCAAUGAGGGUCUGCUACUCAUGUAAUUGUCAGUUGUCUUCACAUCUGCAUGAUCCUCAAUGAGGGUCUGCUAAGCCUCCGAGUGGAUCUGUGAGAUACACUCAAAGGAAGCUUUCUUUUUAAGCGAUUCUUAAUCGCAGUUAAGUCCUCGAGUGUGACGGUUAGUGCACGCGUGGAGAAAAUUUGUACUUAGGCGAUUCUUGAUCGCAACUAAGUCUCCGAGUGCGACGUGAAGUGCACACUCGGAGAAAGUUAAUACUUAGGCGAUUCUNNNNNNNNNNNNNNNNNNNNNNNNNNNNNNNNNNNNNNNNNNNNNNNNNNNNNNNNNNNNNNNNNNNNNNNNNNNNNNNNNNNNNNNNNNNNNNNNNNNNNNNNNNNNNNNNNNNNNNNNNNNNNNNNNNNNNNNNNNNNNNNNNNNNNNNNNNNNNNNNNNNNNNNNNNNAAGUGCACACUCGGAGAUAGUUUGUACUUAGGCGAUUCUUGAUCGCAGCUAAGUCCCCGAGUGCGACGUGAAGUGCACACUCGGAGAUAUUUAGUACUUAGCCGAUUCUUGAUCGCAGCUAAGUCCCCGAGUGCGACAUUUAGUGCACACUCGGAGAAAGUCAAUACUUAGGCGAUUCUNNNNNNNNNNNNNNNNNNNNNNNNNNNNNNNNNNNNNNNNNNNNNNNNNNNNNNNNNNNNNNNNNNNNNNNNNNNNNNNNNNNNNNNNNNNNNNNNNNNNNNNNNNNNNNNNNNNNNNNNNNNNNNNNNNNNNNNNNNNNNNNNNNNNNNNNNNNNNNNNNNNNNNNNNNNNNNNNNNNNNNNAGUGCACACUCGGAGAAAGGUAGUACUUAGGCGAUUCUUGAUCGCAGCUAAGUUUUUUUUUUGAGACCGGAGUCUGCGACCGCGGAAGAAUUUUGAAUCUGCAAAAACUCGAUCUGCUUUGUAUUAUUUCACCAAUACUUGUUCUUUACAUUGCUUCAGUCGACGGUCACGUGUAGAAGCGCUUCAGGAGAUCUCCGUUCCAUGCUUGCGGCUCGUCUGUUUCCCUGUCGAUGUUGUAGAGUCUGUAUGCUCCGUUGUUCAGCACCUUGGAGAUGAUGAAGGGUCCUUCCCAGGCGGGAGCCAACUUGUGAGGUCUUUGCUGAUCCACCCGGAGCACCAGGUCGCCUGCUUGGAAUGUACGACUCCUGACGUGUCGCGCGUGAAAGCGCCGCAGAUCUUGCUGAUAAAUGGUUGAGCGAGUGAGUGCCAUCUCGCGCUCCUCCUCUAGAAGGUCCACUCUGUCUUGCCUUGCUUGUUCUGCUUCAGCUUCGGAGAAGAGUUCGACUCGUGGAGCAUUGUGAAGCAAGUCACUCGGAAGGACCGCUUCUGCUCCGUAAACGAGGAAGAACGGGGAUCGCCCCAUAGAUCUAUUCGGGGUUGUGCGGAGACCCCAAAGCACUGAAGGUAGCUCGGCGACCCAUGCGCCAGCGGCAUGUCCCACCUCUCGCAGGAGCCGGGGCUUCAAACCUUGUAGAAUAAGUCCAUUCGCCCGCUCUGCUUGUCCGUUUGUUUGAGGAUGCGGCACAGAUGCAAAAUCCACUAGGAUACCUUGGCUUGCACAGAAACCUUUGAAUCUGUCCGAGUCAAAGUUUGUCCCGUUGUCCGUGAUUAUGCUGUGAGGUACUCCGAAUCUGGAGAUGAUGUCCCUGACAAACUUGAUGGCUGUUAGGGCGUCGAGCUUCUUGAUGGGCUUGCCUUCAAUCCAUUUUGUGAACUUGUCGACUACCACCAACAGAUGUGUGUAUCCCCCUUGGCCUGUCCUGAAUGGACCGACUGUAUCUAAUCCCCAUACUGCAAACGGCUAAACAGGAGGGAUUGUCUUCAACGCAGAUGUUGGCUUGUGGGACUUGUUGGAAUAGAAAUGAUAGCCUUCACAUCGGUCGACCAUAUCUUUAGCCAUUUCGUUCGCCUGCAGCCAGAAGAAGCCAGCUCUGAGUGCUUUGGCGACGAUUGCUCUUGAAGAGGCGUGAUGACCGCAGGUUCCCGAGUGAAUUUCUUCCAGGAUUAAUUGUCCUUCCUCAGGGAAGAUGCAUCGUUGAAGAACGCCUGAAACGCUUUCCCUGUACAACUGGCCAUCAAUGACAGUGAACGACUUUGACCUGCGGACGAUCUGCCUGGAUUGGACUUCGUCUUCUGGUAAUUCCUGCCUCCGGAUGUAUGCAAUGAUCGGCAUAGUCCAAUCGGGGAUAACAGCAAGAACCUCCAUGAUCAAAUCAACCACAGCUGGUACGUCGACUUCAGUCGGAUCUGUCAAGCUCUUUGGUUGUACUGGUUCCUCUGUGAAAGGAUCUUCUUUAACUGCGGGGAGGUGGAGGUGCUCGAGGCAGACGUCACUCGGGACUGGUCUCUGAGUGGACCCGAGUUUUGCCAACUCAUCAGCCGCUUGGUUCUUCAGUCGCGGAACAUGGUGGAGUUCUAGACCUUCAAACUUCUUCUCGAGCUUCCUCAAUGCAUUGCAGUAUGUGGUCAUGGUGGGGUUCCUGACGUCCCACUCUUUCAUCACUUGAUUAACCACCAAAUCCGAAUCGCCAUAGACCAUCAGGCGACGGAUGCCGAGUGCGAUGGCCAUGCGCAGUCCAUAAAGGAGAGCUUCAUACUCUGCCUCAUUGUUGGAGGAAUCAAAGUGUAUCUGCAGCACAUACUUGAGUUUGUCGCCCUUAGGUGAUAUGAUCACAACGCCAGCGCCGGAGCCGUUCAACAUCUUGGACCCAUCGAAGAACAUUGUCCAAUGAGCCGAGUAGAUGUGGGUCGGUUGCUGUUGUUCUACCCAUUCUGCUAUGAAGUCCGCCAGAGCUUGAGACUUUAUAGCUUUCUUGGCCUCGAACUUGAUGUCGCAGUACAACAUCUCCAUUUCCCACUUCGCCACUCGGCCUGAUGCGUCCCGAUUGUGGAGGAUUUCCAACAACGGAGCAUCAGAAACGACGGACACCGAGUGGUCUUGGAAAUAGUGAGCCACCUUCUUCGCAGUCAUGUAAAUCCCGUAGAAAAGUUUUUGAUAGUGGGGAUACCUCUGCUUGGAAGGAGUCAGGACUUCGGAGACGUAAUACACUGGCCGCUGAACUUUGUAUGCUUUUCCUUCUUCUUCUCGUUCGACUGUGAGAACAGUGCUGACGACUUGAUUUGUAGCCGCGAUGUACAAAAGAAGGGGCUCUUUACUGAGCGGAUCAGUAAGAACCGGCUGGGUGGAAAGUAGGACUUUGAGGUCGUCGAGUGCAACUUGGGCUUCAUCUGUCCACUCGAAAGUAUCUGAUUUCUUCAUGAGUCGGUACAGAGGAAGUGCUUUCUCGCCGAGUCGACUGAUAAACCUGCUCAAAGCCGCUAGGCAACCUGUGAGCCGUUGAACAUCGUGUAUUCUGACCGGCCGCUCCAUUCGGACGAUUGUCCCGAUCUUUUCGGGGUUGACAUCGAUCCCUCGUUCAGAAACGAAGAAACCGAGUAACUUUCCGCUAGGAACGUCGAAUGAACACUUGGCGGGGUUGAGCUUGAUAUCGUACCUACGAAGGUUGGCGAAUGUUUCUGCCAAGUCAGUCAGCAGGUCGGAACCUUUGCGUGACUUGACUACGAUAUCAUCCAUAUACGCCUCCACAUUCCGACCGAUCUGGUCGAGGAGGCAUUUUUGGAUCAUGCGCAUAAAGGUUGCUCCUGCAUUCUUCAAACCAAAUGGCAUAGUGAUGUAGCAGAAGCACCCGAAUGGGGUGAUGAAGGCGGUUUUUAAUUCAUCGGGGCCAUACAGACGGAUCUGAUGAUAGCCCGAGUAGGCAUCAAGAAAUGACAAAGCUCACAACCCGCAGUCGAAUCGACAAUUUGAUUGAUGCGGGGGAGCGGAAAAUGGUCUUUCGGGCAGACCUUAUUGAGAUGCUUGAAGUCGAUGCACAUUCGGAGCGACUUGUCCUUCUUGGGCACCAUGACAACAUUGGCGAGCCACUCGGAGUGGUGUACCUCGCGAAUGAAGUUGGCUACCAAAAGCUUGGCCACUUCUUCUCCGAUUGCCUUCCUCUUGUGCGCGGCGGACCGUCGCAGGCGUUCUCGAACAGGUCGAGCGGUGGGAUCCACAUGCAGUCGGUGCUCAGCCAACUCCCUGGGUACACCUGGCAUGUCAGAAGGCUUCCAUGCGAAGAUGUCCCAGUUCUCACGGAGGAAUUGGAUGAGCUCGGCUUCCUAUUUAGGAUCGAGGGUGAUGGAGAUGUUCGUCGGGGCAGCGGUGUCGUCUGUCGGGUGGAUGCUGACCUUCUUCGUCUCUUCCGCCGACUGGAAUGCGGACUCCGAAGCUGGCUUCUUCGAACGCAUCAAGUCAGCGGGGUCGACCGUUUUCUUGUACUCGUCAAGCUCGAGGAUAGCCAUCUGUUGAUCGGCGAUUCUUGAUCCCUGCUUCAGACACUCCUCGGCCCGCUGUCGAUUGCCUGUGAUAGUGAUCACACCUUUCAGGCCUGGCAUCUUUAGAUUCAGGUACACGUAACAUGGGUGGGCCAUGAAACGCGCAUACGCCGGGCGGCCCAGAAUUGCGUGGUAAGCGCUCUGGAAGUCCACCACCUCGAACGUCAGCUUUUCCUUGCGGAAGUUCUUGUCGGAGCCGAAAAUGACGUCCAACGCGAUCUGGCCGAGUGACUUGGCCUUUCGUCCAGGGACGACUCCGUGGAACUGCAUGCUGCUCUCGCUGAGUUUGGACAUCGGAAUGCCCAUCCCCUUGAGAGUGUCAGCGUACAUGAUGUUCAAACCACUGCCGCCGUCCAUGAGGACUUUGCGCAGUCGAACUCCUUCCACCACCGGGUCGACGACCAGAGCUUGCCUCCCUGGGAUGGGCACGUGUGUUGGAUGAUCUGACUGGUCAAAGGUGAUCGCAGUCUGAGACCAUUUGAGGAACUUGGGGUUGGUCGGCGUGGCCAUGUUCACCUCCCUGUUCACCAGCUUCAGUCGGCUCUUGCUCUCAACGUCAGCAAAAAUCAUCAGUGUUGCAUGGACUUGGGGGAACGGAUCCUCCUUAUCCUCCUCAUCCUGUUCAUUGCCUUUUUCACUCAGUUGCCCUUUGCCGAACCCCUGAAGCAGGAGGCGACAUUGCCGAGUGGUAUGCUUCGGAUAUAUGGCGUUGCCCUCUUCAUCCAUCUUCGUGUGGAUCGGACAUGGCUGGUCCAGGAUGGGGUUGUUGAACUGCUUCUUCUUGGGGGUGAACUGAGCCUUCCCUUUGCCCUUGAACUUGGCAUUGGUAAGAACUGCGACUUCUGCCUGCGGAGUGGGCGGAGCUUUCUGCUUCUGCUUCCGAGUGUUAUUCCCAUCUCCAUCGGCGACUGUUUUGUGCUUGCCGCUACAGAUGCGGUCCUCUUCUUCGCCAUUUGCAUAGCAUGCUGCUAUCUCCAUCAUCUUGCUCAUGGAGAUGUCGCCUGUUCGACCGAACUUCAGGUACAGAUCCUGGUACCGCACACCUGCCUUGAAGGCGCAGACUGCUUGGUGUUCUGUGACGUUCUCCACCGUAUGGUAGAGGGUCGUCCAACGCUGAAUGAAAUCGCGCAGGGGCUCAUUCUGCUUCUGGACACAGUGCUGGAGCUCCACGAGGCCAGCAGGGCGCUUACACGUCCCUUCGAAGGUCCUGACGAACACUCGGGCCAGAUCUCCCCAGCUGUAGAUGCUUGAGGGGGCCAAUUGGGUCAGCCACGCUCGCGCCGAGCCGUCGAGCAUCAGAGGGAGGUGCUUCAUGGCGACGUGGUCGUCCCCUCCUCCGAUCUGGACUGCCACUCGGUAGUCAUCCAGCCACGUUUCUGGCUUAGACUCUCCUGUGAACUUGCUGAUCCCCGUCGCCAAUCGGAAUUUGGGAGGGAUGUCAGCCGAACGGAUGGUCCUGCUUCCACUCGGACGGUCAAUAUCGUGACCAUCGCGGUGGGCUCGGCCCCUGUCGACCCUUCACUGGGCGAUAUGCCCUCUCGCGUCGGGCCUUGGAUCGUAAGUGUCGCCGACUGAACGCCGAUCAUCAUGAUGUCGGGGCCCGUAGGGCCCACCCCGCGGAGGGGUGCGUGAACGGCAACGAUCUUCGGGGUUCAUGGAACGGCUGCCUCCCCUGGGUCGCUGAUGAGAACCAGGGCUGUGAACUGACCGAUGCGUGUUCGCAUGGACAGAACUAUUGUGGAUCAUGUUGUGCGACUCGGAGACCGCCGAGUUUUGCUGCUGCGCCGUGUGCAACAGGGCGCGGAUUUGCUCGAUCCCCCUGCCAGCCUCUGAAUCAGUCGGCUGAAGGGAAUCGACUAUCUUGGCAGCGGCAGCCAAGUUGAGGAUGGGUGUGCGGAACAACUCCACGUUGCUCCGCCGAGUGUGCCGGCUGGCAGAACGGCGAGGUGGACGGUGAGCGCCGGAUGUUUCGCCGAUCUCGUGCUCGUUCCGGCUAGUUUGGCGGGGACUUUCGUGGGAGUUGGCCAUGUGUACUUCUGCUGCAGGCCCGCGACCCAAGUACUCGGAAGGAAACUCAGUCGGAACCGAGUCCCAGCGCUGGGACGGCGGGGCAACCACAACUGACUCUAGGACCGCCACUUGUGAAGAUGCGUUCUGGCGCGCCGGUGCGUGUUGCACCCAACGCUGGAGCCGCGGAUGGCGGGACCGCUUGUUGCGGCGCGUGACGGUGGUGUAGGUCGACACCGGAGCCGACUGCUGGAGAAGAAGAAUGCCGCGGGCGCCGGCACGGAAAUGCGAAGCUCCGCGACGGGGAAGCGGCUCGACGUCGAGAGGGGCGUCCCGAAGCCAUGCUGAAUCAUCGACGAUGAAGGAGAGAGCACCGAAGAGGAUCUCGUGACCCAUGCUCGAAUCUCCACCGAAUGACAUGACGAAAAGAUGUAGUCGCAAACUCGCCGGAAGUCGCUUAGACGCCUGCCCCACGGUGGGUGCCAACUGUCGUGGGUAUAAGUCUGACAGUAGAUGUGUAGGGUACGAAAGGAUGGGCAGAGCCUUAGCUACGGUGAGGUUGUAUGAGUUCAUGCCCCUCUACGGUGGAGGUAAUAGCCCUACGCCUCAGUGCUCUGGGAGCNNNNNNNNNNNNNNNNNNNNNNNNNNNNNNNNNNNNNNNNNNNNNNNNNNNNNNNNNNNNNNNNNNNNNNNNNNNNNNNNNNNNNNNNNNNNNNNNNNNNNNNNNNNNNNNNNNNNNNNNNNNNNNNNNNNNNNNNNNNNNNNNNNNNNNNNNNNNNNNNNNNNNNNNNNNNNNNNNNNNNNNNNNNNNNNNNNNNNNNNNNNNNNNNNNNNNNNNNNNNNNAGUGCGCUACCCUCCACGACGGUUCGGUGCACAGGGGUGGAGUAGUGGCGAAUAAAUGCCUACGUUACAGGUAAUGUAUGUAUUAAAUGCUAAUAAAGGCACAUGGAAACGUACGACCGUUUCCCUCCAGGGGGUAUGAUGCACAGAGUGGAAUCCAGUCGGUUAGUUUGUUACACUCCGAAUGCUCAUCUCCGACUGGAUGGUGGAGGAUUUGUUACCGACUGGAUGAUGGGAAGUCCAUAAGACGGUCGGAACUGACUAAGGGUCUUAUCCCUUAUGAAGGGUAGUCCUUGGAUAGGACUUAUAGGGCAGGCCUAUGACCCUACCCUAGGACUAUAACCCCAUCAUGAUCACAAUGAGACUAUUAAACACUUUUUUCUCCAGUUUCCAUUGGCUAGACUUCUACGCUUACUAUUCAUGUAGCCUUCAAUAUAAACCCUCCAAUAAGUAUGAACACAUUAUUUGGGACGUGGCUUAAUGGAGUGGACGUUAAUUUAUCUAGAUAAAUUCAAAUAGAAAUUUGUGCAAUGCUUUGGGCUAUAUGAAACUGCAGGAGUGACAUGAUAUUUAAGAGGAAGAACGUCGCCAAUUUCUUGCAGGUUAUCUACAGAGCUACCGCAUGGAUCCGUACAUGGUCGUUACUCACACAUGUGGAGUCCAGGGAGCUUUUGGUUACUAGGUGCAACUAGUGGGAGACGACAACAUGGAUUAUCUUCAACCGAUAUGGAUGACGGCAAACUAAUAGGGUAGGUGUUUAGCCAUCGUAGCCUGCUUUUAUCAUGCCACAUUGGCAUGUAUUUUCCUUUUAUUUUCAGCUCUUUGAGCUCCACUUUGGAUACUAUAGUUUCGGUGAACUUUUUUGGCUUAAUAAAAUGGCAGCAUGUAUCAUCAUGAUGCAGAGGCCCGGGAGCAUCCCCUUUAUUUAAAAAAAAACUACAUGAUACAAGAAGACAUGAACAUAGUACUCGGAGCAGACAGAAAAGGAAUACUCAGCCCAAACAAUUGACACGCAUGUGAGCGCGCGCACACACACUGCUAAACCCGUCUAGCCUCCCCUUCACCUAUACAGGGUAAGGAGAUGCGGGUUCACGAGACCCAGACCGCAUCAAGACUAACACGAGGCACCACAACCGAGCGGCCACGACUCAAUGCUCAAUUACAUAAACGUACAUCCGUCUAAACCGCCAAGAGAUCGGCGAGUAAGUAACAGGACCUGGCCAGGCCGGAGGCGGAAGCCCACGUAAACAUCGCCGAGGACAUGCAUAGGGCCCAAAAUGUCCAUGCCUUGAUAGGCGGCCCACCUUUACAUUUUCUCCAAAAUAAAUGCCCAAAUUUUGAAAUUACAUGAACAUUUAAUAAAGCAUUGGAAAUUUUAGAAGUUAUUCAAACCUUUUUGAAAAAAUACAAUAUAAUUUUUUGAAAGAUGAAAACACCUUUUGAAAUUAUAUGAACUUUUCAAAAAUUUGUGACAACUUUUCAAAUCACACAUAAUUUUUAAAUACGUAACUUAUUUUCUUACUUACUAAAAAAGAAAUAACGGCUUUCAUUUUUUUUGAACUUUCAAAAAGACCAUGAAAUUUAUAAAUAGUCAAUACGGUUAAAUAAUUUUCAAACAUUUUAGAAAUAUUCACACAUUUGAAAACUGUUCAAUUAUUUUGUAACAAAAUCAUUCACGCAAAAAAAGGGUUCAUAUCCGUAAAAUCUUCAUGAUCAAGGGAAAAAAUAAAUAAAAUUUUGCAUUAAAAUAAUGAAAAUGAGAAAAAAGUAAACAUUACUAGGGAAAAAGAAAAAUAAUAUAGUAUAAACGAAAUAAAUCCGUCUUACAUGGUACAAAACGACAGGAAAAACACGUCAUGUACAAAACCAUGGAAACCGAGAGAGAUCCAAAGAAAACAGUUUUAGCGGUGAGGUGCGAGAUGAGAGAAAGAACAGAGAAAAGCUUAAUGGGAUGGCUGCCCGAUUUCUUCAAUUUUGCUAGUCCCCAUUGCUACAAGUUCGCAUAAGUGUUCCUCUGUUUUGAAUGCAACAGAUUUUUUUUUCUUUUGAGAAAUGAAUGGACCGGAACAAGAAAUAAGUUUGGACCCUGCGCCAGGAUAUGCGAAUAUACCUCGCCUGACGCGAAGAUGGAAACCAGGCUCGCCCGUGCAGCGCCGUCACAUUGGGACAGGCGGGCCGCCAGGAGGCUAUAUAAGACUCACUGCUCGAUUUGUUCAACAAAACGUACACUUUUCUUAGUGGCUGGAGCUAAUUAAUGCCGUGCGGCCAUGAUCGAAUCCGGCAGUGUACAUUUUUUUUUAAAUAGUAAUACAUUCAGCAAAAUUUAAAAAACACCUUGCAUAAUUUUAAUAAAAAUACUAAGCAAACAUUUCUAAAAAGUUAAAUGUGCAUAAUUGUUUUUUCAUGUAUACAGAAAAUAUACAAUGUGUAUGAAAAAAGUUCAUCAUGUAUUUAAAAUAUAUGUUCAUUAAGUAUUUCAAUAAAAUUAAUGAAUCAUUAGGAAAUGAUAAAUGUGUGUGGGCAAAACUAUUUUCUUGUAUACGAAAAACAUAUAAAAAAUAUAGGUUUGUUAAAUUUUUUAUCACGUACUAAAUAUUUUUUCCCAGAAGAAUAUACUAUCUCCGUCCGAAAAUACUUGUUAUAAAAAUGGAUGUUUCUAGAUGUAGUUUAGUUGUAGAUACAUCAAUUUUUAUAUAUUUGUGCGACAAGUAAUUCCGAAUGGAGGGAGUACUCACUUUUUAUAAAACAUGUAUAAACAUAUGUCCGGAUGUAAAACUGUACAAUGGGUAUGCAAAUAAUAGACACAAAAAUAUACUCUAUUUAGAAAACAUAUGUUUGUAAAAAAUAAAUCAUGUAUCUGAAAAAUAUUCACCAUGUACACAAAAAAUAUUUCCUGUAUUUGAAUAAAAAUUAUAACAUGUGUAAGAAAUGUUCCUUUUCUAUAUGAAAAGAGCAAGAAAAACCCAUAGAUAACCGAGAAAGACAAACAAAACAAAACAAUGAAACCUGAAAAAAGAAAUGAAAGAAAAAACCCAGAGGAAACCAAGAAAGGAAAAGAAAUCAAAGUAUGACAAAAAGAAAAAGUGAAAAACAAGCGGAUAAAAUCCAGUGAAAUCCGAAAAAAGAAAUAACGAAAGCAAAUAAAUCAUAGAAAAAAAUCUAGUAAUACCAAGAAAGAAACAAAGAAGACUAUUGAAAAGAACAAAGUAAACCUAUAAAAAAGGAUAACCAUGAAGAAAACAAAGAAAACCAAAAGAAAAACGAAAAAAAAAUAGCAAAAAACAAAAAAAAUCUGGAAGGAAACCUGACUGCACUAUCAGCGGCCAACCCACCGAGUGGGGUGAGCCAGCGACCCCGGUUAAAAUGCGGAGAGCGAAAUAUUCAGGUGGCAUAUGCCUCGCUAUAAGUGCGAUAUAGGGCGUGGCAAGGGCACAAGGGCGACAAUCUACUAGACAAAAAGGAGAUGCCAACGCAGUACAUAUGUAUACGGAUACAGGGACAUGGUAUAUUGUGAGAUUUUAUUUUUUAUGAUAAUAUGUGUCUCAUUGAUAUUAUAAAAAUAAAAAUACAAGUUACGUAUACCAACAUGACAAAACUAAAAAAAUAACAGAACAUCUCUAAGUUUGACACCAACAUAUGUCGCGUACCUCUGACACUGUCAUAGCAGCCACCAAAGAAAAGAAUGGCGAAUCACCUCCUCAACCAAGCUCGACGCGAUUCCAUCGCUUACAUGCAACUUUGCGGACCUUGAAGGUGACUUAUCAAAAGUGAAGCCAUGAGGCUGGUUGUAACGGGGAGUGUCAUAUACUAGUAUCAUGCAUAUGAUAUUAGUGUAUGAUAGUACAUCCGUAAUGCAUAGUAGCAUGUCCUACUAUCAUAGGACAGUUUAUUUAUUGUCAUGCAUGAUACAUAGUAGUACAACAUUUAAUAUGAUAUGAUAUCAUAAUAUGAUGUUUAAUAUUUUUUUCUUCAUUUAAUUCUAUGUCAUCUCAUCAAAUAUGGCUAGUUUGAUACUACUACUUAUAAUACUUUCAUUAUGACUAGCCUUAUCGUUGAACGAAUCAGACCAGGAUAACACCUCGAACACGCCAUCAAACUUCACAUAUGACACCCCACCGAAAGAUAUAUCUUGCCUAGAAUCAUAUUUAUCAUGUACGUAGUACUCCCUUCAUCUGGAAUUACUUGUCGCAGAAAUGAAUCUGUCUAGACACAUAUUUACUUUUAGAUAUAUCAAUUUCUAUCCAUUUUUACGACAAGUAAUUUGGGACGGAGGGAGUAGAUACCAACCUUUUUAUAGAUCAGAUAUAUACCAACUAAACACCAACUAAACACGUGCACAUGCUAGAUCGGCCGGCCCUUUACGAGGUUUGUCUGUGUGUUUUUCCAGCCGGUUUGGGGAAGUUCUAGAACCUUCCUUAAACUGAACUUUCUCAACAUUUUCUGUGUUUUCCCUUUUUUCAGCUGUUUAUACCAAUUUUUUUUUUUUUUUGGAUUUUGAUUUUUUCAAUUCUCAAACAUUAAUAUUGUUUAUCUUUCUGUCCUCUUCUUUUAUUUUUUUUCCCAUUUUAAUUUUAGAAGAAAUUUGUAAUUCACAUACAUUUCUGUAUUCAUGAACUUUUUUGAAAUUCUUAAAAAAAUUCUAAAACUCACGAAUAUUAUUUCAAUUCAUGAACUUUGUUUGAAUCGACAAACAUUUUCUGAAAUUUGGGAACAAUGUUGUAAAUUUGUGUCCAAUUUUUGAAAUACAUGAAUAUUUUUUAACAUGUCCGGGAAUCAUCAACACGACGACCGCCUAUAUCAACUUUGUCGUCUUCAUCAACAUCUUCAUCAAUUUUUCUGUCUAUUCAACAGUUCUCUCUCCCAGAAUCCUCUGUAAUAUCCUACUUAAACAUGGUGUUGGAUAUUGUUAAUUAUUAUAUGAUGAUUUCUUGUGUCUUCUAUAGGUUUGAGUAGAUUAUUUUUGUCAUAUGGGUUAAUUGAUGAACUGUUGUGAUUGGUUUGAGUUUCAUGUUGUCCUUUGAUACCCAUCAUAUGAGCGCUCACGUUGAUGGCACUCUAGGGUUUGUUCUAUGUUGAUACGACUAUGCAUACGGUGGCUGAAGUGACCAGAACCUCGCCACACUAUUGAAAUUAAUGCAUAUGGAAUUGAAGGGGACCAAUAUAUCUUACUGUUAUGGUUGGGUUUACCUUAACGCGCGUGUUAGCAUUUGCAGAUGCUUACUAAUGGUUUCAAUCAGAAGUACAUAUGAUUAAACAUGAAAAAUAUAUUCCUAGAGGCCUCUCCCACAUAUAAAGCUGUGAUGAUAAUAAUCGGUCUAGUAACUUAGUCAAUUGUCCAGGACGAUGAUAAUAAAUUGUGUCUCGAUCUCUAUAGUGCUUUGGAUACUUUGGAAUUUUUGACACACGGAACAUGAGAAACAUAUCCAUUUCAUGUCCUUCUCAAUCUAUCUCGAUUGGCUGCUUCCAAAAAUCCUGACAACCUAUCCAUGAACCCAUUGCUCAAACUGUUCUUGCAAACAUCCAAGCUCGAUCCACAUCCGCAACAUAACAAAAGUACCACAUUAAUAACCUGCUAUUACAAAAUUAUACGUGCAUCAUAAUUAUAUUAUUAACACAUUAGCUAGCACAUCUAUUUUGUUUACUUUGCAUAUUAACUUUGUCUUGUGAAUUUUUUGUGAAUUUUGCCCAACCUUGUGAGUCAUCCAUUUCAAAUUAUUGACCGGCGGCAACACUCCCUCUCGAAAUGGUGCCCGACAAAACCCCUCCAUAUCGAUUCAGCAACAACUUCCCCCCUCUCAAAACAAUGACUAGUGACAACCUUGCACCUUAGGUUUGUGAUAAGCAGGAGCAAUCAUCCCACUAAACAGGGCAUCAAGUCAAUGGACAAAUCUCACACUGAACUCAUGGUUAGUGACAUGGUAACAAACAUUCCAGGUAGUUUCCAAAUAGCAACCCAGUUUCAUUUUAUAGUUGUCUGCAGUAAGGUUGCUCGUAAUGAGAGUAUCAUAGUUAGUAUAAUGCAUGUCAACUAGGCAAUUUUGAUGUGCUCACAUAAAAUUAAAUGAAGAAAGAUAAGAUUGAACAUUAUAUCAUGGUACCAUAUCAUAAUAAAUAUUGUACUACUAUGUGUCUUACAUGAUAUUAAGUAAAAUCAUCUAUGAUACCAGCAAUAUAAAUAUAAUAUUAUAUAUUAGUAUCAUAUGCAUAUGCAUGAUACUAAGAUAUUAUACUACUCCCUCCGUUUCAAAAUAUAAGUCUUUUAUGAGAUUGCAUUAGGGACUACAUACAAAUAUAUAUAGACAUACUUCAAAGUAUAGGUUCACUCAUUUUGCUUUGUAUGUAAUCUGAAAUCUGUAAAAAGACUUAUAUUUAAAAAACGAAUGGAGUAGUCACUAGCAACAGCCUAAACAAGUAUUACAGGCGGUUUCCAAACUACAUGCAAUUACUGAUCAUGGGGAGCAAUGUACUCCUCUAGUCGUCUUGUUGAUGGAAAAAAUAUUUACAAUCAAAUUAAUCAGUGUGAAUGUUGAUGGAAAUUUGUGUUGGUAAUUACAGCGAGAAAUUAAAGAAGCAGGGCAAUGUGCUCCUCCUGGCGUCGACGAUCAGCGUGACGAAAUCAGCAAGGGUAAUACGCCUUGAGGUGCGCUUGUAAGCAUGGCGAGUCCUUCCAAACCCUAGCGUGCAUCUUGAGCAGCUCCUUGGCCUUGGCCCUGGCCCGCUCGCCGGCAUCCACCUGUAGAACCAGCAGCAGCUUGGCGACCACCCCGACGGCCAGCAUCUCCUGCAGCACGGCCGGCGUCGGCGAGUGCCUAGCCACGGCGUGCAGAGCGCGCACCGCGCUCUCGGUGGUGGUCGGUGACACCCGCAUAGCCUUCUUGGCCACGACGGCCAGCCCUGCCGGGUGCGCCACAAGGUCCGACCGCCCCUCCGCACAGCCGCAGAGGUGGUCGAUGGCCACCACCGCCAGCUCGGUGGGGUGCCGGCCGCCUUCGUCGAGGAGCAGCUCCACCAGCACAGUCACCGCGCCGGCCUCGACGGCCUUGACACGGUUGCGGCCCCACGGACAUAGCCGGCACAGCACGUUCAGCGCCGCCUUCACCGCCUUGGCGGACACCCUGUCAGACACCACGCGUACCACCUCCUGCACCAGCUCGGUUCUCACCGUCAUCAGCCUCGCCGGCUCCAUGACCGACACCAUCGCCUUCAGCAGGAUGAUGCCGUAACAGCGGGACCGGUAGCUCGGUCGCCGCAGCAUGCACACCAGGGUGUCCAGGAAGUCUACGUUUUUCUCGAGGAUCCGGAGCAGGCUCUUCUUGGACGGCUUGAGCGAGCAGAUGACGCUGAGCGCGUCCUCCUCCGGCGAGCUCGUGGACGUCGGGGAAUCCAGCGAAAGUUCUAGCAAAUCUUGAGCCGACUUGGACGUGGUGGCAUGGUUCGUGACGACGGAGACGAGGAACUCGACGGCGCCGGGCGUGGCCUCGACGCAGCGCCUGUUGCGAUCGCUCUCGGCGACGAUGGCCUUGAUCUCGCGGAGCGCGGCCAGCUCCUGCUGCCGGCCGGCACCGUGACCCUCUUGGACGAUCUCGGCGACGCGGCUGGUGUCGAGGGGCGGGCGCGGGGUGGGGAAGCGCUCGACGGCGUGGAGGGAGCACCAGGCCUGGGUGAGGCGGCGGAGCGUGUGGUUGGGCGUGGCAUCCCGGUCGGCCUCCGCAAUCUUCUGCUGCGUGACGGGGCAGGUGGCGUGGCCGUCGGAGAUCCAGCGCUCGAUGCUGGUGCGGUCGUAGGUGAUGCCGGUGGCGAGCGUGACGGGGUCCCGCAUGAUCUCCAGCGAGAUCGGGCACAGGAAGUACGGCGGCACCUCCACCGUCGGCCCCUCCAUGGCCGUAGGUCGCGAAGGAUUGCUCGUGAAAUGGAUCUGGUGGAGAGCAGAGCGAAUGAAGAAGACGCUGACCGAGUUGGUGGAUGGAGUUGAACACAAAUCGAAUGGGAGGGGGAGUGGGUGCGCGCGCGUUUUAUAGGAAGUGGAUCACGCGAAGAAGUCCACGCGUGUUAGCAAGAGAUUAGAGGAGAUUAAUUGCGUGGGUUGGGUUGGGUCGGAUUGACUUGCGGGGUCGGUGUUGAGCUGGCUCCAUGUUUUGACUUUGUGAAUUCAUCUUGCUCGGUCCUUUCUGCUGUUCGACUCCGUUGCUCUUGAAAGAUUCCGUUUCUGUGGGUAUGAAACACCGUUGAAGUUUAGCCGCUGCGUAGAUUGGUUGAAGGGUAAUUUUCGCCACCUCCGUGGUUUUAGAGUAUCUACAACCAGACCCUUAUAUUCGUUUCGAACGUUGGACAGCCGAUCAAUCAGCGUACGGCCAGAGAAAAUCUACCCAAAUGGAAUGCACUAAGAGCAAGCUGCUGGCUAUAAGCCACUGCCAUGUCAUCUAUAGCCCAUCUUAUAGCUAACAUGUACAAUACUUCAUUGUAAAAGUGUAUUACUUCUUCAUUAUAUGGUCCACCUUUCAUACUCAUAAAAUGCCUAGGAGCACGUGCUAGAGCUGGCUCUUAGCUAAGAGGCCGCUUACCUUCUCUCCCCUCUUAGCUAAGAGGCCGUUUCUGUGGGUAUGAAACACCGUUGAAGUUUAGCCGCUGCGUAGAUUGGUUGAUGGGUAAUUUUCGCCACCUCCGUGCACUUAAACAUCUACAACCGGACCCCUUAUAUCUGUUUCAAACGUCCGGUCGACCGGUCGGUCAAUGUCCGAUCGAAAAAAAAGCAAUCCAAACGGGCGUUCUAAACGGGUCUCAAAUACACGAGCUGACCGACAUCCAUCAUAUCUAGCAUAAAUAUGGAGCGAAUAUGUGGAGCCCGUGCGUGCCCGGACAUGCUUGCCUGGCAGGCCUGGGCCACCAUUGACCCCACCGACAUGUCAGUUUGGCCCACCAUGGACACCAUGAAAUAUUCCAAUUCGGUAACCCUAGACAUCCGACAGUUCAGUCUCCAUCCACUCCAUUUCCAAUCCCCCCACUUCGAUCCAAUGGCUGGCCAUGGAAGCAACUCCGACAGAUCGAACAUCGAUGUCGAGGAGGUGGCCCUCUGCAUCGCAUUACUCCGGUCGCUGCAGGACAAAAGGGGCCCCGUCGGCAAUGCAUGUGCAUCCUCCGGGCACGUCGCACACCGACGGAGUGCCGGCGACAUCGCAUGCCCUUCCCGCAAGGCACAUAGCUCCGACCGCUCCUGCUCUGGCUGGUCCGCUCCCGUUCUGGUCGGUACGCUCUAGGUCAGGUACGCCACCCAUCUCCACCACCUCCUGCUCCAAAAGCGGUGCCCGACCACCGUGGAGUCCUCAUGCCCGCGCCGGGGACGUGGUGCACGAUGAUACCGGAGUUCGGGGUGCAUGCACCCGAGCGACAACGGACGAGGAAGAGGGGGGAGGCCUUGGUCGCGCAGCGUUCGACCUUGAGCGCACCGGUCGACCCCGAGGACGCACUCCUCGCGGGCACCUACGUCGCUCGCUGACUACAGCGGAGACGAAUGCAUGCCGCCUCCGCCGCAAGAAUGCUAACUCACCUCGACUAGCCAUCCAGUUAUCAGAACGCGAGGGAGCUAAAGAGGCGGCGGCGAAGGCAAAAGUGGUAUGUCACGCGAAGGAGCAAGACCGCCUACUCCAUAGGCUGUUCAGCAUGCGGGGCAGCUCCGACGAGGACGACAACGACACCUCCACCUCCGGCUCCGAUGUUAACGACGACAAUGCUCCACCGCACGGUGACGUCUAAACGUAGAAGAGGCAUAACCGCGUGGAUGACCGAAAAGGGAAGGGGAUAAAAAUGGAGGGAGUGCUACAAAAGAUGUCCCUGGGGCCUGCUGAUCAUUCGCCAGAAACUGUGGGAAUGAAUAUGAUACAACGCCGUAGUAUCAAUCGGUUUUCACUUUGUUUUUCGUCAACAGCUGGUUACUUUUUCUAACGAAAUGAAAUUUUCUCCUAGAUUGCGCUUUCAGUAGGCAUCGACUGCGUGUUGGAAAACUAUGCAACCAUUCCAUUAUUUGUAAUGGGCAAAACUAUUUUUUUCGUCCUUUUACCUUUUUUUAAAGUUGGUUUGUUGAACAUUAAAUAUACCUGUUGCACGUCCCGUAACAUGUGUAGUUAAAACUUUAAAUAAUUCAGUUGUACUACUAAUAUCUUUUGAUGUGUUAGUUUGAUUUUCAAAACUUUAGAUGACCAGUUGCACAUCAUAUACACACCGUUGCAUAUUUUCAAGAUGUGCAUUUGUGUAGUGUGCAAUGAUUUCUGUGUUAUGUGUAUGUUUUUCAUAAUUUUCACGGGUGCUAUUUUCCGCUUUUUAUUCUUGCUGAUUGAAACUUUGUUUUUUUUCUCCAUGUACUAAUAUAUUUUUCAUAUUACCAAUUAUAUUCACUGACGGAGCGUCGGGGGGACCAAGGAGGGACCUCCCCCGNNNNNNNNNNNNNNNNNNNNNNNNNNNNNNNNNNNNNNNNNNNNNNNNNNNNNNNNNNNNNNNNNNNNNNNNNNNNNNNNNNNNNNNNNNNNNNNNNNNNNNNNNNNNNNNNNNNNNNNNNNNNNNNNNNNNNNNNNNNNNNNNNNNNNNNNNNNNNNNNNNNNNNNCCUCUUACAAGAGGAAAAUUGCAAGGAUAUGCUCCUCUAAGCAUAAACUCUCUGGUAAUCUCCCGGCAUCCUUAAUUUCUCUAGCUAGCCCCUCCUUGGAUUUAGAUUACGCUUCCGCCACUUAGUAUAUUUGUGCAUAUUUGUUGAGCUUUAUUUUCACAUCUUCGUUUGGUCAAGCACAUAUUCAAAGUACCAAUCGGACUCUCUUUAAAAAACAGUUCUAGUGUGCACGCCGGUGUAAAAUCUCGAUGAAAAGAUCGAAUAUGUGAAAUUUAGAAGCUUUGCAGUUUAAUCGUGGCAGGUUUCUUUUAGGAUCUAAGCUAAUGUUUGUUAUAUGGAAUGCAAAGUGUUCCAGUUUAUAAAGAAAGAUCCAAAUUAAACUAAUGCUUAGAGUUUUUGUCAAAGUGUUCCAUUUGUCUGGCCCAGAAUCAAAUGGGUAACUUAACCGAAACCACUUGUCAUUGUAUUCCAUGGGCUUACCUAUGAAGCAUUGAUACAACAAUACAGAAUACGAUAAUUUUUAAAAACAUCAAUACGUCAAUACAGUAAGUAUAUACAAAUAAUAAUAAAAUAAUUGUAAUAAAAACAAACAUAAUAAAUUGUGUUAGAAUAGAUCAAAAUGUACUAGGCGAUGAAUAAAACUCCCUUUCACCCACAAAAAAGUGUAAUAGGCAGUGCAUUAGUAAGUUGUUCAUGGCUUAAUAAGAAGGUUAGCGUAUGUUUUAGGAUAAUUCUUCGGGUGCGCUUUGUCAGCGGCUCAUGUCCCUUUUCUUUGCGAGCGGACGAGCAUCGCGGAGUUAACACUGUUAGCAUAUGACUAAUUAUUAGCAAAGCAGUAACAUUAGCAAGCAACUACUAUCUCUACACAACCUACUGAAUCAAGUAAUCUACAACUACAAGGAGCCAACCUGCUCAAUCUACUACAAUGUCAACCUACUUCAUCACUAAUAAUUGAAGACGAAAAGAUGAAUGGAUAGAUCAAGUAAAGAGGUGGCGAGUGUGACCAGCAACGACGACAGAGUUCAGUCGAUGUGGGGCGUUAGGAGUUGAUAGGGCAGCGAACAGAGUGAAAUGAGUACUCAAGUUAGGGUUAGUAUUGGGCUUGUACUGGGCUGGCCGUAUCCCAGCCGUGGACGGUGAACAACAUGUAUCGGUGUUUUUAUCUUCUUUUUUUCAAAUUAAAAAAAGAUACUUCGGUGAUACCAGUAUUGAUGCCGUAUCACACGUAUCAGCGUCUGAAAUACAGGACAGCGAUACACAUGUCUUACAAGUAUCGGUGCUUCGUAGGGGCUUACUGGGAUGGAGUGUUAGUGGACAGCGGACGAAGAUGACGAUGCCACGGAGGUCGACCAGUCGGCAGUCGUGAGCUGUUCAUGGCGCAGCUGACAACGAAGUGCUGGAUCGAUGGCCAAAUUUAAUCAAGAAAACAUUUUUUUCCCUGCAUAUAAAAAGAGAAAAGGAAAGGUAGUACGUACUACUCUUCCCCGCCGCAGCCGCNNNNNNNNNNNNNNNNNNNNNNNNNNNNNNNNNNNNNNNNNNNNNNNNNNNNNNNNNNNNNNNNNNNNNNNNNNNNNNNNNNNNNNNNNNNNNNNNNNNNNNNNNNNNNNNNNNNNNNNNNNNNNNNNNNNNNNNNNNNNNNNNCAAUCGGAGCAUUCAAGGUUCAAGUGGAAGCUACCGCUGACCGACAGGGCCUUGCAUGCAUGCAUGCUGGCGCCACCAAUCAUCUCGCGUAUACGUGUCGGAGCAUACGAAGUGGCCUGAUCGAUGGCGUAUACGUGUGUCGUCUACGGCCAAAUUGAAUCAAGAAAACUUUUUUUCCUGCAUAUAAUAAUAAGAGAAAAGGAAAGGUACUACUAUUCCCCGCCGCAGCCGCNNNNNNNNNNNNNNNNNNNNNNNNNNNNNNNNNNNNNNNNNNNNNNNNNNNNNNNNNNNNNNNNNNNNNNNNNNNNNNNNNNNNNNNNNNNNNNNNNNNNNNNNNNNNNNNNNNNNNNNNNNNNNNNNNNNNNNNNCAAUCGGAGCAUUCAAGAUUACUCCCUCCGUACCUAAAUAUAACUUUUUAAAUAUUUCACUAGAUGUCUACAUACAAAGCAAAAUGAAUGAACCUAUGUUUUAAAAUAUGUUCAUAUACAUCCGUAUAUAGUUCAUUAGUUGAACCUCUAGAAAGACUUAUAUUUAGCAAGGGAGUAGAUUUCAAGCGUAAGCAACUGCUGACCGAUAGCCAGAACCAUGCAUGCAUGCAUGCAUGCAUGCUGGCGCCACCAAUCAUCUCGAGCACUCACCAUCAUCGCCAGCACUCACGGCAGCUUCCGGCCGCACGCGACCGGGGCCCGCAUGUCGGCGCGGUUUGACCGCCCCGUCGUUUUCUUCAACGCACGCGCGCGCGCUCGAUCGUAAACUAUUUUCCACGUGCUGUUUUUAAAUGCAAAUGAAUUCGGCGCAUGCGCACCAGCCACUACUACUUGUAUGCGCCAGCCUUUGUAUAUUUCGUCACGUGCCGUGCGUGCAUGCAUGCAUGCAUGUUCCCUUCUCCGGUUUCCGUGACGUUGAAAGGUUCUCCAAACCGAUCGCCAGCCGUGAUCGAAUCACAGAAAAGACCCAGCAUAUUUUGGUAGUACGUUAAUUUUGUUUUUGAGGAACCAGCAGGAGUUCUGCCUUUUUAUAUAAAAAAAGAAGAAUUGACCAGUUAAUUUUGAUAGUAUGUUAUUGCCAUUGUAUGUGACCAACUGAGUCGAGGGCCCGCGCUGCCUGCGUUAGAUCGAUGAUGACCUAACUACGUCGACCAGCUCUCCUACCAGAGGCGCUCAGUCGUAUUUAAGGCGGUAAUAUAAUGCUACCGGGAAUCUUCUAAAUUGCCAGGAAGUGCGGAAUAGAGGGGUGGUUUUCUGAGCGAUCCCAUCAGCUCUCCUACCACAGGCGCUUUGGUCGUAUUUAAGGUGAGGAACUGUUCUUUGUUGAUCAGGAGACGACCAACUCUUCUAGUGGCUCUACUGUUUCAAAGAGGAACCUUGGCUGGAAUCUCGCAUUUCUACACCUAGUGUGAUUCUACAACUUUUUGUCGUGUUGUUUCGCCUUUGUAUUUUUUUUAUUUCCCUGUAUAUUAAAAAAAUGGGACUAUCUAUUUGUCAUCCGACUAAAAAUCAAUUGGACAUCAUUCACAUUUUCCGACUGAAAAUCUGUUUUACCCGGUACAUUCCAUGUUGUUCUAUCUUCAUAAAAAAUGUCCUACUUUUUUUCGAAACCACCGUCCCAAUUGCUAAGGUUUCCGAGGAGCGCUCUACGCAAUUAUUGACCUCUUGGUCACGGCAUGAACACCUGCGACUACUUUUCCAACGACGACUUCUUCCCUAACAUCGACAACCUCUUGGGUGACAACAACAUCAAUGCCAAUGCCAAAGCUAAUGCCACUGCAUAACUCAGUUUGUGUUUAUGUCUUUUUUGUUCGAGAUCCUACUAGAGUUUCUUGUUCUUGUAUCUGUUCUAGAUAUGUUAUCUUCUAAUUCACAUCUUCAUAUGCUACUCGCCUUCUCUCUGUUAGAUUGCAUGACUUGUUUCGUAUCUGCUAUAUUAGUCAUGUUUUAUCUACUAUUUCUAUUAAUAAAAUCAUAUGAUAAAUUGCUUAUUUUUUUAUCAAUUCAAAAACCUUAUAAUAGGCAAUUUAACCAGAGUAGUUUUGCUGCUUUCAUGAUGCCUCUUAGGUUUAAGGGUGUUUACUAUAAGAGGUGAUGUGUGAGAGCAGUUUUAUGGUUUCAAACCAUGAGCUGCUAUGAUGCCAAAGCCACUUUGGAACAUCCUAUGUUUGCUCUGGUACUUCCGAGAACAAUAUUUUCAUGGCUCAGUUGUGACUUACUAUUUACUGUAAAUCCUCUUUCAAAGAACUGCUUGGUCUAGCUACUACGUACUACCAAUCAACUGGUUUUACCUGGUACAUUCCAUGUUGUUCUAUCUUCACAGAGAAUGUGCUGCUUUUUUUUCGGAACCACCAUCCCAAUUGCUAAUUGUACUUACAAGUACUAAUAUGUUUUCACCUAGUAACAAAACAUUGCCGUCACGUUCAUUUUUUUUCGACGGUCUCGGUGGUUCUGCUAGUUUACAACUGGUGCUUCCAAGCCUAGUUUCUAUAUGCAUUAAAAGUCACUAGCAAAAUGGCCCGUGCGUUGCCACGGAAGAUAAAAACAUAAUCUCCAAUGAUGGUGACCACAUUAUGUUCAUAUAUCAUCGCUUGAUUUUAAAAAUUUAUGCACAAAUGCGAGAAAAUAUUUCUUCUUUUAAAUUUAUUCACAAGUUGAAGCAAUCUUUACAUUGUCAAAAAAUAUAUAUCAUGGUUGUCAAAAAUCUUGGUAACUCAAAGAUUUAUUCUGAAUUUCAAUAUUUUUUAAAAAAAACAUACAAUAAUAAUUUGAUCCAUCCAACAAUUAAUUCUUCAAAAUUCACACAGGUAUAUUGUCACAAAGACAUAGAAGUAUUAAUGUUUCACUACAUACAUUAGAUCUUUUGUGGAGAAUUUUAAAAAUAUGGAAAUAAUUUUAAAAUCGAGAACAUUUUUUACAAUUUACAAACAUUUACUAAAAAUCGUGAAUAUUUUUUAUAUUCCGAACGGGUUUAAAUAUUUUCUUUUGAAUUGGCGACCAGUUCAAGAAAAGACGAUCAUAAUUUUUUAUGUUGGAGGAUUUUAUUUUAAAUUCACAAACAUUUUUUGAAAUGCAUGAAGUUUUUCUGAAUAAACAAACAUUUUUAUAAAUCAGUAAUAUAUUUACUAAAUUAAUGGACAUUGUUUUGGAAUUUGCAAAAAAAAUAUAAUAAUCCGGCGCUUUUUUGAAUCCACAAACAUUUUAUGUUUUCGUCAGCAUUUAAUUCAAAAUUCCUCUUUUUUAAGAUGCAAAAGUUUUUGUAAUUCUAAAUUAUUUCAACUAGAAAUAAACAAAAAUGGAACGGAAAAUUUUAAAUAAAAAAAAGAAACUAUCGAAACAGGCAUUAGCUAUUUUUAAAAUUUUAGGACAUUCUUUAAAUGCAUUACCAUAUUUUGAAUUAGAAAGUAUUUUGUUAAAUGCCUUUAAUAAUUUUUAAUACAUGGAAUUGUAUUUGAAAUCAUGGACUUUUCUUAUUGUACAAACAUUUUAUUGUAUAUGCGAUAAUUUUUUACAAAACUCCGAGCAGUUUUUGAAGUCACAAACAUUUUAUUUUUUAAAAUAUGUUGAUUUAUAAUUUUCAGUUUAUUAAAUUUUUAAAGAUUAUUUGAAGUUCUAAAUUAUUGAAAAUAAAAAAUAAAAUGGAACUGAAAAUAAAUAAAUAAACGGAACUAAAAGCAGGCGUCUGUGCAAGGGCCGGCCCAUACGGUGUGCUGGAUAUUCUCCCAGCGUGCAGAGCGUAAUAUAGGAGGUUUUUACAUGGGCCGGCCCAGUUCAAGAUUUUUUUGCUUUCUGAAACAUUUUCUAUUACUUACCAGUGGCAUGGUGGGUAAUAAAUGCAAAUUUUAAGGGUAAUCUCCAUGACGGACGACGAGAAACCGAAUUUGCUUUAUUAUUAGGGAGAGAUAUUUUGGACUCUCUGUCUCUAUCAAUAGCCUUUCAUAUCCUUCUAUGGCUGCAUCCAUCACAUCCAUAUAAUUUAUCAUUGUUCAUCCCUGUAAGCCACUUCUAAUUUACUUCACUUCACUCCACCCACCUAUCACAUAGAGGAAGAGAUAUCCAAGGUAAGAAAAUAAGAGAGGAGUGCUGGAUGAUUCCAUGUCCAGUGUUCGAUUUUUGUAAAGCCAAGAGCUCCCCUUUCUCGAAUUAUGGAGAGAAGCUUUGAUGCAAGAUCAUUCAAGGAGUACUUAUCAAGUGACUUUUAUUUUCUUGUUACUCUUGGAUAGUAAGCACAUAACCUAGAUGGUUAGGAGUCACUUAAAAUAUAAUCCUUUCAAGUUCUAGGUGUGAAGGAUCCAAAAGCUUGUGUUGUUUUGUCUUUGUACAUUUCUGUUCAUUGUGCAUUGGAACAUGCAAGAACUAGAAAACAUGUCGGGAGAUCGACUUGGGAGGCGACACUCGAGGCGAUUCCGACGAUGGCACGGAAUUGAUUAGAGCAAACAAACGUGGUUACCAUGCAAACUCCUCCUGUUCCGGAGUGAGAUCAACGAGUGACACAUUGUAAAUCAUCUUAACACCGCGGGGUUGUAAGGAGGGGAGAUGUGGAUUACAUGUUUGUGCUCCAAAGUAGACCAUUUCUUGCCAGUGUUGCUGGACCUUUGCCGGACGCCUUUAGCAACUGAGAUGUUUUUCACCAUUUUCGUUGUAUUUCUUAGUUUCAUUUUCUUGUUAUUAUUGUCUUUUGUUCAAAACCACAAGGCUCUGUCUAGCCAUGAAUUGGUCUUUACAUUCCCUCAGGUAGAUCUUUGGCAAGUGUGAUUUUUUGGUCUUUUAUGUUUUGAUUUUAAUGUGAUUAUGUUUACAACGGAGUUGUGGCUUUGAGAGGUAUUCAGAAAGCUGAUUAAGCGCCCAAUGACAACAAGAUACGUGUUCCAGCAGGACAAGAUACUACGCCCAAAAGAAACUCCAAAUUUAUCCACAAGAAUCAAACUUCCAAGGUGAUUUUUUUUUGUUCUAGUUUGGAUAUGGUGAUAUACAUCCAUUUCCAAUCACUUCACAACAAAUUAGUUGUACAUGUAUUUAUUUUAGCCUUUUCAUCUGCUAUGUAUAAGAUAGGGGGUACAAGUACAAUCCGUUAAUUUCGACAUUAUUCUUCUUUCUGAAAAAUGGAUGUUGUUAUAGUGAUCCCAUUUCACACGCGCUAUCUCUGAUUGCUAAAGUUCUUGGCCUUUUCUGAUACAUAACAAAAAGUGCAGAAAUAAACUUUGCUCCUAGGUAUUGUUACAUACAUGGGCGGAGCUGUAUGGAGCUACCCUGUUGCAUGGGCAACAGGUCAAGUAGCUUCUUACAUGUAGUUUAGUACUUGGAUUAAGCAUGUGUAUAAGUGCAUCAGGCUAAACUAGCAAGGGUGCAACAGGGUAAAUGCAGAUGCAGCUCCGCCCCUGGUUACAUAACCCUUGGCAACCUUGUUCUUUUUUCUAUCUUAUUUCAAAACUCAAUGCCAAACAAGAUAAGACCACGCUUGGAGGUUAGUGUUGUCUCCGUUAGGCUAACCAACACCUCAUCAUCGCAGCCUUCCUCGUUGUAGAACUCACCCAGCUCCACCUCCACCCAACCGUCGUCCCUCCUCCGAGGGAUUGCCAUGUCAUCUCCAAGAGUAAUUUCCCAUUCUAGUCUAUAUGCAGAUGAUUCCAAGACAUGUAUACCCUCCUCCACACAACUUUGCAGGCAAACUUGCGAGAUUGAUAUCUGUCCUUCUCCUACGCUAAAUGAAGCCUCCUUGAAGGGAUAAUCCAACCCACAAAAUGAAGUGGGGUGUAGUUUAAACACCAUGUAAGCGGCAUACGUUACGUUUCCGGAGAGCAUCUUGCUGUGUAUCUUGCCAUGGAUUUCUAGCUUGCCACACUUCCUAAUCGUCACGACAUGUGGGAAUCUAUCACGAAAUAUAGACAGAAUUAAGAUUUUUUUUGAAACGGAGGUAAAAGCUUUGCCUUAUCUCAUUAAUAAAGAAGAAGAGCAUUGCCCGGUUGAAUAACGAAAAACCGGGUGAAAAACCAUUGCAACAUGUCCACACAUGACACACGGGGUGACCUGGCAACCCGUAAAUGAACGCACAUACGUCACCGAGGAGAGAACACCGUUGAGGCUGCAACCCGGUGUCAUCGUCAUCACACCUACACAAGCGCGACUCCAACUUUACCAUCGACGACCAUCAAUAUAGCCCUCACCGUAAGCAAACGCUGAGGCCCACGCUGACCACUACCAAACAGUCAACCACACGCGCCAACUACCAAGCAGCUCCGACUGUGCCGACGAGCAUUCUAGUAGAAAAGCACUGAGACUGAGCCGAGCCAGCGCCAGAACCGACCACCCGCCUCGCGUCAUCAUCGUCGCAAGGCCCCUCCUGAGCAGCUUCGACUCCAGGAAGGCAAAGUGAGGUGCAGCAACCCCUCGAACAUGCGGAUGAGACCGACUACCAAAACUCAGCAACAAACCAACUACACCCAAAACCGCCAUCGUCACCGCACAAGAAGUUGCGCCAACCACAUCACCAGUCGGGCACCUGCCGACCACGAUGUCGUAUGUGUCCAGCUCUUGGAAAGCAUGAAGGAGGCCAAUGACCCUCAAGGCAACGCCCCCAAGGGGGUAGAGCGAGGUGAGAGGAUGAAGCCGUCACCCGACUCACAUCGGAGUCUUAGGCUUUCGCCCGAUGACCAUGGUCCGAAGGUGCUGGGCAAGGAGAGGCUCCACAAUGACCCCCAAGGAGGAAAAACGAUGUCCGCGGACGCCGUGACGUCUAGGAUUUUGCCCAGAGCCACCUCGGCGAGCACCCCCAUGCAACGAGUGGCGCAACACCAUCGCUCUGUAAGCCCGCUGUCCCACGCAGCUCCUACGCGACAACGGUGCCAUCCUCACGCAAGAGCCACCAACCUCAACGCCUGCAAACUCCGGCGAGCCGGAGCCGGCCAAGUCGGCCAAAUCCGACGCCCACCACCGCCACAGAAAUGCCUAGACCACACCGGGAGCCCGAUGCGAGGCCGUCGCCCAACCUUCAGCCGCCCGACGCGACCACCUCGAGCCAGACCACACACGCGCCAGAUACGCGCCACCAUCCGCGCCAGCUCGCAAAUGGCCGCGCCGCGCGCCAAGACCACCUCGCGCCGCCUGGUGCAGCAGAGCACCGGCGCCGCCCCUCGGUGCCACCCGAAUCCACCGCCGGCCCGACACGUCACACCAAGCUGCGCGCCUCCACAAGGUCGGUUGCCCUGCACCGCCCGAAUGCCUCAUGGGGAGAGAUGAGUCCCGCCGCCGCCGACGCACGCAUGGGCUUUGCCCGGCGGCGUCCCCGAGCAGCGGUGAGGAAGGGGAGAGGCAAGUUGUGGGGUGGCGGUGGCGGGGAGCUAGGGUUGCGCCCGGGCCGCUCGAGGGAGCGGCACGGGGCGGGGGUUUAUUCCUAUGGAACGAUCUUGUGGACUGUAGUUUCGUCUGGCCUGACAGAAUUAAGAUUCGUGCCAUGCGUGGAAAAAUACUACUCCCAAUAAUAUAAUUGGGAGAAUUCGUUAUCAUGGAAAUGUAAGGCUUUAUUAACCUUUUGCUAGUGUUGAGAGCUUCGUAAUCAAAACCGCUAGGACUCAAGUACUAUAGGUAGCGCCGGUACUUGGCGAUCUGUAGUAUCUCCGCGGAAAGCACGAAGCACUUGGCGCCGGUAGCCUUGUCGAGCCUCAUGUGCUGCACCACACAUGUGUGUUUGUAGGUAUGUGCAGCAAAACAAAACGAAUAAACCGCGAACAUUUUAAUUAGUGCAUGCAUGGAUCCAUAUGAAAACAUCUCUCGUGCCGGUCGAGGAAUUAGAAGAAAAAAAAACCUAGCUAGCGAGCUUUUAUAUGUUUUACGAUGAAAUUCAGAUGAAGUUUGAUGGUGGUAAUACGACAUACCAUGAGCUUGCGCGGGAGGAAGGCGGGCAGGCAGGAGAGGCGCUGGAAGAGCGCCUUCUUAGACACCGCCCAGCGCCUCUCUUAGACACCGUCGUCGGGGCAAUCAUCUUCUUGGCGAAGCGCGGAAGCUCACGUGGCACGAAGCAGAACCAUACGGUGUCGGCGGCGGCGCGGAAAGGCCGGGAGACGGCUGCGGCAUGGCAGGCGGCCACCGGCGAUGUGAGGGAGAUCACCCGCACAAGUAGCUUGUCCGGCAGGCACCGAUCUGAGAUGACGCAGUAGUAGAAGAUGGUCCAUUUGUCCCGGUUCCACAGGCCCAUUAGCCCCUGUUCUGGACCGGGACUAAAGGGUCGGGACUAAAGCCCAAAACCUUUAGUCCCGGUUCGCUUACCAACUGAGACAGAAGCAGAUCACGUGGACGAUGUUCAAUCUGCAUAAUAUAUAUAGUGAGGAUAAUUAUAUAUACAUGCAAUGAAUGAGCUGAGCUAGAGAAUUAACUAUAUAAGUAAUACUUACAGACAGUAGGAAGUCAUGAGUUGUUUGUCAAUGGUUAGUUGAUUGUAUAACUGAAAUAACUCCUCAAAUUGGAUAGGAAUCACGAGAAGUCCAAUGAACUCGCGCUGUGGUUUCACUGCCACAUACAUAGCGUCUUUCCCAGACUCCCUGCAGGUUUUCAUGUACCACUCAUGCAAUUUGUGUAUCAUCGUUGUUAGAGGAAGAUGACUAGGUUUUACGAGAGGCUUCCCAUGCACGUAUUUAUAUUGUUCUUUUGUUACCUCAGCCGUUUCAAAAAUUACAUCAUCCCCCAAGUAAUCAUCAGGAUUGGUACCGGGCACCAUCCCCGGAUGAUUAGCGAUGACGAUAUCGCUAGACACCUUGAGCGGGGGGCACGAUUGCUUCUCCUAUUGGCUGAACUGGGGAAUUGUUUUCCCACUUCUUCGUUCUGCUAUGUACCUUGCAUCACCGGAAGUAGUUCCUGACCGCCGCGCUUGUGCAUAUGUAUUUUUAAGAAUGCGGUCAUAGUUGGAAUCCCGGCAGAGGCGGUGGUGGUCGCUUCAGUUGAUUGAUAAUGGGCUCCACUUUCCCCGGAUCUAGCUUCUCCAUCUGAGGUGGAGUUAUUUUGCAAAAUGGGCCCUCAAUACGGCACGACAUAUGUCCUCUCAUAUGGUAACUUUUCCAGAGGCUUGAGAGAUGGAUCGUAUCUGAAUUGCCUCCCGCCUCUGCUUGUACUUCUAGCCGCCGGAGAGAAGGAGGCGUCUCUCUUCCGCUUGAGAGAAGGAGGCGGACUGCUCUGACGCGCCGGAGGAGCCGGAGCAGCGGCGUUUGUCUUCCGACGUUGCCGACGAGGUGAAGGAGGAGGCGGACUGCUCUAACGCGCCGGAGUAGGCGAAGGAGGAGGCCGGAGUUGGCCGUAGCAGCAACAGUGACAUCGGUAGCAUCCUCUGCCGCCUUUUUCUCGGCUUCGGCCUUCUCGCGGGCGAGACGGUCGGCUUCGGUUGGUGAAGACAUGGCGAUGACGAAGGCGACAUAGAUGUAGAUGAAGCAGACGGACGGAGGCGAGCAGUCACGUGAUCGCUCCCUAAAAACCUAAUUGCCCCUCUUCCGUACCGGAUCAGUAGAGGCGUGGUUUCGGACGCCUGCUCUCCCGUCGACCGUGUACACUAUGAACGACCCGGAGUCGCCGGCGGCAGUAGCAGCAAAAGGAAUGAGCGCAUGAGGCAUAGGCGAUCUGAUCUCGUGAAUGCUAGGGUUGGCGCUAGCCGUGCUUAUAUAGGUGCGACCGGGUGGAGAGACGUGGGCUGGACCCACGUCCGAGUCGGUAAUAGCCCACAAAAAUAAGUGCGUACGUAUGAGUUCAGCUCGGCUCAUUCCCGCAACCCGUGGCGCGUCGUGACGAGGCGUCGCAUGGUGAGGCGGGCGACGGAGGAGGAGUGCGCGAGGGCCUCUUCUCUUCUCAUGCUCCAAUAGGAUGUAGAAGAGAGACCCUUAUAAAGGGGUCUAAUUCCCUCUCCACUAGGCCCUUGUCAUGCCACCAGUUACAUAGGCCCUUGGAGAUUUCUGAAAUUUUCUCAUGGGUCUUAGGCCCAUCACAGAUUUCAACAAUCCCCAUCAGAUCUCAAGGGCACAUUGUAUUCUUUCGUUCCAAUCACCGUUUUGAUAUACCAUCAUUUCAGUGAAGACCUGUUAAGGUUGAGCUUCACCUAGAGCAAGCAGCUACACUCCUUUACAACUGAACAAUGGACUAUGCCUUGAAUUGAUAGUUUGGCGUAAAGAAGUUUCACCACAAGUCUUACUAGUACUAGGCUGCCGAAGGCUGACCCCUCGGGUGGAGCAUAUUAGUCACACUCCUGACCUAUUCAUGAGUUUACUGGAGAUCACCCCAAUCUCAUAGAGUGUGACCAGUAGUUGGUUUCAUACAGGUGUGUUCCUCCAAAGAUCGCUCUGCAGGAUAUCAUUUUGCUUGCACAUAAGCUUUAGAACACAUUAAGACGUUAGUCAUCCUACUAUACAGUAUCGGAGAGUAUUGCAUCUUCAACGGAGUGGGUUAGUAAAGUUACUCUCCUCGGUUCACCACUUGCUUGUUUUCCCAGGUCCUACUUCACGGGAUCUUCGAUCACAUAGGUUGGGUUACUGCCAUGGCAACUCAUAUGGAUCUCAUACCCAUCUCCCUUGAUGCACUAUCUAUCACAACAUGUAAUAGCCCUUUAGUAAAGGGAUCUGCCAGAUUCUUAGCCGUUUGGAUGUAAUCCAACGCUAUCACUCCGGAGUUUCUUAAACGUGCGACAGACCUCAAUGUCAUUGUUAUAUGUUUGUUGGACUUCAUGUUGUCCUUUGAACUAUUCACUUUGACAAUAACUGUCUAAUUAUCACAGUUCAUAAGGAUAGCCGGAACCGGCUUCUCAACCACACGAAAGUCCAUCAACAGAUCUUGAAGAAAUUCUGCUUCGAUACCAGAUGUGUCUAAUGCUGUUAAUUCUGCUUCCAUUGUCGAUUUUGGUAAGAUCGUUUGCUUGCAACGCUUCCACGAAACAGCACCACCUCCAAGAGUAAACAUAUACCCAGUAGUGGCCUUCAUCUCAUCAGCAUCAGAGAUCCAAUUCGCAUCACUAUACCCUUCAAGUGUCGACGGGCAUCCUGUAUAGUGAAGUCCGUGGUUGAUAGUACCUUUUAGAUAGCGCAUAAUUCAUUCAACAACAUGCCAAUGAACAUCACCCGGAUUGGCAACAAACCGGCUCAGUUUGCUCAUAGCAAACGCGAUGUCAGACCUCGUUGCGCUAGCUAGAUAUAUAAGUGAACCAAAAAUUUGAGAGAAUCUCAAUUAAUCUAUAUACAUGCGUGUGAACUUUCGAAUCAACGCACUAGGAUCAUAUGGUGUUGGAGAAAUUUUGCAGUCUGAAUAUCCAAAAUGACUCAAAAUCUUCUCAACAUAGUGGGAUUGCGGAAGUGUAGUCCCACCCUCAUCAUCUCUGCACAGCUUGAUGUUCAAGAUAACAUCAUCCAUUCCAAGGUCCUUCAUCACAAAGUUCUAAGACAGAAAAGAUUAACCUCCUCAAUCACUUUGAGGUUGCUUCCAAAUAUCAGUAGGUCAUCAACAUACAAGCACAAUAUAACUCCUUCCCCUCACCAUGACGUUAGUAUACACAUUUAUCAGCUUAAUUAACAACGAAACCAACAUAUGUCAAAGUUGUAUUAAACUUCUCAUGCCAUUGCUUAGGUGCUUGUCUCAUGCCAUAUAAAUAUUUCAACAACUUACACACUUUUCCUUCCUCUGCACAAUCGCACAUCAAGAGAGUUCUACAAAGAUUGGAUGAAAAUCACAAGUUUCUUCUCAUCCUCUUCCUCUGCACAAUCUGGCACUCCUAUCAUUGCCGCCUGCAAGAAAAAAAUGAUGGCAAGGCUCAGAAAGCAAACCAAAGAAACUAACAUGAUAGAGCAUCAAAUACUAAUGUAUAGGUUAGGCUGUGGACAACGAGCCACAUAUAAUAAUAAAAGGGCAGCACAUAAUAACCCAUUAUAGGUUCGCGCACAUGUACCACAAAACAUUUUCUUAUAUUAUUUAUCUCAAGACUUUCAUGUAGAUGUUAGACAUGCUUGAAAAGAAACCUAGCUUAAAGAGAAAAAUAAAUCUACAAUCUUAGGAUAAUCAUGACAAUCUUGGUAUAACAAGAAUCUGCCCACGAGCAACAGAUCAGGCUACAUAUAGAUAAAAGAAUUAACGAUUGUAAUUUUAGCUCAUAACCAGUUCUAAAAAUUCUAGUUAAGCACUUGCUGCUAACAAUGGAUGAAUUGUGAAUAAUCUAUAGUAAGUUUGCCCAAUUAAUUUCUUCUGGAGAUACGUUUAGUUGAAAGUAGAUAAGUCCUUUUGGAGCAUUACAUUGUUUCUUUAGUUUACUUAGCUUUUGUUUUUUAGAGACCACAAAGUGCAGCAUCGAUCAAACCAGGGUCUAGUUCCAGCCUUUCAAUACAAAAUGCUACUCGACAAUGUAAAGAUGCAAGUGCACAUGAAAAGAUAUCAUUUAUUAACAUGAAACUACCAAAAGGAGUUGAUGUCAUAUUUGAUAUGACACUGAAAUUCAUUACUAUGCUAGAAAUAUAUAUAUGUAAGGUCCACUAGGCAUGAUAUAUUUGGCUUUUAGAAUCAACAGCUUCACAAAGUCAGUGUUGUGCCACAAAAUACAGGUCGACCCAACUGCUAAGCAACCAACCACUCUACUGCUGAAACCACUGUCUGCCGGCAGACGCUUCUACCGGACACCUACUGAUCCAACUAUCACAUACUAAAUUUUCACCUUGCCCCGAUACCAACCCAGCAACCCGAGCAGUCACCUAGAUAAUGAAACCCAUGCGUACAUAUUGAUUUUAGUAGCAACAUGAGGAGGAAGGGGGUGCUUACAAUGAUAACUUGAAGAUGUUGGUUUGGUUGGGUGAGAGCAAGAAACCCGUGGCAGUCCCGCUCGUGGUUCUUCCGUCGAGGGCAAGCAAGCUCAAGGCGACGGUAGCAGUAGUCGGGACUCCAUCUCGCCACCCCAUGUCCAAAGGCGCCGUGCUGCAAGAUGAGGUAGACAAAGCCGGUGACGGGACGUCUUCCUCUCCGACGACGCAAGCAACGACGAUCGCUCGUCUCAGAUGCACGGAGGAAGGAGGGGGAUCACCUGGUGGCAGUGAAGGAUAUGAGUGGCGAUACAACGAUGGAAGAGGAUAGCGGUGGUGGGAGUCGAUUGGAUCUGAGAGACAACAAGGAGAGUGGCACAUGUACUCGGUGUAGCGGGGGCACGCAGGGAUGGAUGCCAAAAAUGAAUCGGCAGGGUGUGAUCUCCUCUAGCACGAGCUCUGGAGGAUAGCGUUGAGAGGAGGCGCUGGUGUUAUAUCCACCGUCGCCAUGGUCGUCCACGCCCACACCAUGGCCUCCUGCACUAAACGGGAGAAGAGAGUGUGGCAGCCAAAUCCGCCGACGCCAAUCUCGGGGCCUGCCGCAGCGAAUAGGGCAUAUGGGAUCGUGGCUGGGAGGUUGAUGGGAGAGGUGGAGAAGGGAGUGCAGGGGCCUGCUGCGUCGAACGGGAGCACAAGGGAUCUGGUGAGGGAAGGAAGGCUGGCGGCGGGAGAGGUGGGAGGAGAGUCGAGGGGGACAAGUCUGGACUCUGGAGAUAGGGUUAGGUUUCUGGGGAAGGGACUUUAUAUCCUAUUCCCUUUUUUUAGUGAAUUAUAUCCUAUUCACUUAAUGGGUCUACUCAAGUCCGUAUAGAUAUUGGAUUUAGGAAAUAUGGACCCAUAUUAUUGUCUUUAAUUGUAUUUUUUGAUUACCUAAAAAGAGGUGGUUUAAUCGUAUAUCCACAUCAUUGUACUUAUCGAUGGGAUGUGGUUUCGUUGUAUUUUUCAGGCACACAUACUGUAAGUUUAGGUGUAUUUUGUGAUGAACAUGCGGUGCAAAAGAGCACUUGUGCAGCCAAUCGGCAAGGCGUGUCACCCUUGUAUCACUGUAGGGACAUACAUUUAACGAGGCAAACAUAUUUGACUUUGAAAAUAAGAAAAGAAGAUAUGUAUCUCAAAAGGGCUCCCACCUCUCUACUUCUAUACAAAUUGCAUGUGGGUUGUCAUUGGAAAAAAAAAAAUUCAACAUACUAUGUUGAAAACUUUUUAUAUCUCCAUACUUCUUACCUGAACUUUUACAAUAAUUGUGUUAGAAUGAGGCAUGAGAUCAUGUUUAAGUUUUUAUUGUCUCAAACACCAAGUUAAGGUACCCUAUACCACCUUUCAUUUUUUAAUCUAAAUAGGGUCUACAAAUAAUGAGAUUAGCAUGUGCCCAUAUAUUUCAUUUUGGUAAUUAUAUUGUAUUUUCCAAAAUAUUUAGGAUAUGAAAAUGAAUAAUUAUAAUUUAUUGAUAUUUAUCUAAUAUCAUUUACUUCAUCCAUAUACGUAUAAAACAAAUUUUCGCUGUGUAUACAUGACACAUAGGCAAAAUUGAUGAGGUGUCGUCCAGUCACCUCCACGCAUAUGUUUACGAUCUUAUAUUUGGUCAUGGUAGCAUUGAAAUAUGAUCAUAAAUAAUACUACACAUCUUAAUGACCAUUUUUUGCAAUAGUAUCAUGACCUAAUGGACGCAAAAGGUCGUAACGUUGUGAGCUUUGGACCCUCUUAGACUUGCCAUACUAAUUUUAGAAUUUUGGUCAUGGAUCAAUGAUCAAUUAAACCACCGUCAUUAUUUUUGUCAUAAUUGAGCGUUUUUCCUGUAGUGAUAGCCGUGAGCCAUAAGGUGGUUUUUGUCUGCCAACGCUUGAAAUAAGUAUCGGUAAACUUAUCCGGUUUUACUGUAGCAGCAAAACCACUACUCGAAAAAUUUCUACACACAUUAGGUUAUUGGAUUGUUGAGUAAAUAGGAAAUUUUUUGAAUAGAUUAAUCCACGAAAUAAUCACUAACAUGGCACUGCCUAGAUUCAUGACAUACUAAUUACGGAGCAGACUAGCAAAUACUAAUGCAUAUAGUAGAAACAUCUACGCAUAUAGCUAGUACUACUAGAACUAAAAUAAACAGGAGCGGGAUAAACGAGUUAUAUCCUUCGAUCAGCCAGUUGGUCAUAGCAGCAGCAGUGACAGCGGCAACAUCCUCUGCCUUCUUCUUCUCGGCUUCGGCCUUCUCGCGAACGAGACGGUCGGCUUCGGUUGGCGAAGACAUGGCGAUGACGAGGGCGACACAAACGUAGAUGAAGCAGACAGACGGAGGCGAGCAGUCGCGUGAUCGCUCCCCAAAAAACAAAUCGCCCCUCUCCCGUACAUGAUCCGGAGAGGCGGGGUUUCGGAGGCUUGCUCUCCCGUCGAUCGUGUACGGGAUGAAUGAGACGGAGUCGCCGGUGGUAGGGUUGGCGGCACCGUAAAAAUAAACGCGUAGGUAUGAGCUCAGCUCGGCUCAUUUCCACAACCAGUGGCGAGGCGGACGACGGAGGAUGAGUAUGCGAGGGCCUCUUCUCUUCUCAUGCUCCAAUAUCAUGUAGAAGACAGACACUUAUAAAGGGGUUCAACUUCCUCUCCACUAGCAAGGUGAGACUAAGCUUUUUACCAUCCUUUGUCAUGUCAUCGUCUACAUGGACCGUUGGAGAUUUCUGAAAUUGCCUCAUGGGCCUUAGGCCCAUCACAGAUUUGAACACAUAUUGUUUUCUCCUUCUAUCUUUUUUGGUCAUUAUAUGCAAUAGAACAUGUGAGAGAUAGGACAAACAUGCAAGACGACUUGGGAGGCGACAAUGAAGAUGCCUUUUGGGGCUUGGGUGGUGUACUGAAUUUUUUAUUUUAAAGCUAGACACAGAAGUUGUUUAUAAUGCAUCCUUUAUCACAUCAAACGCGGAUACAACCUCCUCCUGUCGCAGAGUGAAAUCAACGAGGUGCCCACUAUAAAUCAUAUUAGUACAUUUGUGCCCUAAAAUAAACCAUUUUUUGUAAUGUUACAGGAACCUCUUUUAAAAACAAUAUAUGAACAUUCUUUGAAGACCACGAGAAUACUUUUUUUAAUUCACUGAACAAUAUAUGAACAUUCUUUGAAGACCACGAGAAUGUUUUUUUUUGAAAAUCACUGAGAAUUGAAGAGAGCGCUAAACGAUUCAUAUUUGGCCGAGCCACUAUAGGCUGUCCUCCCGCCGCGCUAAAGUCGAGAUAAAGACACGCUCUUUCAUAUUGUCUUUCACUACGAGAAAAUAUUGACAUAGAUUUUCAGAUAUAUCAUAUAUCUGUCUCAACAAGCACACAUAGCACUACCUCGUUCCUCAUGGGCAGGCCCAUUAAGGCCUUGUUCGAUUAAUCCUCCUCCGAAGGGGAUUGAAGAGGAUUGAAGUAAAAUUUAACUUGUUAGGGAUUUAAUCUACUCAAUCCCUGUCAAAUCCCUUUCAUUUCCCUGUCAACCGAACAAGGCCUAAGCUGUUUAUUUUAAGUUUCCUUGUUAGCUCCCACAUGGAUUGGACUAGUCAUUGGUAUCAUUUCAUUUCUCUUCUGGUGAUUGUUCGUUCCUAUGUGAACAGAACAACAUGUUUUUUAUUUUAAUUUUGAUUUUCCAUUUUAGUUUUCCUUUCAUAUAUAUAUAUUCCCUCCAUCCCAAAAUAACUGCCUUAACUUUAUACUAACUUUAAUAUAAAGUUAUAUUAAGCUUAAGACAUUUAUUUUGAGACGGAAGGAGUAAUUGGUUUUAUUCUAUAUUUUUCAAAAAGAGUGAUAAACCCAAAAUGAUAUUAAAAAGUUCACAUUAUUUUUAGACAGAGCAUUAACACUUUUAUAACUACAUGUAUAAUUUUUUCACGAGUGAACAUCUUUUUAUAUUUUUUUUCAUCAUGGGUUAAAAAGCAAUUCACCGUCCAUUUAUUAUUGGUCAUCAUGCAUAUAUAGAAUCAUCAUGUAGAUUUUACUUGUCGCUCAGCACUCACUAGGCGUCAGUGCUAUAUCUCACCUAUUGCAAGAUAGAACACGGUCCUCAAAUACUUCCUUCUUUCCUGACGUGUUUCUUCUUUUGUGCGCUAGAUUUUUUCUUGUUUUGGUAUAUAAAUUUUGCUUCUGUCCUAGCUCGCCCACGUGAAAUAUUCUAAUCCUAUUUUCGGUAUUUUCUGUUUUGUGAUUGGCAUCGAUUACAUAUUUAUAUGUUAAUCAUUUAUCCUGCUACAUGUUAAAACUAGCAAAAUGCACAUUGACCUUUUUUGAAUAUAUUUUUUCUUCAAAAAUGCAGUGAUAAUUUUUUAACAUGCAAUAUAUUUUAAAUGGCGUGGACAUAUUUUUUAGUAUCGCCAUUUCUCUGGAAUUGGCCCAUUUUUUUACAUUUCAUAAAUAAUUCGUUGAAUGCAUAGAUUUCUAUGUCAUGAUACUUAUUUUUUAAGGCAUAGAUUUCAAGAUAAUUUGUUGAAAGGUAUGAAAAUUCUUUACAUAUUACAUGAUAAAUGCUGUAAAUUUUCAAUGAUAUAAUUUCAGUUAUGAACAUAUGUUGUAAACUUUUGAACUUUGUUUAGAGACAUGAACAUUUUUUUAGCGACAUGAUCAUUUUUUGAAAUAAUGAAUACACAUAUUUAAACAUUUUUAAUGUGUAGUGAACAAGUUUUUACUGCUAAAUAAUUUUCUUUUUAUAAAGAGGUAAUAAAUAAUGAUCGUUUAAAACAAAAGUAAAAACAACAUAGAAAGGUAACAAGGUUGAAAUAUACAUGUAAGAGAAUAAAACAUAGAAUGUAACAACUAAUGGGCCGGCCUAUUAAACAACUUCGAAGCGACGCGUCAUUCAGCGAAAUCACUAAUUGAGGGGUACACCUUUUAAAGGCUAGUUCCAUCUUUCCAUAUUGCCACAAGUGACCCGUCACAUGUGUGUCACUUGUUGCAACCUAUGAGUUUCUAUUUUUUUGUAGAUCCUUUUAUUGAAAAUGUUUUAUAUCCAAAUCCAUGCAUCCAAAUCUCAAACCGUUUUCACGUUGGAUUCCUCACGUCGAGAUCUUCAAAAUUAUAUCCGUGUAGAUAGGUUUUCACAAACUUUUUUCAUGAAAAAUGCGAACAAAAUAACCAAACCGAAAGCACAUUUUUUUCCUUUUUCGAAAGAGGCAUGAUCGUACCCCUCGUGGAAGUAAAAAGAAGAAAAAAAAAAUUCUCCCCGUUUUCGAGCGGCAUGGUCAUGCCCCUCACGGAAGGAAAAAAGAAAGAAAGCGCAUUUUAUCCAUUUCCAAAAGGCACGCGGAAGAUUAAAACACAAAACAUAUUUUUUCCGUUUCUAAGAGGCAAGGUCAUGCCUCUCGUAGAUGCAAAUCCGUGCGUCUCGCAGAAGCAAAUACGUGCCCUCAUGGAAGAAAAAAUAAACAUGUAUUUUUUCGCUUCUAAGAAUUACGGGGUGCCUCUCACGGAAGCAAAAUCAUGCCAAUCGAGGAAGUAAAAAAUAUAUUUUUUGCUCAAUGAAAUCAAUUUUUCUUUCCAAAUGUUAAGAAAGAUCGACGAAAAACCAAAGAGCCAAAAUAACCAUGACAAAACCAAAUAAAAAGCCAAAAAUGCAUGCAAAAAAUGAAAUAAAAAUAAAAAAUUCGGAAGAAGCGUCUAAAGCAUGACACAUGGCAGGUGGUAAGAGAUUGCCAAAUGGCACGCUCUCAGCAUGACCCUUGAGAGGCUUCCGAAGGGGUGCUCCUCCACUAGUGGCACACUCUCAGCGUCAUUCAGUAUUGUAGUGAGCGGAUGUAUGCUUCGGGUGCACCGAGUGUAACAUCCGAGUCGCUAAAGGGGGUGAGCAAGAUGGGCCGGUCCAUGCAGGCGAGACCACAACCUGUUUUUCUGUUUUCUGUUUCUGUUUUCUAAACAUACGAUUUAUGUGUAUUUUAGGUCUUUGAAUCAUAUAGGGUCAUGGUAUUCACCAUACAGCAUGUAGAAUAUUUAUUCUUCACCCCUUCUGUUUUAACAUCACAACAUCAUAUUUUUAUGUUUGGUAAUAUUUUGUGUUAUGUCAGAAGUCAAACGCGAACGUAAGAAAAUAUAUAUCGGCUAUGACAAAUAUUUUAUGUUAAGUAAAAUAAUGAAAUUAAUUUAGUACACAACAUACAUAAAAAUGUAUAUUUUUUGUAGCCUUUAGGCUUACCUUAUUUUCUCGUGCCAAAUUUACCAUAUUGAAACAAUAUGGACAUAACAAUUUAUGUACCAAACAUAAUUUUAUAGCGAAACGAUCUUAAGAAUAACUCGAGUGCAAAAUGACAUACUCUGCACCCUGGGUGUUGAGUGGGAGAGGAUUUGGGGCAUGCAGGUGCGGGGCACCGAGUCUCUCGCGCGUGCUUUUUUUGGCUUUUUGAUUUCCAGACUUUCAUUUCUUUUGAAUAAAAAUUCUAAAUUAAGUUAUUUUUUCAUAUUCGUGUUUUUGCUCACGAGGGCUUCCGAAUAAGAUCCAUUUUUGAUGAUUUUUUUUGUGAAGUUCCAACUCUUGAAGCUUACUAUGAGAGCCACCGAUUAUAAAUCACGAUUUCAGUGCCGACGACCGACAAAAAAUUGCUUACACUUUCAGCUCUGAAACUUGAUACACACGAUCGAGAAAAUCAGAAUUUUUAGAUGCAAAAUCGUAAGUUUGAACAAUUAAAACAUAAAAUUUACUCUGCCGUCGUGCGGGGUGUAACUACUUCAUGAAUUGCGAGACAAUCUAGCGGCGAGGCAAGGCUUGACAGGUGCGCGCUCCUGAGAUUUUCUAGGCAAAGAUAGCAUUUUUAUGUAUAUUUAUGUAAAAGUACUUUAUAGUUGAGAUUAUCAUGACAAGUAAAAAUGACUUAUUCUGCAUCGUGGAUGAUAUCUUAGAACCACUUAGUCGACUUAACAUGCUAAAUGUGAAAAGAUGACGAUAGAGGUGAGACUGUGACAAGUUGGUGCUAAUCUAUUAGUAUAACAGGUCUUAUAUGGCACAAUCAAGAUCCUGACAACCCCGCACUCAUUAACCUAUCUUGUUUUGGCAUAAUAACCGCAACGAAAGCUCCAACAAAAGCAAGGAUUGAAAGGCGUCAAUCCAAUCGUGUGACCUUCAAAUACUUGGUGUAUCUUAAUGCAUUGCACCAGCGACGUCGUUUUUCUAGCUGGACCAAAGCUCUUUUAUGCAUGAAUGAUUGCUCACCCCACGUACUUUACGUCGUUGCAUGCACCACCCCUGAGGAAACUGAAGCAGCCACGUGGCAUACCUGGUGGGCAAUCUCUUCUUUUUGGCAUACUUGGUGGGCAAUCAAAGCUUUAUGAUUGAUAGUAAAAAAGAUGAACGUACGCCUGUAUGUAUAUACGUCAUGUACGUGGUGGCUCCUAAGCCUCAAAUGUCGCAAAGAGAAAAGUCACACGUGUUUAUCAUGUACACACAAAGCUCUUUUUAUAUUUUUUUUGGCAAAAUGAUGUACACACAAAGCUCUUUUUUUUUUUAUCUUUGGCAACAUCAUGUACACACAAAGCUCUCUUUUAUGCUUGGCAAAAUCAUGUAGACGGAGGUCAGGCUAUGUGUGCCUAACUAGUUACCAUUGAGUGUACAUUGGACCAGGCAUAGAUAGUAAUGGAAGUAAUGGUAUACACGUCAUCCAUUUGGAUACGAGCUAAGACGGGAGAAACCCUUUUGAUCCAAUCCGACGACAGCAUGCAGCUAGUGCGGGAAACGAUAGCAAUUUAAAAAGUAAGCGAGUACACCGAUCAUGCACAAAGCACCCUCCGAUGGAAAUGAGACGGGAUCCAACUUGCGGGGAGGCGAAUGGGACAGCUCGAUCGUAGGAUAUGAUAGGAUAUGAUAUUGUUUCUCUAAUAAGAAUUCGCGUAAUUGGGUUGCUAAACCCCCCUGGCUCUGUCGUUUGUAAUCUCGUGUCGACGAUGUAACCUUUUGCUUGACCAUCAAUAAAGCUUGAUUGACGUGGUGGCCUUCACUAAAAGAAAAGCAUGAUCUACCUUCACCUUAUUUUACAUCUGAUGGAUGUGUGCCCUUGGAUGCCCACCCAACGGCUAGAGGUUAAAGACUGAGGAUUUUUAUUGCCAUUGAAGAAAAUGAAAAAUGAGUCUCCAUGUGCCAGCAGCAAGUCCUAAAAGAAUGACGCAGAUUUAGCUUGCUAGGUAAGUUUCAGAAAAUGACAAAUAUAUAUUUAGUCCAGCAAAAAUAGAAUGCGACAAACCAUGAAGAUUUGAUACAAAAAUAAAUCAUAAUUAAGCUUCAUGAUGAUUAAAAAUACCGCGAGGUGAGGCUAAUUUAGAUGGUUAGGCCCCAUGUGGUGGAACCAAUCCAUCCAGAUUCAAAUCCUACAAUUAACACUUGCGCUCGCAUAUUUUCUGAAUUGACUUCGGACUUUGCGGUGCUAUACAUUCAGUGGUAUGGCGUGCCGUUAACUACACGGUGCCUAUGAAGACUUCAUCAAUAUCAAGAUCUACCGGUUCCUUCUCUCGAAAGUGCUCCCAGGAUAGAGUUUGUGAGCGUUUGCAUCUGUACCGUGUUUCUCAGAAAAUUAAUAAAAUUUAAUGGAUCUCAAGGUCUCCAUUGAUAUGAGCUUCGCCAUGUACAACCAAAGAAGCGCAGCACCUCCCCUCCCGUGGUUGUGGAAGGGGAGCACCAGGUUAGCCGAAUCGAGAAGCAACGGUGGCACCAACGAGGAAGCGAGUGAACAAAUCGGGCAAAUUGCCUGACAUAGUGGCUGGAUCUGAGCUCGCCUGGUGGAGCUCCCAACUGUAGUCACGAACCGUGUUUUGGUUCAGUGAUGUCUCAAAAACACCGGAGUAAACCUGAAAAAAUUAGGGUGUUAACUAAACCAGAGACGGGAAACCAAUCUAUGGUGGAAUAGUUAGAAGGAUAGAUGUAUCCCUAACCCAUUAGAGUUCAAUAUCUAGCCUUGAUACUGGUGCUUGCAUUUUUCUUCAUUUAUUUCAAGCCAUUUGACGAUGCUUGUUCAGUGAUAGAAGACGUUUUCGUCGACUACGAAGACGUCAUUAACGACUUUCUAUCUUAAAAUGAUGUAUCUGCUCAGUAUCUUGAAGAUGCACAUAGAGAUAGGAUACACAUGCAUACAUUAAUUUAGGUAAAUGUAUGUACGUAUGUAUAAGCGUAUGUACUGUGUUAAGAAAUAAGCUAAACCACAGACAUUUGCAAUCACAGAGAAAUCAAGAAAUAAAAGGUAAUUUGUGUCACAGGUUUGCUAAUUGAGGGGAAAAUAAUAAUUUUUCCUAAAUGAGGUAAAAAUAUGUCAGAAACAUGAAACAAGGAGAUUAAAAAAAUGAAUUCACUCAUUUUAUAUAUAUAUAAAAUUUCGACUGAUGAAUUCAUUAAACAUCUUUGCGAACAUUGAUGGGCUGGAUCGUGGUCUAUAAACACACAGAAUAAGUGUGCCGCCAAUCCUAGGACCCAGGCCGAAUCAUACGGAAUCAUCAUCAUCGUACUAGUUUGUUUUACAUACAUACAGUAGGUACAGGCACCUGCAGACCGUGGUGCGAAUAUUAUUUUUCUUGGAAAAGAAAAACGUCUUAUACGAAUAUUAAAGCUUGCACGACUCAUGCAUGAGCCAUGCAUGCCUGCAUGCGUGCGUGCGUGCGUGCGUGAAUCUAGACCACCUCGACAGAACGGGCAAAGCCCGCCCCCGGGGCCGCCGCCUCAGUAGCGCAUCUCCUGGGGACGUCGCCGGCCAUCUCGGUGACCGGGCGCACCUCGGCGCAUGAGCUCUUGUCGGCCUUGCCGACGUUGAUCACGACGACGUGGUCCUCUGCGGGCACCUUCCAUGCCUCUUUCCCCUCCUUGGCAUCGGUUGCCACCACCGGCGUCGCGUUCAUGUAGAACAUGUAGAGGACCAUCUGGAUCAUCCCGAAGGUGAAGCCAAGGAUGUUUGGGAGCUGGAAACACAAAUUUAAUCAUCGAUCACUGCUCAUGCUUGAGAAUUGUAUGCGUAUCCAUCUGCCAUUAGAAGGAUCGUUUGUGUAGUUACCGCGACGUAUUUGUCCUUGAUGAGCAGGCCGUAGAGGAACCAGACGAUGGCGCUGAGGGUGAGCGUGAGGGAGAGGGAGAAGGGCAUGUACUCCACACUCUUGGUCUUGAUCACACGACCCUUUGGGAAGGACAGAACACAUACAAGAGGUUGAGGAAUGAGCAACAAUAUAUACAGCAAAGUUUAUCGGUCGAGGGCUCACGAUGAUGCUGAGAGGCGCGACGAAGACGCACACGGAGAAGCCGACGCAGAUCCAGCCGAGUGAGACGACGCGUGUCUCGCCGUGGAAGGCGAAGAGGGUGAGGACGAAAAUGAGCCCGAAGCCGGCGAUGUUGAGGAGGAGGACGAUCUUGGCUGUGAAAAUCUUGGCCUUCCUGGGGGCGUAGACGAGGUACAUGAUGAUGUAGACGGUCUCGAUGACGCAGCCGGCAGCGUUGAUGGUGAUGAGGAGGCCCUCGCCGGUCUUGACCAGCGCGUAGAAGAUCCACAGCAUCGCGCUGAAUAGGGCCACGACAUAGGGCACCGACUGGAACCCCUCCGUGGAUUUGCUCUUGAAGAUCCGGUAGAAUGUUGGUCUAAUAUUUUAUUUUUGUGUGUACAUUAAUUAGUUAUACGAGAGAACUUAUUAAUUAACAGGAUCAAAUGAAAUACUUCCUCCGUCCUAAAAUUCUUGUCUUAGAUUUCUCUAGAUCUAAAUGUAUCUAGUCACGUUUUAGUACUUUGAUACGUUUAUUUCUAGAUAAACCUAUAACAAGAAUUUUGGGACGGAGGAAGUAAAAAACAACUUAGACAGUAGCUUACAUCGGGGCCAGGAGGCUCGAGAAAGAGAUGACGUUGCCUGCAAGGCACAAAGUUAGCAAAGUUAGCGAUGGGUUGUGAUAAUUGUACGACACAUUUACAUCUAUCUUUUAUGCGCUUUGUCCUUUUCAUAAAAAACACAGGCAAUUUGCUUUGUUGUUGUUUCUUUUUGGGAUUUUGGUGCACCAAGCUAGAUGGCACUAGAGCUAGUAUACUAGACUACAUCAGUUAAUCAAUCAGUGGCAAAGAUAAGAUAUAUAGAUAGAUGCUACAAAAGGAUAUAUGAUCUUAAACGACACAAAGUAGUCUACUAGUACUGCACUAGCAAAUAGCAGCUGUAAUAAGAAACUAUCAUAAUACAAGAGGUAAUUCUUGGAGAUCAUUUGUUCGUGGUAAGAAUAAUAUACCUAGCAGGCCGAAGGUGAAUGCCCAAGGGUGCUCCAUGGAUAGGCCACCCAUUGUUACAAAGAUAUAUAACAGUGAGAUGGAUGCGAAGAACUUGGUAUAACAGUGGGGCGAGAGAUUGUUUUUGCUGUCUCUCUCUCUCUCUCUCUCUAACCCUAGACUCCUGGCGGAGAGAAGGGAGAGGUCUGGAGAGGAGAGCUCUCUAAGUUGGUUUAAACUCUUAGCCUGAAUUGUAAGCUUGGUAAUGGGGUGCUUUAUAUAGGCAGGGAGACAUGACUGCCUUGGCGUAUGCAAGCUGUCCGAUCACACAUAUGCCACACAAAAUUAAUGAUUGGCUUUCUAGAAAAAAAAAAAAGGUUUCCAGCAAUGCAUAAUUGAGCUUAUCUAAUGUGCUAUGCUUGAUAGAGAUAAUGAUGGCAAAUUUUAAAGUUGUCGCUUUGGUGCACUCUUUAGCUUUUAGUGUGCAUAAUGCCUCUGCUGCUGAAUUGUUGUACACUCCGAAUUGUGUUGCACUACGUCAUUCUUCCAAUCUUUCCAACCUAGAUCUUUGGGGUGUGGUAUUAGCCGCCACAGAAGUGCGAACCAAAUGAGACAUUGCAACUCACUUUUCAGACCCUUAGUUGUUCACUGAAUUUACCCAAUGAAUGUCUUACAGGAAUAAGUAAUAAAGUUUAUAUGCUAUAUCUAUUUUCCUUGUCAAUGUUUGGACACAAAUAUAGUUAAACAUAGUGUCCAAAACUGAAUUAGUUUAACAGACUUCUCGUAUUCAAAAUGUAAGCAAUGUGUUAUUAAUCUAAUGUACCGACAUAAUUGUACUUCUAGUAAUGAAGGCACUAAUAGAAUAUUUAUCUUACAGAUGCAAUAUAACUUUAAAGAAGUAUGCAAUUGCACAUACAAUCAAAUAAUGCUAUUCACCUUAACCUCAUUUCAUAUAAAUACAAUCCAAUAAUGUAUUAGUUUGUGCGAGUAUCAUAGUCCUCAAAUGAUUUGUUCCUAGAAAAUGAUGCAACCAAUGCCUUAGAUCGUCAAAUUCAUAAAUAUAAAAAGGUCAUGCAGUUUAACUUUCCAAUCGAAUUGACUCGUAUACGUAGAACCAUCUUUUACUAUUACAACGUAUUUUAUUGUACAAUUUGUGAAAAAUAGUAGUGAAGUGUUUUAGCUUGCUUAUAUAAGGUCGGGAUAUCUUAGACUGCGAUAGCAUUGUCGUUGAUUAUAAUAUGCUGUUUGAGAUCAAAUCUGUAGGAUUUAUCACUUGAGUAGUUAGUUUUAGUUAUGACCUACAAAAUUGUCGAUAAAGGGGCGCUCUUUUCACUCAAAAUAUCACAUCAGUGGAAUACAAUCAAAACAAGUUCACAUCCAUUCUCUAUGUGACCAAGAUACACACAGAACCACACACACUCUAAAUAAUGCAACGAAAAAAAAGUUGUACGUUACUUACAAUACAAGGAGAGAGGAGGGGGCAAGCCUCAGAGCAUCUCUAGUAGUACCCUCAAACCCUCNNNNNNNNNNNNNNNNNNNNNNNNNNNNNNNNNNNNNNNNNNNNNNNNNNNNNNNNNNNNNNNNNNNNNNNNNNNNNNNNNNNNNNNNNNNNNNNNNNNNNNNNNNNNNNNNNNNNNNNNNNNNNNNNNNNNNNNNNNNNNNCCUCAAACCCUCAAACCCUUAUAAAUAACUGUUUUUUUACAGUUUGCGAAUAAAAAAACGCAUAGACUAGAACCCCUUAACCCUCAAACCCUUAAAAAAAAUUUGAGGAUCCAACCCUCAAACUCCCUCUCAACCUGUAGAAGUGAGGGUUGGAGAGCGAAAACUACCCCAACCCUCAAACCGUUCCAUCGUCGCGCGGGAGGGACUUUNCCUUUCCCCGCCCCCCACCGGCCCCGCCAUUCCGACCCCCCCCGCCGCCCCAGGCUGCCGCCGCGCCCCGCCGCCCCGAGCCGCCGCCGCGCCGUGCCCCACGGCCGCCCGCCGCGAGGCCGGCCCCAGGCCUCCUUGAGCUCUCCUCGCCGCCGCGCCAGAGGCGAGGCGGGCCAGAGGCAGCCGCGCCGCCACGAGCUCUCCUGUUUUUGCCCCUGUUUUUGUUAUAAGGGUUGGGUUUGAGGGUUCUAGUCUUUGCCCCUGUUUUUCAACCCUUAAAAGUGCCAAAAAAUGCAAAUUCUCAACCCUUAAAACUGGUUUGAGGGUUUGAGGNNNNNNNNNNNNNNNNNNNNNNNNNNNNNNNNNNNNNNNNNNNNNNNNNNNNNNNNNNNNNNNNNNNNNNNNNNNNNNNNNNNNNNNNNNNNNNNNNNNNNNNNNNNNNNNNNNNNNNNNNNNNNNNNNNNNNNNNNNNNNNNNNNNNNNNNNNNNNNNNNNNNNGAGGGUUUGAGGGUACUCCUAAAGAUGCUCUCAGAUGAUGCCUCCAACCAUUUCAGGUAAAGACAUCCUUGUCCUUCUGUUCCAUCCACGUACACACGGCUAUAAACAGUUGUUAGUGUUCAGAUCACUGAAGAAUAGACUACAAAGGGACCCAUUGCGUAGACUUCUAGAUAACCUGUAGCAAAGAGAAAUCUGACUUAUAACUAAUUUGUUUUCGAAAAGAAGGAUUACUCCCGGCUAAGCCUGGGCAUNNNNNNNNNNNNNNNNNNNNNNNNNNNNNNNNNNNNNNNNNNNNNNNNNNNNNNNNNNNNNNNNNNNNNNNNNNNNNNNNNNNNNNNNNNNNNNNNNNNNNNNNNNNNNNNNNNNNNNNNNNNNNNNNNNNNNNNNNNNNNNNNNNNNNNNNNNNNNNNNNNGCCGGGCCGGGCCGGGCUUCAGGCCGGGCUUUACAAAGCCCGAACUGGAAAUCCAAGCCCAAGCCCGGCCCGGCCCGGCAAAAAAAGUGAAAUCAGGCCCGAGCCCGACCCAAAUGGUCAUAAAAGGUGAAUUCCAUGCUGGGCCGGGCCGGGCCUCCGUGUAAAUCAUUGUUUUUUGUAAGCCCAAGCCCGGCCCGAACUGCUUCCCCGGUCCGAUUGUCAAGCCCGGGCCCGGCCCGAACACAAAGCCUAACCCGGCCCGACCUGAGUUUUUCAGGCCGGGCUCGAGCCGGGUCGUCGGGCCGGGCUGCCCAUGCCCAGAUAUACUCUCGGCCUCUGGGCCGGGCUGCCCAUGCCCAGAUAUACUCUCGGCCUCUGGAUCAAUAGAUGCAGAUAGUCAGUUAUUAAAAAUGAACCGUGUAUUAAAGAAUCAUGAACAGCUCCAACAUAAAUAAAGCAAAAAUCACAUGAAAAAAUUCCACAACCAACACAAAUAAAAUAAAAUGCUUACACGUUAUUUUAUUAUUGAACUGUUAUCCAAACUGAUUGUAUGUAUCCCGUGCUAUGCACUAUCUUCCAUCUGUUGCAUCCAAAAGCCAUAAGUCCUCUCAUUUCGGCAUGGUGUAGUAACAACCACGUACAGAUCCAUCCAAACACCCUACCUGCAAAUGUUAUUCUAAUUUUUACUCUAUCAAACACAAAGUCAUUCCGACACCUAUAACUAUGUAUGUUGCAAUCUGAGGAAAUUGUUAACAAGUAGCUGCUAGCUCGGCUUGGGAGUAGCGGUUAAUCGCUAAAUCAGCCUACUAACUGGACUAAUCGAUUGAUCAUUAAUCUGUGUAAUUUUAAACCAUAUAGAAGCAAACUUUGUAUGGAGAAAAGAACCUACAUUACAAAUCUGAAGCAAAUGACACCAUUUCAUUUUCUAAAUAUAUCAAAAACAUGUAAACAAGAACAAUCAUCCAUGUGGGCGUAAAAAAAUCAUCAACAAACAUGUAUACCACAACUUCUUUUUUUGCUUGUUUCUGCAUGAGAAGCAACUCCGAGAGAUGGCGGCAACACAUCAUCGAUAGACGGAGGAAAGGUGAUGUCGGCCGCGCAGGUUGUUUGAACGGGUCGGUUGCUAGAUGUGGCAAGUCCCGAAGAAGGAGGGGAAGUAGUGGCAUCCAGAGGAAGGAGAGAAAGUGGUGACACACAAGGGAGGAGGGGAAGCGGCAACGUGCAGACGAGGACCUAUCAUGUUGGCUAGGUGACAUCUAGUUUGAGAGGGGAGGAGAGGAGCGGGAGGGACGGGUGGAGGGCCAAACCAUAGCAAUUUAGAAGCAGAAGGAGCUGCGAGGGGUUAUGGGCCACACAAUUGGGUUUUGUUUGGCGACGAGGUAACCGGCCAACAUUGAUUAAUCGGACUGACAAUCGAUUAAUCGGUCUGACAGACCAACUAAUCGGUCCGACAGACCAUUUGGUGGGCCUAGCAAGUUAACGCGAUGAAUACGUGGUAUUCAAUUCGGACAUCCGACGAGUAGAGAUUAACCGGACAAUUAAGUGAUUAAUUGAAUGAAUUCUUGAACAAUAUUAUAUUGUUCUAGUAGAUAUAAAAGAAAUUUAGCAUGAGAGUAGGCUUUUGCUCUCAGGCUCCACAUUUCAAACAUUCCAAAAUCAGCUUUUUAAAUUAUAAAAAAUGGAAAAAAUACACAAGUACUUAUGGAUGUAUAUUAAAUGUGAGCGAAAUUUCACCACGAAUACUUUUUUGUGUCGCUUCUACAAAAAAAUCAUGCGAAUUUAUAAUGAAUGGUACAUGUGCUAUGAAUACGCCAAUUUGUCAUUUUUGUGUUGCUCGCUUAAAAAAGCGUUGGUCAUGAUGAAGCUUCACAGACAAGUACUUCCUUCGUUCCUAAAUAUAAGUCUUUCUGAAAGUUCAACUAAUGGACUACAUACGGAUGUAUAUAGACAUACUUUAGAGUAUAGAUUCAUUCAUUUUGUUUCAUAUAUAGACACCUAGUGAAAUAUCUUAAAAGACUUAUAUUUAGAUACGGAGGGAGUAGUAUACAUCCAUACGUAUAUGUGUAUCUUUUCAGAAUCUUUUCAAGCGUAUUUUUUUUUUCAAGUAAUGGGCUCCAAGGAGCUCCAGCUCCAUUAUCAAUAUCCGAUUUAGCACACCAUACACAAUUUGGCAAGCACAAACUAAGCAUUUUCUUCUCAGUUUCCUUCUAUUAACAGUGCAACUAGCUAAGUGGUCCUUUGGUGUUGAUACGAGGGACCGUGCUAGCUAGUUUCGAGUUCCUGAAAUUACAAUGCAAAAAUGAUGUGCUUGGCUUACUAAUCAAUCAAGUCAGCUGGCCUUCUCUCUAAAAGGUGUACACGCUAGAUACGUGCACUCGCAAAAUCUGUCUAGGAACGAUGUGAAAUUUUACAAUGCUCCAAAUUAGUAUAGACUGUUAAAUUUUUAACGGUAUAAUGGGUGACAUAAUAUCACUUCCUUGGUUAUAUCUGAACAUGAUGAUGUCACUCAAGUAACUUGGUUAACUUUCAGUCGAUUGAGAUCUAGCUACAAUAUCCUAAAUGCCGCUGCAAAAUAACAACUUACUCCUUCUAUGUCUACAUAAUUAUUGUUGGAAAAACUAGACUAGCUAGUUCUCCAUAACAAUAAUUAUUUAGGUACAGAGGGAGUACAAAGUAUAAUGCUACCCUUGUCCACCAGACCGUCAGGAUUAAAAGUAUGUCUUACCUCUAGGCACGUAAGGUAGUGCACCUUAAUAAAAGAACUAAAAAACUAUACCCAGCAUUGGUGCUGUUUGGUUGAAAAUUCAGUACGGAUGUAGAGUGAGUAAAUCAAUAAGCCUAGUUAGAUUCUUCAUAUAUGACUUCUAAAAAAAGGUUCUUUCUUUAUGAAGACCAUGCAUGUUCACUGUUAAUACUGAGAACUGACAUGCUGAUUCCUACAAGCAAAAAAAAAGAGGUAGCAUCUCUGAAGAAUCCUCAUAGAAGUUCUCUUAACUAUAUUUUGCACUUGACGGCGGACCCAUGAUUGGAAUUGGACGCACACGAAAGCUGUUGAUUUUUUGUUUGAGGGCUAUGAAAGCUGUUGAUUAGCAAUAGGUCGGCUAGCAAAGAACGGAUGCUGUUGCUCUCUCUUUUGGAAAGCCGGCGCAGAUGUAAUCAGGUCCACUGAAAUUUGACCACCUUUGCCUUUUGUCACCGAUAUACACGUUCACAAAGCGCGUGAUUUUCAGGGUGAUGAUCAUUCCCCUCGUGAUUCCUCAAAAAGUUUCAUAUGAGAUUCAUGGUCAAUAUAGUUUCUCCACCUAGUCAAUACAUUGGGUUCGUUCGAUCCUCGAAUGGGGAAGGUUGCCGCACGAGCUGAACCGGGCUCCAACCAUGCACCCUCGGAAAAAAUGCCGGCAAGAAAAUAGAUGCGUCUCAUACACAAGAGGCUCAAGACCCUCGCCACCCAUAUGUAGGUUAUUGUCAUUUUAAAUCUCAGAAUGAAUCAAACGAAGCCCAAAAAUCAUGAGACUUGCCAUGGUGACAUGAUAUGUCCAAUAGACGCUAUGCUAAAAAAAUUGAGAAUAUUUGACAAAGAUUAUCACGUAAAUUUCUUACAAACCGGACCAUCUUUCAUGAAGAAACUAGGUUUCGAGAGGGAACACACUACAUUUGCAUAUGAAGCAUAUGUUGCUUCAUCCAUUGGCAUCAGUUUUUUUUUUCACACUCAACACGCAUCACUAAAUCUAUGAUGCCAAAAGUUUGGCCUUUUUUGGCAUCUGCAUGCAAUUUAAUCCAUUGAUGGCAUUCUAGGCAUUUAAUGAAUAUACUUUCAAUUUGAACUAUAGGUACACUAGUGGGGACAGGGCCUAUAGCCCCGGCCCGUAAGGGGCUUUAGUCCCGGUUCACCAACCGGGACUAAAGGGGCGGGACUAAAGGCCUAACCUUUAGUCCACUAGUGGGGACAGGGCCUAUAGUCCCCGCCCGUAAGGGGCUUUAAUCCCGGUUCACCAACCAGGACUAAAGGGGCGGGACUAAAGGCCUAACCUUUAGUCCCGGCCCUGUUCCACGCCGGGACUAAAGGUGCUCCACGUGGGCGCCUCGUAGCGCCCCAGGGGCAGGCCCUUUAGUCCCGGUUCGUUACACGGACCGGGACUAAAGAGUUUCAGAUUUUGUUUAUUUUUGGGUUUUUUUUUUUGAAUGAAAUUAUUUUUGGGUUUUAGGGUUUUAGGGUUUAGGCGUUCGGGAGAUUAACGUGAUGCCUCGUUUGGUGUUCGGGAAUUAGUUUUCAUAUAAUUUAAAUAGAAAUAAUUAUGCAUAUAUAUAUAUAUAAGAUUAACUUAUCUUACAAGCGAGCAUAUAUAUACAAUUAUAUGGAGAUCCGAAUUAUCGGGACUAGAGCCCGUCUAUUCGAUUACAUGGACGAACAUUCAGUAAUGGCCCCUAGCUACACUAAAUUGUCCUUUGUCAUCUAUAACUUCCGUCCUUAGAAAGGUCGCAAGCUCCUCUGCAACAGCAAUCGCGCAUUGCUCUGGUAGGACCUUCGUCCUCAUGGCCGUGUACUAUAUAACAAGAGGAGAUGAAUAUGAAUAUCAAUCAUGAUAACAAAGAAUGACGGGUAAAAAUAGAGGUGUGAAUGUUCAUUGCUUACGUCGAAUCUGUGAUCCUUGUGCUCGGAGGUAAACGUGCGAAUGGUCUCGCAAACAUAGUAUCCGCAUAGAUGCGUUCCCCGUGGCUGCUGGUCGCACUUUACGCGAAUAGAAUAUAUAUAAUCAAAAUAGUAAUCUAGCAUCAUAAAUGUAUUGAAAAUAGAAGUAUAUCAUACUACUACUUACCUGAGCCGCUCUAAAGGUCAGCUUCUCAGGCUCGAUACCGGGAGUCACGCACUUGAACCGCUUCCAAACCCUGCCCGACAAGGAUAAUGAUUUGCUAAGUUUUUCAUUAAUUGAUAUAUCAGAAAAUCAUCGAAAGAGACAGAUAGAGCGCAAGAAUGAUUGAAAUUACCCUUGGAGCAUGCCCUGCAGGCUUUGGAACUGUUCCAAGGGUCUCGAUAAUGGGUCGAAGGCAUCAACUCUUCCCUUAUCAAUUUGAAUGUCCAACAGAAUCCAAUGGAAGCUGCACAUGUAUAUAUAUAUAUGUGUGUGUGUGUGUGUGAGUAACUUAUCAAUUACACUUAUAAGUGAAUGGACACAACAGAGUAAAGACCCUCACCUGAAGUUGUAUGGAAACAGUAUGUGGUCACAUAAAUUUUGAUCUGUUAGAAACCUUAGAAGGUUUUCCUCCGUCUCCUUGGGUUUAUCAGUUAGCGUCGCUAUAUGUAUUUUAUCUGGGUCAAUAAACCCAAUAUUUAGGAUGUUCUUUCUUUUACAAUCCAGAAUCUUCAUUCUGCAUAAUAGAGUACAAGUUAUAUAUAGACAAUGAAUUGAAAUAACUAAACAAGUUAUAUGUAGACAACGAAUUGAAAAACUUACAGACAAUAGCAACUCGUAAGCGAUUUGUCGAGGGCGUCGCCAUUGUACAUCUGGAAGAGUUCAUCAAAGUCGAUAUGGAUUUCUUCGGGGCGGCCGUAGUACUUCCGUGGGACACUCACCACGAUCAUCGUUCUCCCAUUCUUUGAUUCACUUAAGUACCAUGUAUGCAAGUAACGCAUAUUUGUUGGGAGAUCAUCUUUGCUGACCAAAGGUGCUCCCAUGACAAACUGUGGCUUAGGGGCUACCACAGCCUUGGGUAACCUGUCGUCUUGGGAAGCCAGAAUGUCUUCAACCGAGAUACCCCAUUCAGCCGUCCACUUCUUUGCUAAUUCGAAAUAUUGCCCCUGCACAGGAGGGGGGACAUUCUCGGUUAACACCUUGAGGGGUGGGAUCGACUGUUUGGCCUGUUGUCCAAGCUGAGGAACGUCUGAUUUUUUCUUGCUUGUAGUUGAACUUGAUUUGCUCCCACUUGCACUUGCACGUGAUCUGCUCUUUUUCACUUCCUUCUGCAAUGUGCGUGUAUAGUCAUCAGGAUUAUGGUGUAAGUCAUAGAGUGAUGGAAGGGUCGUGAAGUAUUUUGCAAAUGCUAUUUGCUUCUCGGUGUAUUCCGGGCGGGGCUCGGGUUCCUUCUUUUUCAUCUGCGCAUCAUGAUGUUCCUUUGCUAUCCUGGCGUUUUCCUCGGGGGUACGAUCAUAAGGUCUGAUAGGAAGAUUAGCAUGAGGUACCUUUGGGAGGGGCGACCAUUUGCGCUUUGUGGGGCUCCGUCGCUUAGAAAUCGUCGGCGGAGCGUUCUUGGUGGCACGCUUCCGCUUAGUAUCCGGAGCGGGCGGCGGCGGAGACGGACGACCCAAGUCCGGCGGCGGUGAUCGAGAUGGACUCGUGUUGUGCUGGCCAACGUCAUAUGGAGGGCUUGGAGGUGUAGGUGACCUGCGACGGCUCGGAGGCGGUGUUGUCCUUCGGGCCGAGACUGGAAGCUUGAUGUAGUUCUUGUCCCAUAGGAUGACUCCACCCAGUACUUCUCCGAGUGUCCUCUCAUCUUCGGGUCCAGCUAUGUCGAGCUCCAUAUCAUGAAACCCCGUCAUGAUUUCAUCCACCCCGACUUUAGCAAAGCCAGUUGGAAUCUCACGGCCAUGCCAGCGUGCAUCAGGGCCAGAAGGUAAAGCUUGUCCGACGGCCACCUUCAUGGAUAUGUUCUUGAAUUUCUGAUGGAGUUCACAUGAUGUUGACUCCUUGAUUCCAUCCACGGGGUAGCCGGGACCGCCCUCUAUCAUUCUUUGUUCAUCGUCGGGCGGGGCCUCAGGUUCAGCCACGCUGCAUUUCCGCUUAGAUGGGGCGCCGGUAAUAUCAAAUGCAGGAUCUUCCUGGCGCGCUACUCCUCUAAGCUCAUCAAUCUGCUUCUGUUGCUCGUUAAUCUUGGCAAGCAACUGGUUGAACCUGUCAUUCUCCUCAUCCUGCUGCCGCUUCUUUGCUCUCUCUCGGCUUCUGUAAGUGUCUUGGUCUCUGGCAACCCCAAGCCACCACGGGUAAGAAGGACCGAGGCCUCGCGUUCGUCCUUCAUGUUCGUCAUUGCCGAGGACCAGUGUGAGCAAAUCUUUCUCUCUAUCUGCAGUGAACUUUCUUUUUCCCUCCUUAAUUUCUUUCACUAUCCUUUUCCAAUUCUCCCUGGGUAUCCUAAGACCUUCACUGCAGAUGAGGUCCCCUGUUUCUUGUCAUACGAACCACCAUGCGCAAGGAACCAAUUUCUUGCUCUCAAUUCCCACUCAUCACGGAGUGGUUCAGGUACGAUGCCUUUGUCUAGCAGAUCUUGCUCUUUCUUAUCCCACUUUGGGAUGGCAGUCUCAUAGCCCCCUGGCCCCAGCUUGUGGUGAUAUUUCUUCUUGUCGGCAUUUAUCUCGUUCUUUUCUGAUAAUGCCUGGGCAUCUUCUGACUCCUUGUACUCUUGAAAUGCCUUCCAGUGAUUCGCCUGCUUGGCUAGAUACCCCUCGAAUACUGGCACUUUCUUUGUCUUCAGAUAGUUUUUCCAUAGCUUCUUCUUCCAGUUACAGAACAGUUCGACCAUCUUCUUUAGAGUCCACUGCUUGACUUUGGCCCUCAGUUUGUCUGCGGCGUCUUCAUUCUCACAUUCUGGCAGGCUGAAAUGUGACAUGAGAUCAUUCCAAAGAUUAUCUUUGUACCUUUCGGCGACAUAGUCACUAUCGGCUGCCCCUUUGCGCUUGUUCCACUCCCGAACACUGAUCGGGACGUGAUCCCUAACGAGAACUCCGCGUUGCUUCUUGAAUGUGUCAGCAACAUUCUUAGGAAGCUUGGGUUCGCCCGUAGACAAUAUCACCUCAAAGGUGUAAUGCGUCCAUGCAUCCAACUUUCUAGUCGGGCCUCGUUUCGUAGCUUUGCUCGAUGUGGAGGCCUAAGAGGGAGAAACAUUCGUCACAUGAAUGUAUAUGUAUACAAUAUGGAGCUAUCUCCAAUAUUUUUCACAUAUUACAAGUGAUUGUCGAACUUCAUAUGUAUACCUCGCCGGACUUUAUUAUUUCUUCACCGGCUUCUCCACCGGCUUCUCCAUCAGUGGAGCUAUCACCUUCUCCGUCAUUGGACCUAUCUCCUGCCCAUUCGGCUUCAUCUUUGUGUCGCUCGACCUCCAUUCCAUAUCCGGAGGGGUUUAGAUAUGACGAUGGAGAUUCAGCUGGUUCAAUGUCGGGGCCGUCUUUGAUUAUAUCUUCGAGAAGUUCUUCCUCUUCGAGGUUCUUGAUAUGUGGAUCCAUAGUUCUGCAAAAAACGGACAUUUGAUUAACUAAUAAACUAACAAACUAUAUAAGAGGGGUUGGAAACUUCGAAGUGUCGUUUUAUAUAGGAGGACCUUUAGUCCCGGGUCUUGGCUAGAACCAAAUCGUAAAAUAAAGUAGUAUUCAAAUUAGCAUGCAUUCAAUUAUAAGCAAAUACAUCAUCUCUUUUGUCCGUACAUCGUUGAAUAUUAUCACUAAUACUCCUUGAAUACUAUCAUACAUAUAACAUCACUGAUACAUCUAGAACCGUAGCGCCCGACAGGUAUCGGCACGGGCGGUGGACACCCAAAGAGAAGGAACCAUCACAGGAUCAUAGCUCCAGUGAGAUCCCCGAAGAACCUGCCAGGUAUGCUCGAACCUGCCCUCCAACGCAACCAUGUAGCGACGGACGUGCUCAUCCUCCUCGCUGACACGGUGACGUACCACCUCCGCGGGGUCCGGAAGCCUCGGCACCCUCACUGGCCCAGGCGACUGCCACCAAACAAGGAUCGGGUCAACGACGGGCUGGCUCCUCACCAACCUACGCCCCCUGGAAGGUAGCACCUCCCAAUACCAGCCGGGCGGAGCCCAGUCCCGGACAGGGCCCCUCUGAUCAAGCAGGUGUCCUUCGCCGAGUCGACAACGAGAAUGCGGGAUAGGCAUCGUAAAAUGAACUAAAAAAAUAAACUAGUUCUAUUAAUUUUCUUGCUAAAAAUAAACUAUUAACACUUAAGCAUAUACAAUAGCAAAUUAAACUAUUAACACUUAAGAAUAUACAAUAGCAAAAUUAAGCAAUAAUCUAAGAAACACUAUUAACAGUUAAGCAUAUACACUAUACAAUAGCAAAAUUAAAUGACAAAAAAAAUAUUUCUUCUUCUUGUAACCCUAAACUAUUUUUUCCUCUUCUUCUAUUUCUCCUCUUCUUCUACUUCUACUUCUCCUCUUCUUAUACUACUUCUCGUCUUCUCUUCUUCUACUUCUCCUCUCCUCCUCUUUUAAUUUUUUCUCUUCUUCUACUUCUCCUCUUCUUCUAUUUUUCCUCUUCUUCUCCUCUCCUCCUCUUCUUAUUCUCCUUUUUCUUCUUUUCUUCUCCUCCUCUUCUUAUUUUCCCUUUUCCUAAUCUUAUUUUCUUAUUUUUGUUCAUAUUUCUUAUUCUUGUAACCCUAACCUAAUUCUAAAUAUUACUAACCCUAAUAAUCUAGCACAAACCUAAUAACAAUAGGAAUUAAAUGACAAUUUUUUUCUUUUUCUUCUUUUCUUCCCUUUUUCUUCUUUUCUUCUCCUUUUUCUUCCUUUCUUCCCCUUUUCUUCCUUUCUUCCCUUUUUCUUCUUUUCUUCUCCUUUUUCUUCUUUUCUUCUCCUUUUUCUUCUUUUCUUCUCCUUCCCUUUUUCUUCCUUUCUUCUCCUUUUUCUUCCUUUCUUCUCCUUUUUCUNNNNNNNNNNNNNNNNNNNNNNNNNNNNNNNNNNNNNNNNNNNNNNNNNNNNNNNNNNNNNNNNNNNNNNNNNNNNNNNNNNNNNNNNNNNNNNNNNNNNNNNNNNNNNNNNNNNNNNNNNNNNNNNNNNNNNNNNNNNNNNNNNNNNNNNNNNNNNNNNNNNNNNNNNNNNNNNNNNNNNNNNNNNNNNNNNNNNNNNNNNNNNNNNNNNNNNNNNNNNNNNNNNNNNNNNNNNNNNNNNNNNNNNNNNNNNNNNNNNNNNNNNNNNNNNNNNNNNNNNNNNNNNNNNNNNNNNNNNNNNNNNNNNNNNNNNNNNNNNNNNNNNNNNNNNNNNNNNNNNNNNNNNNNNNNNNNNNNNNAAGUUUAGUCCCACCUCGCCGAGCGAGGGGGACAAACACUUGUUUAUAAGCCCCGUCGCAGCUUCUCCAUCGAGCUCCUCUCUAAAGUAGGCUUACGGGCCUAACCUAACUGAAAAUUGAAACUAUAUUCGAAAUUAUGGAGAAAAUUCAACCUGAAUUCAAAGUGAGUUCACUUCGAAUUUAGGUUGAAUUUNNNNNNNNNNNNNNNNNNNNNNNNNNNNNNNNNNNNNNNNNNNNNNNNNNNNNNNNNNNNNNNNNNNNNNNNNNNNNNNNNNNNNNNNNNNNNNNNNNNNNNNNNNNNNNNNNNNNNNNNNNNNNNNNNNNNNNNNNNNNNNNNNNNNNNNNNNNNNNNNNNNNNNNNNNNNNNNNNNNNNNNNNNNNNNNNNNNNNNNNNNNNNNNAAACUAUUUUCUAUUUUGAAAAGUAGUUAUUUUGACUAUCCAAACUAUUAACUAUUUUGUUAUUUUCAAUUAAAAACUAGGUUUAUUAAUUUUUUUUUUGCAUAUUUGAGAAUUUGACAAAACUAUGAUAAUGAAAAGUGUUUCAAAUUGAAUAAAUAAUUCAAAACUAUUUUCUAUUUUCAAAAGUAAUUAUUUUGACUAUCCAAACUAUUAUCUAUUUUGUUAUUUUCAAUUAAAAACUAUGUUUAUUAAAAAUUCUUUUUGCAUAUUUGAGAAUUUGAUAAAACUAUGAUAAUGAAAAGUGUUUGAAAUUGAAUAAAUAAUUCAAAACUAUUUUAUAUUUUCAAAACUAAUAAUUUGGCUAUCCAAACUAUUAACUAUUUUGUUAUUUUCAAUUAAAAACUAUGUUUAUUAAAAUUCUUUUUGCAUAUUUGAGAAUUUGACAAAACUAUGAUAAUGAAAAGUGUUUGAAAUUGAAUAAAUAAUUCAAAACUAUUUUCUAUUUUCAAAAUUAAUUAUUUUUACUAUCCAAACUAUUAUCCAUUUUGUUAUUUUCAAUUAAAAACUAUGUUUAUUAAUAAUUCGAACGAGAACUCAUCUCUUACAAAGGGAUUUCAUUUUUUUGAACUUAUUUGAACUCCAUACUUUUUGUGUGUUCAAAUUUCACCAUUCAAAGGCACAUCACAAAAUAUCAAUAAUUUCUGACUUCAUUUGGUAUUCUUCGUGCAUUUACUUAUUUUGUUUUGAGCUAGUUGAUCCUGAAAUUGAAAAGCACUACAAAUGAACUCUGAAAAUGUUGAAAGUUGGCAUGCUAUCAUCAUUUCACACACAUAGCAUGUGUUAAAAAGUUGAGAGGGCUACGACAAAAACUGGAUGCACUUCGUGUACAAAACAGACAAUCUCUCUCGAAGUAUUAGCGUUUCAAACGAGAACUCAUCUCUUACAAAGGGAUUUCAUUUUUUUGAACUUAUUUGAACUCCAUACUUUUUGUGUGUUCAAAAUGCACCAUUCAAAGCCACAUCACAAAAUUUCAACAAUUUCUGACUUCAUUUGGUAUUCUUCGUGCAUUUACUUAUUUUUUUGAGCUAGUUGACCCUGAAAUUGAAAAGCACUACAAAUGAACUCUCAAAAUGUUGAAAGUUGGCAUGCUAUCAUCAUUUCACCCACAUAGCAUGUGUUAAAAAGUUGAGAGGUCUACGACAAAAACUGGAUGCACUUCGUGUACAAAACGGACAAUCUCUCUCGAAGUAUCAGCGUUUCGAACGAGAACUCAUCUCUUACAAAAGGGAUUUCAUUUUUUUGAACUUAUUUGAACUCCAUACUUUUUGUGUGUUCAAAUGCAUCAUUCAAAUGCACAUCACAAAAUUUCAACAAUUUCUGACUUAAUUUGGUAUUCUUCGUGCAUUUACUUAUUGUAAAAACUGUAACUGAAAAUAAUUUUCUAACAUAAAACAACACAUAUCUUCUACUAAUAAUAACAAUGCAUUGUAAAAACUGUAACUGGAAAUAAUUUUCUAACAUAAAACAACUUCCAAUGAUUUCCCUUCACAACUAAACGUUUUACCUAAAUAUCUUUAGUUACAGAAAUAUUUGGAAUACAUGGAAGGACGAUAUAUGUGCACAGGAAAUAAAUUGGAUUGAGAAUGUGGUCAACCAAUCAAUGCCUACAUCAUGUUUCCUUGCUCUGAAUUUGUUUUUUUCAGAAUGGCGACUUUUCUCUCACAUAACUAAAUUUGAUAACAGGUUCAUCUUCCUUGCUCUAAUCCUCACUUUCAUCUUUUUUCCGAAACGACCCUCAGGCGGACUCCAUUACCAUUGAUAAUGAAACAAAAGUAUUUCACCACGUAAUGCAUGAUGCUUGAUCUAUCCAAGGUAGAUGACAAAAUAAAAGUACUACUGUCACGCACAAACAAGGAUUGGAAACAAUGGUGCUUUCAGUAAUCUGAAAAAAUGUUUUAUAAUGUUUGCCAAAUAAGAUUACCACCUAUCAGGCAUGAGUUGUUGCUUUAAACAACAAGCACUAACAUUGUUUUUAGCCUUGUGAAAUUUAAAUCGAAACCUGAGUAUUAAGCUUGUACUAGUUUGGAUAUGCCCAAAUCAAUUAAAGUUGGGGUGAAAUCAAAAUUGAAUAACAUAAAAGAUAUACCGAAUCACUUAAUCACUUGAGAUGUAGGUGUGCAUCACACCAUCUGGAACUAAAACGAAUGCAGACUUCGAGCUGGUAGCACAUCUCACGGGUGACGGUGCUGUCAAAAUUGAUGGAUUGAAGGACUAGAGGACAGCAGGAGCAGGAGCGAACAUCACCAAGCAAAAAAAAAUCAAGCAGCUGCAGUGUGUUGCCGGCUACUAACAGCAGGAGCAGCACGGGUCGGCCACGAGCGGGAGCGGCAGCAGCACGUUCGGUCUCAGGUCGAGGACGCGGGCCGCAAGCUCCUAAACCUAACCCUAGGUCGCCGCUGCGAGGAGAAGGGGAUGAACAAGAGAGGUGGAAGACGACUCACCGUGCAUCGCCGGAUGGCAAGCCACUACAAGCGGAAGGAGGAGGAGUCGGUGGUGCUUUGCUACUCAGCUCGUCGAAGCCCGACCACGAACAGGUCGGCGGCGCGACCGUAGAGGGGACGAGCUGUAGGUGGAGGAGGACCGCGGGCUCCGGAGCGAUCUUGGGGAGGGAGACCGCGGGCUCGGCAUCGCGUGCAGGUGGAGGAGCGAACGGCAGCGUGCGCGGGUGCGGGGAGGGUGGGAGCUGCAGCAGGUGGCGGCGGCGAUCUGGAAUGGGAGGAGCCGACGAGUGGGUGGCUAGGGUGCGGGGAGGGUGGGUUUGCUAGUUUUUUUUCUCCUUUUCUUCAGAAGGAUGAAUGGAUGAAGGAUCGAUGGACGUGGGAUUGCUAGGAAAUGACGGUAGGAUUUGUGCCAUGUCAUCGAUCCGUGGCAUAAAUGGUUCCACCAAUCAGAAUCCAGCUUAUGUAAUUGUUUUUUUUUCUUUUAUAUUUUUUAUCCUCUUAUUUCGAGUAAACACUCAACAUAUUAGCCUUAUGUGGUAUGUUUAAAUGAAUCUAUAUUUAUGGACCCAUAUUGGAUUUAGAUAUUAGUCUGAAUAUAUGUUGGAUUUAGAAAAUAUGGACCCAUAUUGUUGUCUCUAGUUGUAUUUUUUUGAUUGCCUAAAAAGAUUUGUCGAAUAUUUAUUAUUUCACUCAAAAUAAAGCUAUAUUUUUUGAUUGAGUGUUGUGGAUGGAAACACUUCUCAUUUAAUUAUGAUAGUAUUUGGCAUUACUGAAAAAUUCACCCACAUAUUUUUUAUUGUCAUGUUUAAGUUUUUAUUGUGUGAAACACUAAGUUAAGGUUCCCUAUACCACCUAUCAAAAAUAUUUAUCUCAAUAGGGUCUACACAUUAUGAGAUUAGCAUGGGCUAAUAUAUUUCAUUUUGGUAAUUAUAUUGUAUUUUCUAAAAUAUUUAGGAUAUUAAAAUGAAUAAUUAUAAUUUAUUGGUAUUUAUCUAAUAUAAUUUACUUCAUCCAUAUACGUAUAAAACAAUUUUUUGCUCUCUAUACAUGACAGAUAGGCAAAAUUGAUGAGGUGUCGUCCAGUCACCUCCACACAUAUGUUUAUGGUCUUAUAUUUGGUCAUGGUAGUAUUGAAAUAUGAUCAUAAAUAAUUCUACACAUCUUAAUGACCAUUUUUUACAAUAGGAUCAUGACCUAAUGAACGCAAAAGGUCAUAACGUUAUGGGCUUUGGACCCUCUUAGACUUGUCAUGACUAAUUUCAGAAUUUUGGUCAGGGAUCAAUGACCAAUUAAACCACCGUCAUUAUUUUUGGUCAUAAUUGAGCGUUUUUCUUGUAGUGUUGCCUGGCAUAUUAUCUUCAGGACGAAGAUCAAAGGUUAUUUCCAUACCCUCCUGAAAUCCAUAUGCCUUGCAAAGAUCUUCCCACUUUGGGCACCCAAAUUCUGUUUGAAAAACUGAAUUAAAUACUUUGAUAACAAAUGUGUGACCAUGUAUAGUCCUCAGGUUAGCGCUCCUCGUCUCAAUUCUUUCGUGGUCUUCGACACCGAGCCUCUCCAACACAUAUCUUCUUGCAUGACAAGGGAGGAACAUAUCUCCAUUAUCAUCAAGGUUCAUGCUGAAGAACCUAUCGUCUCGCAGGUGAGGCGUGUCGCACAUAUCCCGACAGUCGCCGCAAUAUUCACACUCCCAAUAUUCAUCGUCAGACAUUUCCUGUUUUAAUAUGUUAAAUGUGUAAAUAAAAAUCGCUGACACUAUAUCGAAAGAAUUGAACAUCUAUAUAUAAACAUAGUUAGGCCACUCAGACAUUUCGACAAAACUUAGCACAACUAAUUAGCAAGCAAUAGUGAGUAACUCACUACUGUUUUAUGCAUUAACACCAACAAAAGGAUGAUAUUUGUAGGUUGAUAAAAUAUAUAUGUGCCCUUUUUCCACUCCAAAGUUUAAAUAAGUUGUUUGAAACCAUUGGUUGUCUAAUUCAAACCUAAUGUGCCUACUUACAUGAAAUUUACAAACAUGAUUUUUUCCUUCUUUCUAGUUAGCCCAUCAAAAGAUCUUCAACAAACAUAUCUUGAUUUUCUUAUUAAGAUGCAUCUCAAGAUGACAUAUUGAACCGAUCGAUGGCCCUAAAAUCAAAAUGACAGCAGCCUUGGGGUGCCUAGAGCGGGAAGGGAGGUGGCGGUGGCGCCUGGAGGGGAUGGGCUUACCGGAGCGGGAUGGGGAGGGGGCUUACCGGAGCAGGCCGGAGAGGGGAAGGGGGCUUACCGGGAGGGCAGGGGGCGGCGGCGACGGCGAGGGAGGCGGCGGUGACGACGACGACGACAACGGCGAGGGAGGCGGCGGCGGGGAGGAGCGCGGAGACGACGACGACAUCGGGGAAGAGUUGCGCAAUCUCGCGGCGUCGAGGGUCCGUCCGCGUCACGAGGAGGAAGAAGAUCGAAACCGCGAUUUGGACAUCAUAAAAUUCCAAGUCUCGCUUAUAUAGGCGGAGCUUUGGUCUCGGGUCGUGGCUCGAACCGGGACNNNNNNNNNNNNNNNNNNNNNNNNNNNNNNNNNNNNNNNNNNNNNNNNNNNNNNNNNNNNNNNNNNNNNNNNNNNNNNNNNNNNNNNNNNNNNNNNNNNNNNNNNNNNNNNNNNNNNNNNNNNNNNNNNNNNNNNNNNNNNNNNNNNNNNNNNNNNNNNNNNNNNNNNNNNNNNNNNNNNNNNNNNNNNNNNNNNNNNNNNNNNNNNNNNNNNNNNNNNNNNNNNNNNNNNNNNNNNNNNNNNNNNNNNNNNNNNNNNNGACCCGGGACUAAAGGUGGUAAGUUUUAGUCCCACCUCGCUUGUCAAGAGGCGGUGCAACUAGUUUAUAAGCCCCACCGCCCCGAACCGUCUCGAGCUCUUCUCUAAAGCAGACUUACUGGCCUAAACGCACUCUAAAUUUAAAAAUGAAAAAAUAUAUAUGAAAUUAAAGACAAAAUUCAACCUAAAUUNUCCAUACUUUUUGUGUGUUCCAAAAUGCACCAUUCAAAGGCACAUCACAAACUUUCAACAAUUUCUAACUUCAUUUGAUAUUUUUUUCGUGCAUUUACUUAUUUUAUUUGAGCUAGUUGACCCUGAAAUUGAAAAGCACUACAAAUGAACUUUGAAAAUGUUGAAAGUUGGCAUGAUAUCCUCAUUUCACCCACAUAGCAUGUGCUAAAAAUUUGAGAGUGUUACGAUAAAAACUAGAUGCACUUCGUCUUCAAAACGGACAAUCUCUCUCGAUGUAUGAGUGUUUCGAACUAGAACUAAUCUGUUACAAAGGGAUUUUUUUUUUGAACUUAUUUAAACUCCAUACUUUUUGUGUGUUCAAAAUGCACCAUUGAAAUGCACAUCACAAAUUUCCAACAAUUUCUAACUACAUUUUGUAUUUUUCAUGUAUUUACUUUUUUUUAGAGCUAGUUGACCCUGAAAUUGAAAAGCACUACAAAUGAACUCUAAAAAUGUUGAAAGUUGCCAUGGUAUCAUCAUUUCACCCACAUAGAAUGUUCUAAAAGUUGAGAGGGUUACGACAAAAACUGGAUGCACUCCGUGUACAAAACGAACAAUCUCUUUCUAAGUAUGAGGGUUUCGAACGAAAACUCAUGUGUUACAAAGGAUUUCAUUUUUUUGAACUUAUUUGAAAUCCAUACUUUUUGUGUGUUCAAAAUGCACCAUUCAAAGGCACAUCAUAAAAUUUCAACAAUUUCUGACUUCAUUUGGUAUUUUUCGUGCAUUUACUUUUUUUAGCUAGUUGACCCUGAAAUUGAAAAGCAGUACAAAUGAACUCUGAAAAUGUUAAAAGUUGGCGUGGAAUCAUCAUUACACCCACAUAGCAUGUGCUAAAAAGUUGAGAAAGUUAUGACAAAAACUAGAUGCACUUCGUGUAUAAAACGGACAAUCUCUCUCGAAGUAUGAGUGUUUCGAACGAGAACUAAUCUGUUACAAAGAGAUUUCAUUCUUUUGAACAUAACUCCAUACUUUUUGUGUGUUCGAAAUGCAGCAUUCAAAUUCACAUCACAAAUUUUCAACAAUUUCUGACUAUAUUUUGUAUUUUUCAUGUAUUUACUUAUCUUUUUUGAGCUAGUUGACCCUGAAAUUGAAAAUCACUACAAAUGAAAUCUGAAAAUGUUGAAAGUUGGCAUGAUAUCAUCAUUUCACCCACAUAGCAUGUGCUAAAAAGUUGAGAGGGUUACGACAAAAACUGGAUGCACUUCGUGUACAAAACGGACAAUCUCUCUCGAAGUAUGAGGGUUUCGAACGAGAACUCGUCUAUUACAAAAGGAAUUUCAUUUUUUUGAACUUAUUUGAACUNNNNNNNNNNNNNNNNNNNNNNNNNNNNNNNNNNNNNNNNNNNNNNNNNNNNNNNNNNNNNNNNNNNNNNNNNNNNNNNNNNNNNNNNNNNNNNNNNNNNNNNNNNNNNNNNNNNNNNNNNNNNNNNNNNNNNNNNNNNNNNNNNNNNNNNNNNNNNNNNNNNNNNNNNNNNNNNNNNNNNNNNNNNNNNNNNNNNNNNNNNNNNNNNNNNNNNNNCAUUUGGUAAUUUUCAUGCAUUUACUUUUUUUUGAGCUAGUUGACCCUGAAAUUGAAAAGAUCAACAAAUGAACUCUGAAAAUGUUGAAAGUUGGCAUGGUAUCAUAAUUUCAUCCACACAACAUGUGCUAAAAAGUUGAGAGGGUUACGAGAAAAACUGGUUGCACUUCGUGUACAAAACGGAUAAUUUCUCUCAAAGUAUGAGGGUUUCGAAAGAGAACUAAUCUGUUACAAAGGGAUUUCAUUUUCUUGAACUUAUUUAAACUCCAUACUUUUUGUGUGUUCAAAAUGCACCAUUCAAAGGCACAUCAUAAAUUUUCGACUAUUUCUGACUUCAUUUGGUAUAUUUCAUGUAUUUACUUAUUUUUUAGAGCUAGUUGACCCUGAAAUUGAAAAGCACUACAAAUGAACUCUGAAAAAAUGUUGAAAGUUGGCAAGGUAUCAUCAUUUCAUCCACAUAGCAUGUUCUAAAAAGUUGAGAGGGUUACGACAAAAACUGGAUGCACUUCGUGUACAAAACGGACAAUCUCUCUCGAAGAAUGAGGGUUUCGAACGAAAACUCAUGUGUUACAAAGCGAUUUCAUUUUUGGAACUUCAUAUUUUUUUGUGUUCAAAAUGCACCAUUCAAAGGCACAUCACAAAUUUUCAACAAUUUAUGACUUCAUUUGGCAUUUUACAUGCAUUUACUUUUUUUGAGCUAGUUGACCCAGAAAUUGAAAAGCAGUACAAAUGAGCUAUGAAAAUGUUGAAAGUUGGCAUGGUAUAUUUAUUUCAACCACAUAACAUGUGGUAAAAAGUUGAGAGGGUUACGACAAAAACUGGAUGCACUUCGUGUACAAAACGGACAAUCUCUCUCGAAGUAUGAGGGUUUCGAACGAGAACUCAUCUAUUACAAAAGGAAUUUCAUUUUUUUGAACUUAUUUGAACUCCAUACUUUUUGUGUGUUCAAAAUGCAUCAUUCAAAGGCACAUCACAAAUUUUCAACAAUUUCUGAUUUCAUUUGGUAAUUUUCAUUCAUUUACUUUUUUUGAGCUAGUUGACCCUGAAAUUGAAAAGCACUACAAAUGACCUUUGAAAAUGUUGAAAGUUGGCAUUGGUAUCAUCAUUUCACCCACAUAGCAUGUGCUAAAAAGUUGAGAGGGUUACGAUAAAAACUGGAUGCACUUCGUGUACAAAACGGACAAUCUCUCUCGAAGUAUGAGAGUUUUGAACGAGAACUAAUCUGUUACAAAGAGAUUUCAUUUUUUGAACUUAUUUAAACUCCAUACUUUUUGUGUGUUCAAAAUGCACCAUUCAAAGGCACAUCACAAAUUUUCAACAAUUUCUGACUUCAUUUGGUAUUUUUCGUGCAUUUACUUAUUUGUUUUUGAGCUAGUUGACCGUGAAAUUAAAAAGCACUACAAAUGAACUCUAAAAAUGUUGAAAGUUGGCAUGGUAUCAUAAUUUCACCCACAUAGCAUGUGCUAAAAAGUUGAGAGGGUUACGACAAAAACUGGAUGCACUUCGUGUACAAAACGGAUAAUCUCUCUCGAAAUAUGAGGGUUUCGAAACUCAUCUCUUACAAAGGGAUGCAUUUUUUUAAACUUAUUUGAACUCCAUACUUUUUGUGUGUUCAAAAUGCAUCAUUCAAAGGCACAUCACAAAUUUUCAACAAUUUCUGACUUCAUUUGGUUUUUUUCAUGUAUUUACUUAUUAUUUUUGAGCUAGUUGACCCUGAAAUUGAAUAGCAGUACAAAUAAACUCUGAAAAUGUUGAAAGUUGGCAUGGUAUCAUCAUUUCACCCACAUAGCAUGUGCUAAAAAGUUGAGAGGGUUACGACCAAAACUGAAUGCACUUCGUGUACAAAAUGGACAAUCUCUCUCAAAGUAUUAGAGUUUCGAACGGGAACUCAUCUGUUACAAAGGGACUUCAUUUUUUGAACUUAUUUGAACUUGAUACUUUUUGAGUGUACAAAAUGCACCAUUCAAAGGCACAUCACAAUUUUUCAACAAUUUGUGACUUCAUUUGUUAUUUUUUGUAUAUUUACUUAUUUUUUUGAGCUAGUUGACCCUGAAAUUGAAAAGCACUACAAAUGAACUCUGAAAAUGUUGAAAGUUGGCAUGGUAUCAUCAUUUCACCCACAUAGCAUGUGCUAAAAAGUUGAGAGGGUUACGAAAAAAACUGAAUGCACUUCGUGUACAAAACGGACAAUCUCUCUCGAAAUAUGAGGGUUUCGAACGAAAACUCAUGUGUUACAAAGGGAUUUCAUUUUUUGAACUUCUACUUCCCCUAGUGCAUAAAAAAUAUCUAGCACAAGGAGAAGAAGGAGAAGCGACCCCCACAACAACAGUCGACAUUCUUCUUCUCUCAUAUAUGGUGGACACUCCCUCACCGAUUUUUCGACCGUCGAUGAUGGUCGCUACUCCUACUUCACCUAGUGCAUAACAAAUAUCUAGCAUAAGGAGAAGAAGGAGAAACGACCCCCACAACAACAGUCAACAUUCUUCUUCUCUCACAUAUGGUGGACAUUCCCUCACCUGAAUUUUUCGACCGUCGAUGAUGGUCGCUACUCCUACUUCCCCUAGCGCAUAACAAAUAUCUAGUACAAGGAGAAGAAGGAGAAGCGACCCCACAACAACAGUCGGCAUUCUUCUCUCAUAUAUGGUGGAUACUCCCUCACCUGAUUUUUUGACCGUCGAUGAUGGUCGCUACUCCUACUUCCCCUAGUGCAUAACAAAUAUCUAGCACAAGGAGAAGAAGGAGAAACGACCCCCACAACAAGAGUCGGCAUUCUUCUUCUCUCAUAUAUGGUGGACACUCCCUCACCUGAUUUUUCGACCGUCGAUGAUGGUCGCUACUCCUACUUCCCCUAGUGCAUAACAAAUAUCUAGCACAAGGAGAAGAAGGAGAAGCGACCCCCACAACAACAGUCGGCAUUCUUCUUCUCUCAUAUAUGGUGGAGACUCCCUCACAAAUCACUCUACUUUUAGAGCAUUUGAAUUGAGAUAAACUAGAAGUGAUAGAUGAAAGGAUGAAGUAGCUACCUUUUAAAACACUUGUGCAGUAGGUGCACGACCAAACCUAGACAAAUAUUGAGGAAAAUGGAGCUUGGAGGUCGAGCUUGGAGAGGAGAAAGCUUAAGUAGUGUGGCUCAGACAUUUGAUCGAACACCUCAUGUGCAUGAACUAGAGUGGCAAGAGCAUUGCAUGGUCACACCUCAACACCCAAAAAACAGAGGAGAGGGUGGGCAGGGGCGAGGGUUUAUAUAGGCAACACUUUAGUCCCGGUUUUUGUCUAAAACCGGGACUAAUAGCCUACCCUUUAGUCCCGGUUCGUUCCACAAACCGGGACUAAUGCUCCGCGGCACGCCACGUAGCAGUCGAUGGAUCUUUAGUCCCGGGUUUUGCCCCGAACCGGGACUAAUGAGGUGAACCGAACCGGGACCAAUGCCCCGGCAAACCGAACCGGGACCAAUGCCUACCGGGACUAAUGAUCUUUUGGCCCUCGGUCGAAAGACCCUUUUUUCAACUAGUGUACAUGAAAUAAUCACCAUAAAUGGAUUGAAAAACCUUUGGGGGAUCCUUUAUUAUUGGUUUAGGCCUUAUGUAAGCAAAAAAAAAGAGAAAUCUGAGACAUCUAGUGACCAAGACCAUAAAUGGAUCGACAUUUUAUUGAUAAAUUCAAACGAAGAUCCAAAAUCAUGAAAUUUGAUAUGGUAUCAUGAUAUGUUCCCUACAUGUCAUGGUAAAAGUUUGAGAAUGUUUCAAAAGAGUUUUCACGUAGACUGCUUGAAACGAGAUCAUCUUCGAGUAAGAAACUAGAUUUUAAGGAGUUGACCAAGUUUGCAUAUGAAGCAAGAGAUGCUACAUCGGAUGGCGUUGAAACCUUUUCCACACUCAAAUUAACCAUUAAAUGUGACAUGUGUAAAUUCAAUGCUUUUCUAGUCUGUUUGCCACACUUAAAUUUAACACUUUAAAUGCAUUUACCUCCAUUAAAUAUAUAGAAAUCCAUCUAGUAUAUUAAAAAUAACAAAAUACCCUGAAAAGUACCGAAGUAUUACAUGGAACGUCCAAUUAUGUACCAUUAAACCAGAAAAGAAUUAACCACAACCGUAAACAUAAAAAGACUAAAACCCUAAGAUUACAAAAAAUAUAUAUAUAUCAAUGACAAGCAAGAAAACAAUAUGCAACAGUGAUAGUUGGCGCAUACAUACCCAAGUACAAAUGGCAUGCAUCAGCAUGUGUCUGCCAUUGGUAUUUUAGGCCAUAAUAGCCGUGUGGUCAAAAUUACCAGUGGUGGGCACAUAUUUCUGCGCGCCACUAGCAACUCAAUGUACCAGUAGAGGGCCCGUGUUUAUGCCCACCACUGAUAAAUUUGGUCCAUGACUAAUCUGAGCCCAUGUUGCAAGUUACAUAUGCAAAGUCAUGACGUAACUGGUACUACUUAGAGCAUCUUCAAUAGAUGGUCCAAAUGUAAAAAAUAACUAACUUUUGGAUCGUGUGGGACAAAAAGGGUGCUCUAACACACGGUCCAUAUGCACAAAAAAAAAUUGGACUGCGGCCUCUUCAUGAUGUAAAAUCCAAAACCUCGCGGUGCAAAUUUACAUCACGAGGUGCAUCUGGUCCAAAACCAGCCGCCGCCCGCGAACGCCCAACCGCCACUUCCUUUCUGUUCCAGCCCGCACCCGUCGCCCGCCCGAAGACCAGUCGGCCGGAAUCCGCCGCCGCGACCGCCGAAAACCACGCCGUCGGCGCCACCACCACCCUAAAUCCCCGCCGCCGCCCUCCGCCGCCGUCGCCUGCCUCGCCGAUAGCCGGCUCGCAGCCGCCCGGACGCUGCCGAAUCGGGAGGCAUCCGGUGCGGGAUUCGGCGCCUUCGGCUGUCCGGCUGCCGCGGUAGGCCUCCGCCGGGUCUAAGGUUGCCGCCGACCUCGUCCCCGUCGGCCGUGAGCCUGUUCACGGCCGUUGCGCCGGCCGCACGACCGCCGCACGAAGCCCUCCGCUCGGCUGCCGAAGUACUGUUUGCGGCCCGGCGAGCUCCUCUUGGCCGGCCUCGAAGCUCUUUUCUUAUCACCGUCGUCGUCCGGAGGAGCCGACGACAGCCAUCCUCAGCCAUCAGCAGCAGCCAAUCCAACCGGCAGCCAUCUUCUUCCACCGCCCGCACUAGGUGUUCGACGGAAUUCCCCAAGGUAAAAAAAAAUGACGAAACUUGAUGAUUUAACUUGGGAUUGGAUAGUAUGUUUGACGGUGGUUGUGUGAAAUGUAGAUGAGCUCGGUUGACUCCUCUUUCAUGGAUGAUUCAUCGUUGGACGAGGAAUUUGAUUUGCAUGAAGAAGAGGAGGUUGCUAUGCUAGUGGCCAUGCACAAGAGGAAGAAACCGAAGCACGGUGGUCCCGUUUAUGGUCGUGCAUUCAUUCGGAAAGAACGGAUUGACGCGCACAAACAGAUUGAUGCGCACAAACCGAAGCACGGUGGUUCCGUUUGUGAUUCAUCGUCAGACAAGGAAAACAUUUAUAUUACAAUUUCUAUCAUUUGAUGGGCAUUCCUGUUAACCCCAUGCGAAAAGAACAGCGCAUCAGACAUUUCAUGAAGGUGUACAGUGAAAUUAGAGACACCGAUGUGCAUGACCAACUCCAUAAAGAUUUGAUGGAAGAGCAUUGGAAAUGGCAUGGCGAAAGAUCCGCAUAGAUUCAUUAUUUGUUUGUUCAAAACUAUGUUGUAUUAUGCAAAACUAUGUUGUAUUUGUGUUGCGCUUCAUCUCCUGGAUCUGAAGAACUAUGUAAUAAUUUGAUAUUGUGCACAUGAAAUUUUUUAUGUUGUUUCAAAACAUGUUUUUAUGCAAUAUGUGCGGCUGUACAGUGGCUGGACAGCGGCUAAACAGCAGACGCGUGGCUGUUGGCCAAUUUUGGACCAUGAAUUUGGACCAUCUAUUGGAGUUGGUCUUUUGGACCAUGAGAAUUUGGACCAUCUGUUGAAGUUGGCCUUUUUUCGAAGGUUCAAAACGCACUUUUUGGCGGUUCAAAUUUUAAUCCUUCGGUUUUGGACCGCCAAAUUUUAGACCAUCUAUUGGAGAUGCUCUAAAUGGCCAGACUACGAGUGGCAUGUGCAAAUGUGUGCCCGCCAAUGCUAAAGGUCCACCCAUAUGAGGGAGAGGCGAGGUGUCUCUCCAUUGUGCGAGAGAACAUCUGGAUGCCGCCAGUGAGGUCUCCCCGUCGUGGUCAGCCAUGCAACUUCACCUUAUGAAGAAGAAGGGUAGGUGGUCGGUGGCGACGACUAGGGUUGUUGGGUCAGCUCGAGCUGCACACAUGGGAGAGGCGCACGGAAAGCAAGUUCUUUUAAGCAUGGGUAUUCAUGUGUUGUAUCUUGCUACAGCUAAAUUUCAGUCGGAUGAGACUUGUUUAUGUCUCACUCGAUGCUAUAUUAAUGAGAUAUUACACAUAGAUCUGGACGGAAUCCUUCUUUUUAGUAACUUAUAUCUUAUUGGAACAUAUACGUGAUGAUGUCACUUGGCUGAGACUUAGAAAGUCUUAGGCCCCGUUUUUAUAAAAAGUCCUAAAUUUUUUUUAGUCCUUACUAAAUAGUCCCUUGUCCCUACCUAUUUGGUUCCAUGGAGUAAACAUGGACUAGAGGUUAUUAAAUGACAUGCUAAGUUACCCCUACUAAUGGACUACAGGUUAUAAAAUGACAUGCUAAAAGCAGGGGCACUGUUGAAAAAAGUCCGAAAAGACUCUCCCUUAGGGACUUCUUUCUUUAGUCUCAAAUGCCCACUUUUAGUCCCUAAAAGUCCCUUAUUUUUGAUUUAGAUGGGAUUAAAAGGGUUUUUUUAGUCUCUACACCAAAAAUUCCCUGUAAACAAACACCCCCUUGGUCCUCUGAGAUUUAGCCACAACAUAGUAAAUGGAGCUACAAAAUUAAAUUAUAUGAUGAUUAGUGAUGCACUUUUCCACCGGACGGUCAUGAAAAAAAAGUCUAGAGAUGCACUUUUCCAUCGGACGGUCACGAAAAAAAGUAUGUCUCAUGUCUAGGCAUUUAAGGUAAGGAACUCAAAAUCUAUACACGUGGUGCUAUUUGGUUAAAAAUUCGGUACAAAUGUAGGGUGAGUAAAUCCAUAAGCAUAGCACGAUUAUUCAGCUAUGAAUUGGGGGGAGUAAAAGAUUGUUCAUAUUUGAUGACCUGCAUGUUCAAUGUUAGUACUGACGGGGCUUGCUCGCGUCGCUCUCCAGGGGAGCGGCCCGAGCGUGACCUAGCGCCACCAUCGCCACCACCUCUGAUGCUCCUCCCUGCCCCCGCUGCCGGCGGGCGUCGCUGCCAGGCAAAGCCCGCGCAGCAGCCGGCGGCGGCGGGCCUCUCUUGUUGGGGAACGUCGCAUGGGAAACAAAAAUUUUCCUACGCGCACGAAGACCUAUCAUGGUGAUGUCCAUCUAUGAAAGGGGAUGAGUGAUCUACGUACCCUUGUAGAUCGUACAGUAGAAGCGUUAGAGAACGCGGUUGAUGUAGUAGAACGUCCUCACGUCCCUCGAUCCGCCCCGCGAACAAUCCCGCGAUCAGUCCCACGAUCUAGUACCGAACGGACGGCACCUCCGCGUUCAGCACACGUACAGCUCGACUAUGAUCUCGGCCUUCUUGAUCCAGCAAGAGAGACAGAGAGGUAGAAGAGUUCUCCGGCAGCGUGACGGCGCUCCGGAGGUUGGUGANNNNNNNNNNNNNNNNNNNNNNNNNNNNNNNNNNNNNNNNNNNNNNNNNNNNNNNNNNNNNNNNNNNNNNNNNNNNNNNNNNNNNNNNNNNNNNNNNNNNGAGUCCCGGAUGAGAUCGCGGACGUCACGAGGGUUUCCGGAAUGGUCCAGAAACGAAGAUUGAUAUAUAGGAUGACCUCAUUUGAUUACCGGAAGGUUUUUGGAGUUACCGGGAAUGUGCCGGGAAUGACGAAUGGGUUCCGGGAGUUCACCGGGGGGGGCAACCCACUCCGGGGAAGCCCAUAGGCCUUGGGGGUGGCACACCAGCCCUUAGUGGGCUGGUGGGACAGCCCAAGAAGGCCCUAUGCGCCAUAGGAAGAAAAUCAAAGAGAAAAAAAAGGAGGAGGUGGGAAAGGGAAGAAGGACUCCACCUUCCAAACCAAGUUGGAUUCGGUUUGGAAGGGGAGACCUUCCCCCUUGGCUUGGCCGAAACCCUUAGGGGUCCUUGGACCCCAAGGCAAGGCUCCCCCUCUUCCCCCUAUAUAUACGGAGGUUUUAGGGCUGAUUUGAGACGANNNNNNNNNNNNNNNNNNNNNNNNNNNNNNNNNNNNNNNNNNNNNNNNNNNNNNNNNNNNNNNNNNNNNNNNNNNNNNNNNNNNNNNNNNNNNNNNNNNNNNNNNNNNNNNNNNNNNNNNNNNNNNNNNNNNNNNNNNNNNNNNNNNUGAGACGACUUUUCCACCCACCAAACCAAGUCCAACUCGGUUUGGGGGGGGAGCCUUCCCCACUUGGACUCGGCCGACCCCCUUGGGGCUCCUUGAGCCCCAAGGCAAGGUUCCCUCCCUCCCACCUAUAUAUACGGAGGUAUUGGGGCUGAUUUGAGACGANNNNNNNNNNNNNNNNNNNNNNNNNNNNNNNNNNNNNNNNNNNNNNNNNNNNNNNNNNNNNNNNNNNNNNNNNNNNNNNNNNNNNNNNNNNNNNNNNNNNNNNNNNNNNNNNNNNNNNNNNNNNNNNNNNNNNNNNNNNNNNNNNNNNNNNNNNNNNNNNNNNNNNNNNNNNNNNNNNNNNNNNNNNNNNNNNNNNNNNNNNNNNNNNNNNNNNNNNNNNNNGGAGCUCGGGCGGAGCCCUGCUGAGACAAGAUCAUCAUCAACCUCCGGAGCGCCGUCACGCUGCCGGAGAACUCUUCUACCUCUCCGUCUCUCUUGCUAGACCAAGAAGGCCGAGAUCAUCGUCGAGCUGUACGUGUGCUGAAUGCGGAGGUGCCGUCCGUUCGGCACUAGAUCGUAGGACUGAUCGCGGGAUGGUUCGCGGGGCGGAUCGAGGGACGUGAGGACGUUCCACUACAUCAACCGCGUUCACUAACGCUUCUGCUGUACGGUCUACAAGGGUACGUAGAUCACACAUCCCCUCUCGUAGAUGGACAUCACCAUGAUAGGUCUUCGUGCGCGUAGGAAAAUUUUUGUUUCCCAUGCGACGUUCCCCAACAGUAUAUGUCUGUCGCGUCGUUGUCGAUAUAACCCCCUCCCGGAUAACUUCGACAUGAGGGGCGGUCGAUAUAUAUACCCACUCUCGACCGUGAUAAAUUAUACCACGGGAGCACCCCCUCGGCCCUCUCGCUCGACCAAAACUCUCGAGGACACCCAAACCCUAGAGAAAAAACGAUGUUGGUCUCCUACCCCCUCCCGCCGCGCCCCUACCCGACAAACUCUCUCGAGGCCACCCAAAUUUACCAAGUUAAAAGAGCGUUGUCAUCGAGGCCACCCCAAACCCUUGAAGCGUUGUCUAGGCCACCCCAAACCCUAGAGAAGCACCGUCGAGGCCACUAACAUGAUUCCUUAUUGUGAUUAGCUAGCUAGUUCUACGUUUGCCACUAAUAUAUAUCCAUCCGUACCAUGUUAGAAUAAUAAUUGACAUGUUGUAAAUAUUUGCAGAAACUAUGGAUCACUCCCGAGACGAAGAGGAAGAAGCGAUGUUGGGGGAGAUAAUCGCACAAGGAAGUGGUGUCAUUGCAUCGUUUCUCAGAGACACCGACGCUACAAGAAAUAUGCUCAUACACGACGUUUUUAAGACGUCGUUGAUGAAUUCGUCAUAAAUCUAUGACGAUUUCAUCCGAGAUUGUCGUAAACCGUUUGAGGGGAUCAAAUCUGCAUAUAAAUUACGACGAUGUGAGUCAAAAAUGUCGUAACUGCAUAAGAUGAGAUCGUCAUAAAUUUUACGACAAUUAUAAAAAUGUCGUAACAUGUUCUAACUAUGUUGACAUGUUACUCGUGGGUCCAUUCUAUGUCACGCGUCAAACCGGCCUAGUUUGUGAAGAAACCUACUAUUCUAUCAUUCCAAAAAUUAUCAUAAAUAGUUUGGAUCAUAUAUUGCUCAAAUAUGUGAAAACCCUUCCUUUCAUUGUUCAAAAAUAAUUGAGCAAUAUUCAUUCUCCUAUUAUGUUCAGAAUAGCACUUUGUGAAGGAAGUGCUAUUUCCAUUUUUUUGAUUGCCCUCAAAAUUGUCGUGCACUCUUUUUUUCAUUUUUUUCCUAUCCAAAUCAUUGCCUCAUGAAAACUUACGUAAUCAUUUGCCUAGUAAAUCUUUCUCAGCAAAUUUCCAAAAUUUGUGUUUAGCUGACAGCUUUGUGAAGGAAUUACUAGCUAGGAAUAUCGUGAUGAGUUGAAUUUUUUCCAUAUCUUCUAUAUGCCAAAACCAUAGCUCUCCACCAAAUUUCAGCCCCAUUUAACAAUCCAUUUGAGCUCAGCAUCCAAUCUUUGUUUUUGGUAAUAUUUUCAGUUUAUGAAGAAACUACAUUUUAUAUUGCUUUAUAGUUGAUGAAAAUUUACCACGAAAUAAAACUAACCAUAUAACUUAACUCCACGAAAUAAAAUUUGACCUGCUUCCAGUUGAAUCGGCAGAAAGUUUUGUUUUUCACGAGAGGUGAAUAAAAGCUUUUGACACCCAACUAUUUGGUCAAUUGUAUAUUAAAUAUGUACUAGUAUUUUAGAAAAUUGAUGGAGUCCAAUUUUGCAACAAAUAUUGGUAGGUUCUUAAAAAAACUCAUUUUUGCCACUCGGAAAAUAAUUAAAAAUAGCUAGAAAGAUGAGAAAUGCAUACAAAUUGGUACUCAUCCGUCAAAUGUGAUCUAACACUAGUGAAAUUUUGUGUGAUGCCCUUUGCAAAUUUUUUUAAUAGAUACUUCACAAAAUUCCUCUAUUUUAAGUACUUCGGAACUAUUUUAAAUCACUGAUAUUUCGAACCAAUCAGAACUCUUUCCACAGAUCGAUGACAUGGCGCCCAUCCAUCCAUCCAGCUCACCAUCUCACAUCCAUCCAUCCAUGUAUCUACAAGAAAAAAACAUGGAAAAAAGAUAACCCACCCGCAGCCAAACCCUAGCUCAGACCCCUCCCCCAUCGCACCCUUUCUCCCUCGUCCCCAUCUACUCGCCGCCGCCACCUCCUCCUUGUCCCCGCCUCCCUCCCGAUCUAGUCCUCUCUCCCGAUCGAUGGCCUCCGCGACGCCGUCGCCAAGCUCGACGAGAUCAGGUGCCCCGCCCCGACCCCCCUUGCCUCCCUCCACCGGAUCUAGUGGCCAGUAGGCGCCGAGUCCGCUUCCGCUCAACUUUUUUCUGCUCUGUUUUGUCGGUGGUGAUGCAGCGAUAACGAGAAGACCGGGUUCAUCAGCCUCGUCUCCCGCUACCUUAGGUGAUAAUGCGAAUCUUCCCGGCCUCCAUGAUCUCGUCGCGUCUAUGCUGUUGCUCUCUCGCGCGUGGGUGGGUGGUUUCUGAUGGUUGUGUUGUGAUGUGUUGUGCGUCCUACAGCGGUGUGGCGGAGUAGAUCGAGUGGAGCAAGAUCCAGACCCCCACCGAUGAGGUCGUGGUGCCCUAUGACACCCUCGCGCCCCCUCCCGAAGGUAUCAUCUCGUCUGAAAUGCUUCUUCCUGUCCUCGAUUCGGAUUCGUCUCGAAUUUUCAGUCUGUUUGUGUGUGUGGGUGUGGAAACUGAACGCUGGAUCGUGUGUGUGCUGCAGAUCUCGACGCCAUGAAGGCCCUGCUCGACAAGCUCGUGGUGCUCAAGCUCAACGGAGGCCUCGGAACCACCAUGGGCCGACGCGGCCGCCGAGGAGACCCUCGCCGCCGCACCCUCGACGCGCCGCCCGCCGGAGCGCCGGCCGGGUAGAAGCUCGCCGGAUUCCAUGGACCACGACAUGCAAGCACGCGACACCGUGAACACUCCCUCCCUCUCGCUUCUGCAUCGAGUUGUAGUUUUAGUAGAUACUAGCACUGAAGAAGAGCGGCGACACGUCGUCGCUGCGCCCGUGACAGAUGUGGUCUGUAAUUUGUACUGGUCCUUGCAAGUCUUUGUAUUUAUUUACGGAGUUUCCUGCUAUGUGAUUUACCUUUGCAUGUGUUUGGCUGUGUGAUGCGUGGUUUGAUCUGUGGAUACAUUAGUCAGUGCCAUGUGCCAGCAUCUGAAACGGGUUAACAUCUCUCUUCUCGUAGUAGAGUAAUCAAUCAUGCCAGCAUCUGAAACGGGUUAACAAAUACGAGCUUGCACUGUUCUCUGUUUUGUGAUAAUAGCAUAACAUACAGCUCGGCAUAAACAUCAACAGGGUUAGCUGAAUAGUUGUUGUUACAUCUGCAAAUGUCACCAUGAGUGGAAUUUACUUAUGAUGUCAAUGUGUUUCUUACUCAAGUUGAUAUUUUUCUUCGUUUUGCUUCAUGUGCUGUUCAAACAUCAGGAAUUCGCAUCCGAGAAGGCUACUACGGAUACACUUCCCACCAUCUCUUCUGCCGCCGACUCGAGCUCCUGACCACAAGAAGGGAAGGCAUCGCGCAGGAGCACCAUCGCCCUCGCCGUUCAUCGCUCCGCCUGAGGCAUCACCAUCGCCAUCGCUAGCCCCUCCACAAAGGCCAGGCCUGUGCCUUCUGCUCCACAGCCAAGCCAUGAUCCUCGGGUUGAUUCCCCAGCCCAUGUUGUGCAUAAGCAUUCCUGGAGAGCCUACGGUUUGGACACGGCAGGUGGUGCGGCCUUCCUUGUCAUGACUACGACAUUUGUUGUGUACUGCCGGGCGAAGAAAGUCGGUACUGUGAGGCCUUGGGUAACAUGGCUAAGCGGGCAACUGCAGCGAGCCUUCAUGACAGGUAUCCUUCAUUGUAUGUGUGCAUAUCUGUUAUCAUAUAUUUUGUUCUUUGGUUGCACAUUAACACAUGAUCAAUCAUUCUUCCAGGUGUGCCUUCGCUGAAACGAUCAGAGCUGGAGGCAGCCUCCGAGGAUUUCAGCAAUAUAAUUGAUUCUACGGCUAACUGCAUGUUGUAUAAGGGAACAUUAUCAAGCGGAGUUGAAAUAGCAGUUGUGUCAAGUUUAAUAUCAUCUAUGAAUGUUUGGUCAAAAGCAUGUGAAUCUUAGUACAGGAAAAAGGUAAUCUGCCAUUAACCUCCUUAUAUGCACACUUUUUUCUUUUGCGAAAUACACAUUAACUGAAAUGGCUGUGGUCUCGUAUCUCAAGUUUAUCGAAAGUGGGCCACAAGAACUUUAUAAACCUGCUUGGCUACUGUGAAGAAGAAAAUCCUUUCACCAGAGCUGUGGUGUUUGAAUAUGCACCAAAUGGGACUCUUUUCGAGCAUCUCCAUGGUAAGUGUGUACAUAAUAUAUCCUUUUAGUUUUCUCUCUGUCAACAGAAUGAUUCCUAUAAUGUUCAGACACCACUUCAACAAUUGCAGUAUUUGAUAAUGCUUUUGAUUAUGUUGCAGUUAGAGAAGCUGAGAACUUGGACUGGAUGGCCCGACUUAGAAUAUCGAUGGGGAUAGCGUACUGCCUCGAGCAAAUGCACAAGCUGAAUCCACCCGUCGUGACGUGGAGCUUCAGCUCAACUACUAUCUACCUCACCGAUGAUUUUGCCGCAAAGGUCUCUGAUCUUGAUUUCUGGAACGACACCAAGGGAUCGGAUUCCGUCACCGACGACUGCACCAUGCUGGACAUAGAGAGUAUCGUGCAUCGGUAUGGCAGUGGUUGUAUUUUGCCGAAUAAAAGACAGCAAAACUGCAGGUAGAUAAACAACCACAGUUUCAUACAGAAGCCCAUACAGUUUCAGUGAACUAUAUAUAUCUCGAGUCACACACACACACACACACACACACAUUUCAGUCAACUAUAUAUAUCUCGAGUCACACACACACACACACACAUUUCUUGUCUCUGUCUAGAAUGAACAUGCGCUUGUACAUGAAUAUGAACUCGGAUGUAUGUGCAUGCAUUGGUGCAGUUCAUGGAAGACAUGUCUGCAUCGGCUAAAAAGUUAGAAGAAUAGAUAAAAGGGGUAAAGAAUGGUACAGUACAACAAACAAAUCUACAACACGGCAGUGAAAUAGGUCUCUAUAUGUCCUAGGAAGCUACACUCUAGCUUCCAGAUCCUUCAAUGAAAGCAUGGCUUCCAGUUAGUGAAGCAUAAGUCAUACGUAGAUAUUUUUAUAUAUGCCUUUACCGAUAAACUCUGUCUGAAAAUCCCCUGCAAGUAGUACAGCUCUAGUAUUUGAGUACCGAGUUUAAUCGGGCAAAUAUGAUGUGUAUGUCAGCAUUGUAAUCUAGCUAUUCAGAAUUUCAGAAAUCUAUCUGACAUGUUCACUACCAGAUAUGUAGAGGUUUCUAAAGGACAAUUUCUUACUAUCGGCAAACAAUAAGAAUAUGAGAAACCAUUAAAUUUUAGUAAGGACACUCUAACUGAUUUUGAGGAUAGAGGAGCCUCUGAUACUGUCCAUAUUUUGCUGCCUCGAAUAUAAGAAUUUGCACAUUCCAUAACUAGGUCAUCAUUCCAUAACAAUAUAAGAAUUAUUUCUAAUGAAUUAAUACAUUUUUGUUGCUAAACAAAACUAGGGUAGAGGAUCCGUUUGCUAAACAAAACUUAUAUUUCCAAUGAAUUAAUACAUUUUUUUUUCAAAAAAGGGGUGCUUUAUUACUUAAAAGGUUUAAGUAUUACAUGGUUUUAGAGAUUAAUCUCUAGAGGGAGCACAUAUGGUGGUUGCCUGAACCGAGCCGUCUCUAGUUAGUUGAAUGUGAGCGCCUACCAAAUCUCCCAAUUGAAUUGGAACGCACAUAAAUAACAGUAGUACUAGUAUUUUGCUGUAGGGAAAGGGGAAGGAUAAUAGAAAUAAAUGAACCUGGUUCUUGACAUGAAGAAUGGAAAAACUGACCUUAUGUCUCGAUUUUCAAUCAAUUAUCUAGAACUGAAGACUAGUGGGACUUGAAGUCUCCCCAAUAGUGGCUUUGUUGGUUUCUGGUUUGGUGGUGUUUGAUUCUAUCCAUUUUAUAGGAUGCCUACAUAGCAUACACUUGAUGUCUCAGUAGUACUACCUCUGUACAAAAAUAUAAUGCAUAUGUACGGGGGGAGUAGUUAUUUAUUUGUUACUAUUAUCAUUUAGUGAUAUUCAAUCAAUCACUUUGUUAUCCUCUCACUGUCCUACUUAACACUGCCUCUGUUUCCUACUCAAAAAGCACGGGAAAACAGUGUUUGCAUUUUUAAAGGACGGGUAGAAGGCACUCAAGACAAGUAUUGCCAGUGACACGACGCUGUAAUGACCCCAUGGAGUAUGGUGAGUAACAGAUGAUAUCCUUUCUCCAUCUAAAAGUUUUCCUUUUUUUCUUCUUCUAGUAGAACAGAAGUAACAUAUGCAUACUCAACUUGUAUCCGCCCUUCAUUUAUACAGGUAUCCCAUCAUACAAUGACCCCUUGAACUCUUGGUGUAUAUGCCAUGCUGUUAUAGCUUUCUUUUAGAUGAAAGCAAAUUCACAAAUAUCUAGAUUUGGCAAAGACAGGAUAAACGUGAGCAAAUACAUAUGAAAUUAGCUGUUCAUUACGGUCUAAUGUUUUUUGUUUUGUCUCUUUUUCUAUUGCUAGGGAAGUGAUGAGAAGAUGUCGAUGAUGCCUACUUGGGACAUUCAAAUCAACACAACAUAAAAAUUUCUGAACCUAUGUCUCACAGGAGAGUGGAAUGAACUCCAUUCUUAGCAGAUGUGUCAUUGUCUUGUUGUGCAAUUUUGUCCGUUUUUGCUAUAUUAUGUAAGGAAAUGUAUUCAUGAGAUGAGUUAUUGUGUUAUGUAAAUCUGGGAGAUGUAUUAUGUGAUGUUAUAUGAUGGGUGAUUUUAAUUUGACUUGAGUUUUCUUGAUUUGAAUAUGAAAUAGUGUUGGAUUUAAUACUGGACAAAUAAUUGGGCUGAAAAGGCAUAACAAAUAGAAACGAAACCAAAAAUAUAAAAAGGCCAAAACUGAAUUGGACCAAACGUAUUUGGGCAUUAAAAGGCCACGACCCAAAUUAUAAUGACAAAAACAAUUCAAAAAAAAAUACAAAACUGGUUGUAAAUAGGCUAAGGCCCAAAAAGAAGCCCAAUAAGAAAAAGCCCCAAAAAAUAAAACCAACCCAUGUGAUCAAUUGAAAUGGGUUGGGCUGAUUUCAGCCAUGACGUUUUGAUUUCGUCGUAUUUUAAUCACGUAGGACUGCCACGUAGGACUGGGUUUGAUUGUCAACGACGAUUUAAGAUCGUCAUAAAGGUUACGACAAUCCAGGAAUCGUCGUAAAAGUUACGACGAUUUUGAUCAAAACGUCGCUGCUGUUCAUUUGUGACGCUCCGUUUUUGACGCUUGGUUUUUCGUCGUGAGAUCGUCGUAAAUUAAAAACCGUGACGAUGUAGCGACGAAAAAAUAGCGGCGUGUAUUAGCAUAUUCCUUGUAGUGCGAUGGUCUGGAAGGACCGGGUGAAGAAGAGGGCUAUGUUCAUGAUGAUCUGGAAGGACCGGGUGAAGAAGAGGGCGUUCAUGAUGAUAUGGAAGGACCGGGUGAAGAAGAGGGUGUUCAUGACGGCUCCGUUGACCGAACCGAGUCCGGCGAGGUAUAUAUAUAUUAGUUAAGCCCGUGCUGACUAGUUAAUUGAUGCAUUCCUUGUUUUCAUAUGUACACAUAUUAAAUAACUCUCGUCUUUCUUCUUUUUUCUCUAGCCCUCCGGAUCGACCUCAACUUCAGUAAAGAAACGAGGCCCGAAGAAAAAGUUGCGCUCGGAUGAAAGGUUUGAGAUCACAGCAAUCGUGUGCGAUGGCAAGCCGAUUGAACCCAUCCGGACAAGGGAUGCAUUUCGUGCUCAGUGCGGGGUUCUUGUUAGGGACAAGAUCCCGAUCAGUAUCCAGCAAUGGUUAAAGCCAAAGAAGGAAGACCCUGAGGUGCCGACGUCUUAUGUCUCCGAUAAACAGAAAGAAGAUCUUUGGACAACGCUUAAGGAAAAUUUCACCCUACCGCCAGAGGAGGAUACAGAGAAGCCAGUUAAAGAGGAAUUGAUCAAGUCUCAUGCUCUUAAGAAGAUGGUAGAACUAUUCAGGAGGUGGAAGAAUGAGCUGAAACGUUUGUCGACAAAGAAGAGACACCAGAAUUCACGGACCGGUUUGAGAAGAUCAGAGAUCAAUGGCCCGCAUCUGUGGCCCACAAGACAUCGGAAAAGAGUAAGAAGAUGUCAGCGACAAACAAGAAAAAUGCUGCGAAGAAGAAGCAUCACCAUCGCACGGGGUCAGGUGGUUACCUCAAAGCCCAACCUCUGUGGGACAAGGCUGAGAAUGACCUGAUUGCUAAAGGGGUCGAACCAGAGACAUUGAGAUGGCCAGACCGUUGCCGGACUUGGUUCUUCGGGGUUGGCGGAACCUUGGACCAUGUAUCAGGGGAGUGCGUUUGGACGGAAGAGCAACUGCGAAUACUCGUCAGGAACCUUCAGCACUAUAUCGCCGCAGCACAGGAAGG
RNAcentral lists this long non-coding RNA (155200 nucleotides) under Hordeum vulgare. Its description in RNAcentral is "long non-coding RNA (HVUL_LNC017079)". The stretch from base 117048 to 117183 matches the Rfam family "MIR1120/MIR1122 microRNA precursor family". Lineage: Eukaryota; Viridiplantae; Streptophyta; Magnoliopsida; Poales; Poaceae. The record is from RNAcentral.